This 94322-nucleotide long non-coding RNA is filed under the name Citrus maxima (pomelo). RNAcentral describes it as "long non-coding RNA (CMAX_LNC001309)". Lineage: Eukaryota; Viridiplantae; Streptophyta; Magnoliopsida; Sapindales; Rutaceae. The record is from RNAcentral.
CAUUACUAGCCCAACGCCGUUGAUUCGAUGUCUCUCCAUACCAGACGUUUACUCUUGGAGGCGUGCUUGAUUCUCCUCUAGUGAAAAUCUUCAAUUUGGGACAACCAAUCACAGAUAGAUCUUGCAAAGAUGGGAAUUUGAAGGUGUAAUUGGCAGAGCAGAAACUUGUGAGGCUGUCUAAAUCACGCAGUUCCAACCUCUUCAAUUUGCGGAAAACAAUCUCUUCUUUUUCAACCCCGUCUUUGUCAUUUAUUACCACCUCUGUCAUUGCUCUGCAUCCGUAUACACAAAGUGAUACGAGUCGCACUAGAGUUUUUGCUGUGGAGGAUGUUACUAAGUGUAUCAAUUUCUUGCAAUCGAAAGCUACAAGUUUUGUUAGGUUCCCAAAAGAUACCGAUGAUGUUGGCAAUAGAAUUAACAGACUUUGACAAUGAUAUACUCUUAGAAUUUCAAGAUACUGAAAAAUGGGGCCAAAUUUGGAGUCUUGUUUGCACAGCUGCUUCAGAUGAUAGUGCCGGUACAGCUCUAAUUCUUUUAUCAUUGCCAACUUCCCCACAUGUUUCUCUAAGCAUCCUUCCAUCGAAAAUACCUCUUCGUGGAAUGAAAAAUAACACAGUACGAGCAUUUCGAGAUUGUGAAAUCUCUCCAGUACAUUCCAGAUUGGAAAACAAGCUGAGUCAUCAGCAGCAAUCCCUAGAUCUCUAAGACUGCCAAAAAGGUGUUGUGGGAAAUCGGCCUGCAAAAUCAUCUUCACGUCUUUUCCGCAUAGUGAUAGUUCCGUCAAGUUGGGUAAGAUCUGAUCAUCAUCAAUCAUAAUAACUAAUAAGGUCAAUUGAUGUUUUCUCAAAUGAUUUUGAGUAAUCCAAUCAUAAGCAGUGAGUUUAUAGUAUUUGUUUUAUAUUAUAUUUUAAAAAAAAUUGUAUUAUUGAUAAAAUUUAUUAAAUGAUUUUUUAUAUGUUAAUUUUAGAGGUAAAAAAGAAAUUAGGGAAAAAAGGUUGAUUUAUACUGACUCGAAAUUAUUUUAUUGCACAAUAAUAAAUUACUAAUUUAUUUUGUAAGUUCUUCUAUAUGGAAAGACUCAAGAUUCUUUUACAAAUGCUAUACCUAAAAAAGUUUAUAUAAUCAUUAAUCUACCACAUUGAUCCCUUAGUCUAGACUAGCAAAGAUUAUUGUAUAAUAAAAGUUUUCAAAUUUAUUGAGCAUUAAUUUAUCAAAGUUAAAAAUAAGCUAUAGAUAAAAAAUCUAGAAAAUGGCUUCAUACCUUUUCCAACGGCAAUAGGGGCUGUUGUGCAGGAAUACCAAGUUGAUCAUUCCCAUUAUUCUGCGAUAAAUCUGCCGCGAAUAUCUUUAAUCUGUCACAACGAUACACUAAAAGAAUUUCUAGGGCGGGCCAUUCCGAAGUAUGCAUUCCAGGGUACAAACAUCUAAGUUUUGGUAGAUCAUGGAGUAUCAAAGUGGUGAGCUGUGGAAAGACAAAAUAAGGGAUCACUUGAUCUGCUCUGUUUUCAGAAAUGAUCUCCUGUAAAUCCUCACAGGAGCGUAUUUCUAGGCGUUGGAGCUGCUUAAGGCUUCCGAUCAUAGACGCUGAAAAUAUGUAUUUUAAUUUGUGACAACCCCACACAAUCAAUCGUGUUAAACUUUGAAAGUGAGGAAACACUGCAGCUGGAAUUUGAUUGUAGUGCCAAAUCUUGUCGACAUUAAUUUCAGAUAUCUCCAAAGCCUCCAAGUUAGGCAACGCAACCUAAAAAGAUAAGAAUUUCUUGUUGAAAAUUUCUCUUUGAUUACAAAUUAAUGCAAGUCAGAAUCAAUUUCCAACUGACAGCUGAGUAUGCAUUCUAAUUCAUACUACUUGUUAAGAGCUCAAUUAGUGAGUGCGUGAGAUUAUUUUUUUCCCCAUUGUUUUCAUUUUCUUUCAAUUCUCUAAAUGAUUUAAUUAUUUUCCACGUUUGACAUAAGAGAACGCAUGAUAGAAUAAACUCUGUUAUAUAUAUAUAUGAAUAAAAUGUUAGCCUACGCACCUUCUCAUUGAAAAGCAAAGUUGAAAUAUCCAAAGUGAUUUCGCUGGAGCAAUACAUAGUCGUCGAUUCCUCUUGCGACACUUGUCUGUUCGGUGAUGCUGAAGGAGUCUCCACCUCACGGCAAAAACUUGUAACCUCUGGAAGAUUCCCCAGACUCAAAGAUCUUAAUUGAGCAAACUCUAUCUUCUCAAUUGCAUUAUCAACUUCUUUCCCAAUUGCAAAAAUCUCUUUCAUCUUGCUGCAAUUAAUAACUGCAAUUCUCUCAAGUCUUGGAAGGCAUUUUGUAGUAGAGAGCCAAAAGAUAUUACUCAACUUAUCACAAUUAUAUACUUCUAUGUUUUUUGAGUUCGUUGAAAGACUCUACUUUGAGCCGAUCAAUACAUAUCCUCUCCAUGUUGAUCAAAUUGUGAAGGGCAAGUGACUCCAAAAGAGGAAAGGCAUCACAAGCGACCAUCUCCCUUGAAUCGACGAUACAAAAGAAGUCAGGAUUAUUUUGAACCCAGAGGACCUUCAAUUGUGAAAAGCCCUCCGUGUCCAAAUUGAAAAGAACAUUCUCGAUGCCUUGCAGCUUGUCCAACCGUAAGUAUUGAACGUUAUUGAUGCCUUGCAAUUUCAUGGAGCAAAUGUCCAUAAAAUCAAGCUUGAGCUUCAAUGCUCUUGAAAUCUUGCGAUUACUGUCGAUCAAAAAGUGCAGCUGACUUUUAAACCAAUGUUGUCCAAAAAGCAUGGGAUGCAUGAAUAACCCAUUUCCAAUAUGUAUUUUGAACCUUUCGAGCUUUCUGGCCAAAAGCCUUCUGGUAACAUACUCUCAUUUUUAACAUCAAUUUCUAGAGUAGUUAGCCGAGGUAAAUGCAUCAAUUCGUCAAGGCUAGCAUUACUUCUUUUGCUGUUGGCUCUUUCAACCUCCCAUUCAAUGAAGCAAUUACCAUAUACAAUUCUUCUAAUCGGAUUAAGCUUGAUAUGACAUUUGGGGCAAUAACUUUCAGACGGAAACAGUGUUAAAUCUAACAGCCUUAGCUUAGUCAGUUGACCCAGUGCUUUAGGCAACUCUACAAUAUCAGAUUGCAAAAAGCUAAGGAUUUCUAGAUUUUCCAACUUUCCAAUAAUGGCUAUGUCUAUGCCUCCGAAAAUGCUUUGAUUAAGACAAAGUGUCUGAAGAUUUACUAGAAGACCAAUUGAAGAUGGCAAUGACAAUAACCGCAUUCUAGUCAAAUCCAAAACCCGAAGCUUUUUCGUCCUUUUGAAGAAGUUCUCGGGAAUAUUAGGCACAGCAAAAGAGUUCUUGGGAGACCAUGAAUAGAAGUUCAAGUUGUAGAGAUUCCGACCCUUCAGGAAUGUCAUUAACAAUACUAUCUUUUAAAAGAAAUUGCAAAAUAUUUUUUAAUUCAUCUGCAUUUUGGCCAUUUCAAUCAUCCUCAUUUUCACCACAAAUGCAUUCAUGUCACGAAAUGCAAUUGAAAUGGCAACAUCGCGAACAACAUCGUGCAUAGAAAUGUAUUUACUGCCACCAUCCUCAAGCAACAAACAAGAGUCUCUUAGUUGAUGGACCCAUGCAUGUAAUUUGUUAUGUGCAUCUUCUAGCUUAUGGACACUUUUAAAUACACCCAAGCCCAUGCUGUAUUUGAACAAAUCCAUAAUUGGUGCUGGCGUAAUAAGACUACACAGUAAAAAAGUUUUCUUGAGUUGCUCACCUCUUAAGUACUUGUAACUCAGCUCAAUUGUUGAGUAUGCCUCUGCUGGUACUCCUUCGUCGAAGCUUGCCUCUGAAGGCGUUUUGGAGUUCUUGCAAGGCAUUCUUCCACACAGGCAGCUCUUUUUUUCUCAGUGCCUUUGCUACUGUGGUUAGGGCAAUAGGCAAACCUCCGCAUGCCUUGGCUACACUUGUUGCUGUAGAUUUUAACUCACGAUUUUCAACAUAAUCACCAGCCAUUAUCUUGAACAAUCUCCAGGCUUCUUGUUCAUUUAAAAUGCCAAUCGAGAAGUUUUUUUCAGAUCCCAUCCUUAACAGCACAUCAAGAUCUCUUGUUGUGAAUAAUAAUUUACAUCCUCUGUGCUCAACUCCAAAAGGAAUGCCAAUAGUCCCCAAAUCAAGAGGAUUCCAGAUGUUAUCGAGAAUCACAAGGAUCUUCUUCUCAUUCUUCAAUCUUUUCAUAUAGUCUACUAGCUCUUCUAGACUCAGCUUCCUCGGACAACUCUAGGCCUAACGUUUCCGCAAUUUCCUCUUGGAUCUUUCUUAUGUCUGGACAUUGGGUAACCUCCGAAAAAACCACCAUAUCGUAAAGCUUGUCUUCAAUGGCUCGCCUUGCAAACUCCUUCACCAGUGUCGUCUUUCCAAUGCCGCCCAUGCCGUACACCCCAAUGAUGCUGACAUCAACAUCGAUCAAAUGCAUUUUGUAUGGCCUUCAAAGUAGAAAGUCUUGAUUCGAAGGCUUCGUAGCCUUUGUGAGACUUGAGCCAUAUAUCCUCCGGGAAUGGUACGGUAGAAAUUCCAUCAACAAAUCUCCCAGCUUCUUCUCGGAGUUUAACAAUGGCCUUCACCUUUGUUUCUGCUUUCUUGCUAAGCUGAUAGCGGGUCUUCAAAUUAGGACACAAGCCCAUGAGACAUCGUUUAUUUGUUGUCUUCUCAUCAUCAAUGAAUUUGGCUGCCUGCUCAAUGAUGAUGUUCGCACUAACCAGCCACUUCUCAACCUUCUCUUCAAUAUUUUCCCCUUUUCUUUCAGCCUCAGAAACCCUGUGCUGAAUGCUUCUCCUUUCAUCCUUGAGCUUGUCUAUUUCUGCCUUGAGUUUCUCAACGUUGGCUUUAUAGUUACGCAAAUAACCAAGUCGGCGUUCUGUUGAGGAGCCAAGCAUUUCACAAAUUCUAAAACAAUAGUAACAAUGCUUUCCACCAUCCUGGAUCCCUUUUCUUUUUUUUCGAAGUUUCUGACAAGAAAAUAAACAAUGAGCGAAACACAGAGAGAGUGAGGAGAAAAAGAAAAAGAAACGCAAAGAUGGACAGUUUAUCUGGUUGUGGAAGCGGAGAAAUGAAGAAAUCGUAAUAGCUGUUAUGGAUCUGCUGAGAAGAUGGAAACAAGGAAAAGGUUUCUAGUUCAACAACUGGAUUGCGAGCGGAGAGACUAAUUAACAAAGACUGGAGAUUACAACAAAGCAGAUGCCAAGAGAAAAGUUGAUCCAGUGAAAUUCAAGAAGUUGACAGCAAAAGGGAGCAAAGAUUAAUAACAAAACAGCAGUGACUACAAUGAACAAAAGCAUAUGCGUUUCUUGAUUGAGAAUGAGUGCAAAGAAUGAUCCUUAAUCAAUAAAAUAUCUAACAAUAUCUUCACCGAAAGUUUGAGACAUGUGAUCCUUAUUCCACUUCGUCAAUUACACUCCAGACCAAUGCUGCCGUCAUUAUCGAACGGUCGAUAUCCAACACUUGCACGAAGAUUCCAAGAAGUUGCGUGGCUGCCGACUUUUAGAUGCAAAGCCUCAUUGUGUCGAUGUUACACGAAAGAGAGCAGUCCGGGUAAUUGCCAAAACUUAGAACUAAACAGUAGCUUAGUCAGAAAAUCAAACGCCCAGUACCGGUAAAAUGACCGAUAAAAUAUAAAAAAAACAAAAAUUUUAAAGUUUUACUUCAUUGCUUUUUUAAUCUUAUUACUAUUUCUCCUUGCACUUCUAAAGAAACCAAAGCUUUAAAAGAAAUCAGCCAAAUCACGAAGAUUGAAAACUAAAUCUAUGGUUUUAGAUUUUUAUUUUAUUUUUUUAGAUAAUAGAUAUUGUUGAGUAAUGAAAAGUACCAGCUCAGCUAUCCCCGCUUCCCUCACCUUGGGGCGAAUCCCCAGAUGAAUGGCACAAGCAGAUUCCUGGUAAUACAUCCUGUACGGGGCAUAUGCCAACUAGAAACGAGUACCGACCAGAUGUACAUACCGACCAAGUACUCAUUAUUCAAAGAAAGAGGACACGAACUCAACAAACUCACGACAAUUUUGUUAUGCCCCCAAACCGUUGGGGAGAACAUGACGCCCCACGUUUACCCACGAUUCGGUGGUUGGAGACCCAUGAAGGUUUGUCAUCACCCGAAAAUGAGGGGCAUGAAUAAGACUCAGAAAACAGGGGAUGAUUGCCUAUAAAAGGCCAAGAAAUCGAUGAAAAAUGGGAGACACAAAUUGAGAGUAAAGGGGAAACUCUGUCAAAUUAUAAUCAGAAAUUCAUAUAUCCAAAUCCUUGAUACAUUUGGUAUUGAGAAUAUUGCAACUAAUAUGUACAACACAAAUCAUUCACUUUUCUCGUAAACACCUUGUACUAACUUAAGUAUCGAAGGGUUUAUGCCCAAAAAACCAUCGGCGUCUCUGAUUUGUUUCUGUGAACGCAGGCCUGGAAGGAAGAAGACGGGUGAUUUGGGUCCCAGAAGCUCGGGAAAUUGCUGAAGCUAAUGGAUCGCAGCCUCUGUUCCUUUGCCAAUACAAGCGUUGGUGAACCAAUCUGGUCGGUCCAAAGGCGACUAGAUUUCAGCAUCAACAGAUAUUAUUUUGAUGAAUUUUUUAAUAUUAGAAUAAUGUUAGGAAUUCCAAUAAUAAAAUUCUAACUUGAGACCCAAUUGUUAUGUGUUAUUUUUUUAUUGAAUAAUGAAUUUCACAACUAAUAAAAUUUAUAUUUCCAUCAUCUAAUAAAUGACUACCAUAUCAGUUGGGACUCAAUUAUUAGGAUCCUUAACAUUGCUCUUAGUAUUAAAUUGGACAUCUUAGCUAAAUCAGAUUAAAAAUCAAAUUAGUUUUUAAGCUUUUAUUCAACAUCUCUUUUUUUUUUUUUGUCUAUUGGAAGUGAACGAAAUAAAAAUACAACAGGGUCAACGACUGGGCAAUUGGUAGUCAAGUAGAAGCAAAUCAAGGCUAAAUGGGAAAGAGAAAUGAUAUUUGUGCAAAAUAAGGAGAAAAUCAGUGUAACAGAAGAGAAUCAAAGUGCUUUUGAGAUAAAAAAUUGAAACAAGAAAAGGGUCGCUUGAUCCAAUGAAAAUGCAAAGAGCUGAUGGCAAAAGGGAACAAAGUUAAAUAAGAAAACAGCUAGCGCUAGCAGCGACCACAAUAAACAGAAAAUUUGAGAUGGAUUUACAAUAUUUCUGCCUUUCUUUAUGCUUUAAAAAAUAUUGCUCUAUCAAAAAAAAUAUUGAACAUUUUUAUUAUUGGAGUCACAAAUGACCUACACAAUAUAGCAAGUGACUAGGAAUAAAUAAGAAUAUAUAACUCUCUCUAAUUCUCACUCUGGCUUUUAAUUGUCACUCAAAACCCAGAAUUCAUCCUUAAAGUGUAGGCAAAUCAAGGAUGACACCGUUUGGUUGUCAUACGUGCCUUUUAGUUUUCGGAUGACAUGGCGUACACUUCUUCUGUAAACCCAACAAGACAUGUCGUACUCUUUUGUUUUGAGAUUCUAUUUCAAACUUUUCAUGCUAUGAAUGAAAGAUAAACUCCAAUCAUCAAAAUAUUUAGUGUUUGUUUGGUAAUGUAAUGUCAUAGUUGUGAAUUGAAAUUAUUUCUAUAAAAUAAAAGGAUUUGGGUCAUUGUUUGUUAUUUUCUGACAACAUUUAUUAAAUAUUAAAAAAUAAAUUUAUAUUUAUUAGGUAUUAAAAAUAAAUAAACAAACAAAAAUAAAAGUAAAAGUUUAUACAUUACGUAAAAUAAUGACAAUAUCAAUAUUUCGCACUCUAUAAUUGAGUGAUGUGUUGUCCAACUGGCAUACAUUGGUCCCAAACGGAGACUUAAAUAUCAAAGUCCAAAGUUAUUAUGAUGAUGACUUAUAAUCGCCAAACUUGACAUACGGGUAAUCAUGCAUUAUAAGGUGCUAAUUUCUUCCGAUCGGAACCUUAUUUUUCAUUUACAAAUAAAUAAAUGAUGUGACUUCACGGUUGGCGGGGUCCUUUGUGUCAUUUGGGCAUUUCACUAAAUGAUUGAUUGUAGCAGGAAGAUUCCUGGAAGUUGCCAUUUGCCAAUGCUACUAACAUUUUCAAACUUGGAAAACCCUUCAAUCAAUCUUUUAGUGGUAGGCUCUGGUAACUUGGUUUGAUUAUGACGUAUAAUUAUUUGAUAAUAAAGUUAGAGGAUGUAUUAAUAUAAAAUUUGUUUAUUGGUGUUGAAGUUAAUUAUCUCAUUAAUAAUAGUAUAAAAAGUUAAUUACUAAGAAACACAUAGCAAUAGUUAAUUGGUGUCAUAUUAUUGGGAUUCUGGGAUAUAAUUUUAUAUCAUAACUUUGUAAGUGUAUACUUACUCAUCAAACUAAUAAAAUUAUUUAAAAAUUUCAGUUGGAAAAAAUAAAUUAUAUUAUUUUCAUUUCAAAUAAUCUAUAAGUUAACUCAAAACAUAAUCAAGCUGAGAAUUAAAAUAAUGCUACUGUAUGAGAGGAUUUUUAUUUUUUCCCGAAGUUUCACUAGGAAAUUAUUGAUACAUAGCUUUAUUCGGAUCAUCUCAGUUCAAACGACAAAUAAUUGAAAGACUAAGCUAAAUAGACCAGCCAACAACUUUGUACAAGAGAGUUCAAAAAUUAAGGUCAUGGUAUUAAGGUGUUCUAUCUUGAAAAGUAUAGAGUAGUAAUAAAAUAAAAACUAAUAGUUUUUGGUAAGAUAUGACAUUUAAAUAAUAAUUUUCACAAAAAUACAAGGAAUAUUUAUAAAUUACUUUUAUAGUGAGGGGACCCUCACUCUGUUAAAGUGAAAAUAUCAAUAAUAUACAAAAGACAUAUAUUUUAACACAUUAAAAAUUGUAUUUUUUUAUCUAUUGGUGUAUUGAAAUAUGUGUUAUUUAGUUUGUUAGUGAUAUCAUUACUUUGUUAAAAUGAGAAUGUCGUUACUAGAGAAUCAUUAUGUAUACAUAUAUAAAGUGCUUCUGUCCAAGACCUAGACUUUAUUAAAAUUUGAGAAAGCAAAUAUAUUUUAUAUGGUAUAAUAGUGUAAUAACAUCACACUAUUAUAUCAUAUAGAGUAAUAGUUUUUCGAACUUUAAUAAAAUUCAAGAUUAUAGAAUGAAUGAUUUUUAUAUAUUAUAAAUUUUUUUAUCAUAAAUGGAGGACAAAAUUAACAUAUUUUCAAAUUAUAAUAAGCAUUUAUCAAAUAAUUUAACAUUGCAAUUUCUCCUAACUAGUAUAGUAAAUAAUACGACCUAGGAGAUACAUUCAAAGCAUUUCAUAAGUUAGUUGUUAAUAAUAAAUUAUAUAUGCAGCUCCAAUCAUCAUUGUACGGUGAGUAAUUUCCAGUUAUAAAUAGAUAUUACUCCCUUCCCAGCAAUUUUUGAUGACUUAAUUUAGUGGGAUCAAAAUCAACAUUGAAUUUUUGACCAGCUGCCAACAACUUGUGAGCAGUUCACAGUGGGUACUGCACAUGAUGCCUGUUUCUCCUUUUGCAUCUAUUUUUGUUGUUAACAUUAAUUUCAAUAGCAGCUCGUUAAUCCCAUUUGUUGAUUUGGGACUAGAUAAGAAUUUAUCUUGGAACUCCAAUUCUCCAAUUAUUUUAGUUGACAAUAUAUUUAACAUUAUUAAUUGCAUAUUAUUUAAUUAUCAGUAUAUAAUAUUCUUUAAUUUUCUAAUUUUAUAGGAUUAGACACAAAAUUGAUUAUGCCUUUUGAAAUUUAAGGGUUAUGUCAAUUGAAUAGAAAACUUGGAGGUAAACUUGUGGAUGUUUUUGUUGAUUAUCAAUUUAUGCAUGAAUUUUUGUACGUUUACUUUGGUUUAUAAUUAUUACUUUUAAACAUUUUUAUUGGUUUGAUUUAGGGUCAAUUUGGUAAUCCUGUAGCUUUAAAAUAAUUACAAUUAGCUAUGCUGUAGAAAUGAUCAAUCGUCAAGAGAAUCAGCUGAGCAUUUAGUAAAAUUUAUUUUUAAAAGUACUUUUAGUUUUAAAAGCGUUGUAUGAAUAAAACUGUUACACUAAAAAAUUAAAUGUAUUGCCCACUUGGGUAAAUAAAGCUAUAUAUUACAACUGUUACACUAAAAUUAAAUGUAUCUUAAACCCAAACUUCUUCUUCUUCUUUUUUGACUAACAAAAUUAAAAACAAUAGUGAACACAUUCUUUAAUAAACAAUAAGUAAUAAAUAAAAUCGUGUUAAAUUUCUUAAAAACUUUCUUUCACGGUUUGCUAAAUAUUUUUAUUAGUAUUUUAAAUAAAUAAAAAUAGUUGAUUUUAAUUUUUUUAAAUAAACUUAUUAGGUUUCAUGUAAAGAUGUUUUUGUUAUUUUAAAAAGUGUAGAAAGUACUCCUAAAAAAAAGCGUAGAAAGUAAAACUUAAUUUUUUAAAUUUAUUAGCUGAGUGCAUAAAUAAUUGAGUGUUCAUAAUGAUUUUUAAAGUAUAGAUAGUCGGACCCUAAUAUUUUUAAUAAAUGGAAAUUUUGCUAAUAUGUUAAUGAGAAUUAAAAAGAUAAUUAAGGGAGGCAAUCGAGACAUUCAGGAUAGUUAGGAUGGGACAUGAUUGUGAGCGGUUAGAUAUUGGUCCUAAUUUUGAUCACAAAUAUAUAAACAGGACGAGUUUAUCUCUACUUACAUUCCAUUUGAUAAUUAAGAUGAGAGUGGAAUUGUCAAAUCCCAAAUCAUCCCGGACCACUGCCACCAAGGGUACUCUCACUAAUAAUAUCUAAAGAAAAAUCUACAUCUAUUUCAUACUUUUUUUAAUGGAAAGAGCCCUCAUGGGGCUUGAAAUGGUAUCCUAAAUAAUAUUGAGAAUAUCAGGUCAUGAUUGGGUUUGUGACAAACAAAUACUACAUAGUUGGGAUACGUAGUUAUAAUGUCCCAAUUUAUGUAGUAUCUAUCAUUUAGCGCACAUAUAAAAUAUUAAUCAGCUUAAUUAAUUUAUAAAAUUUAAAUCUAAUUAAUAAGUGAUACAUAAAUGCCAAGUGCAAUACUGUAUAUGCAAAUCAUGUUUGUGGAUCAUUACAAAAUUGGCUCUUGAAAACAAGCAAGAAAGCUUAAUUAAGAACUUAAAACAAAAGAAUUAGAUUGAGAACAGUCAAGCCUUAUUUUUUCAAGGAUGGAGCUUAUAAAUCUUCAAGUACCAACAUACGCUUGGCCCAAUUGUUGUUAUUAAAAUUUCAAUAUACAUAUAUAAGUAUGAUAUAGCAAAAAUUUGAUGGUACAUAUGUCGGAAUAUACUAGUUCAUGGGUGCAUUUGAUUAUUGUUUCCAUAAAUUUGAACCAGGAAGGACGACACGAUAAAAAUUUGAUUUAUGGUAUGGUUGAUUUCAUAGCUCAUGCACUCAUUUCUUAAGAUAAUCAAAUUUUCUCUGACAUCUUUUUCAACUGUCGAAAUAUCAAUUAUGAUCAAUCAAAACGAUUUCAAAACCUUUCAACGAGACAUAUUUCUAAUACAAUAUUGUGAAAAUUACACUAAAAAAUAAUUUAUUAUAUAUUAUUAUCCAACGAGCACACAAAAAUGAUUUCGUACAAAUCUAAAAUACUAAGCAAUUUUCAAAUAGAAUUUACCAUGUACUACAAGAAAAUAGGGUAUAUGUGACCCCUACUGUGAAUGCAAAAGCAGCCAUUACGCAUAACCCCGAGUUGCUUUUGUUACCCUUUAUGUGACGGCCACACUGCUGUCACAUAUGUUACGACCGCGUGACGGUGAAGAGCCGUUCGGUAUACUAAUAUUUUAGAAUUUUAAAUUUAUUUCCAGUUAGAAAACUAUUCGCUGGACUCCGUGUUGCUGGCCACCAUCGUAAACAUAACUGGUUGCCAGCGAACGGCGUAAAACGCCGGCCAUCUUCUUCUUCAACGUAUUCUCCCUUCAUCUUUGAGGUAAGCUUGUGAUUAUGAGUUUCUUCUCUUACUUAGCUUGUAAUUAUAGAUUUUGAUUUUUUUUAAUUCGUAUUGUAGCCGUUAUUGUCAAUUUUUGUCCCGCCAGCAAUAUUUUUUUAUUCCUACAAGUUGAAACCCCUGUGUUCUUGUUCCAUUGGUGAGUUUGCUCACUCAAAUUAAUUUUGUUCUGCGGAAUUUACAAAGUUCAAAUGGAUUCAUUUGAAUUACUAUUGAAUUUAGCUUUAAUUCCAACAUCCAUUCUAAUGUUUUGCAAUUAGAUUUAAUUUAAUUUUAUGUUUAAAGCUUCUACAAUGAAUAGCGGAGCUUGGGUUUUAGUUUCAUUUUCUGGAUAACUUGUUUUUAGUUUAUCUUGUAUGCUCACCAAAUGCUUGUUAUAUUGUCUGAUAAGUUAUAUACAUUGCUGAUUCUACAUUAAUAAUGUUACGUUGUAUUUUCAGAAAUUAUAAUACAAAAGUUUUUUGCAAUGGCGUGCAUCUACAAACUGAAUUGACUUGUAGAAUAAGAGCUCGGAGUAGUGUUAUGUUCUUGAAUAAUUGAAAGUUCAUAUUGUGUAAGAGCAUUGUAGAUGUAAAGCAUCAUUACCAUUUCUACAAAGUGCUUUCAUUCUGUUCAUAUGCUCUUCUUGAACUUUGAAAGGUGCCUCGUUCAAGUCCUAGCUAUAACUACUAGCUUUGAUUAAUUAAGUUCCUAUACUAGCUGAAACAGAUUUAUUUAAUUAAUUAAUUGUGUAUGUACUAAUUAUAUUGAAAGUAUAUGAAUUUUUUUUUUAACAUGAAUGACUUCUAAAUGACUUAAAAACCUAAAGGGAUGUGUGAAACAAUGCUCAUUUCAUUUGAAUGAGCCCAUUAAUACUUUUAUGUCUAUGAUUUUCAAUAUUGGCUAAAGCAUUUCAGUUAAGUGGUUUACCUAACAGAGAAAAAAAUUUAAUAGAAAACUUCAGAGUUUCUAACAGAAAUAUAGUUCACUAUGCAGAUAUAGUUAUUUUACGGUAUACAAAUCAAGUUGUCCUAAUCUCAAUGUCCUAUGACCGAUUUUAUUUUAUAUAGUCAUUAAUUUUUUUCCUUGGUUUUUUGUGUUUAUGAGUAUGAAAUAGUGGGAUUUGGUGUACCUUAGCAUCUUUUGAAAAUUCUCUUUCAGUGUGGCCAACAGAAAUAUACAUAUAAUCAAGUUCUUAAUCGUGUAUAUUAGUUUUGGGUAUGAAUGUUCUAUUCUAGUUCGAGGCAAAGCUUCUUCGUUUUUGGUCUUCAGAUUUCCAGUAGGUUAAGUUAAUCAACUAUCAUAACUGGCUAGCUAGUUAUUGUCUGCCUUGGCGCCAUUACCAGGCCAUUAUAUUGCAUAGCAUAAGGAAUAGUGAUUAGGGGAUUAUUAGUGAUUUGUUGAGCUUAUUAUCGACCAAACAAACAUAUUCGCCUUUGCCCACAACUUAGUUUGAUUAGUUAUUAGACCAUAAAGAGCCUUGAUCUAUUCAUUGGCUUUAUUAUUUUUAUUUGGUUUUUCUUUCAACAAUAUUGUUGAUUUCUUAUAAAAAUAUUCAUUGGUUUUUAAACACCUAAUCAUUGGCUAUAUGAAGCUAAUUAAAACUGAGGCUUUGGAUCAAUUUCUUCUAACAAGAUACAAAUGAGCAUUAACCUAUCUCCUAUGAGUAAAUUUUUUUAAUAUCCUUGAUUUGUAAGGAUCUGGAGGCCUGAAAUCCUCUAGAUUUUUUUUAACACUGUCAAUGUUCUUUUAUUUCUGAGAAGGAAAUAAAAGGUUUUAUCUUUCAUACCCAAAUAGUAAGCUGGCCUUGUCUUAACAUGGCCUCCGAGGACUUGCAAGAUUCAUAGUGCCCCCACCCCAAAAAAAUAAAAAUAAAAAAACACAAAUAGGAAGAUUUUGCAAGAUUCACCACCAGGUUUUUUUUAAUUUGUUAAUUGUGUGUACGUGCUAGUUAUAUGUUGAAAGAAUAGGAAAGAAGUAUUUCAACAUGAAUGACUUAAAACUUAUUGCUCAGUAAACAUAAUCUGCAUGUAUUUAUCGUUUGUAUUUUUUAUGGUUUUGCUAAAGAAAUGAUAUGUGAAAUAAUGCUACAUUUGCAUCAGGAAUAAAUUGAAGAGAUUUAUGAUAUUUAUGUGUUAUUCAAAUUUCAGAUUCAAUUUUAAACUUUUGAUACGUGCAUUGAAAGCUUAGACUUGUUUAAGAAAUUAUUAAUAGACACAUGUUUUUAUUAGUGUCAUCUUUGGAUGAUAGUGAGGAUCAUAUGUCUAUUAAUAAUUCUUGAAUUGUCCAGGCUUGGACAGUUUGGGAAUGCAUAGUUCACUCUGGUAGCUAGUAGCUGAAGUUUUUUCCCACGUAAAAAUGGGUUUUUCAGUAGCUGCUCCUCGUGUUCUCUGGGUACGUACUAGGUGAAUGGGUGUCAUGUGUUGUUUUGGCAUAACGCAUAAACACUUAUAUAGCUAUGUCGUGUGCUUGGAGAAUUAUAGGGAGAUGGUGCCGAAAUUUUUAUAAACGUGGAAGAAAACUUUAGGUACUUGAGAUUGAAGAAACUUAUGCAUUCUUGAGUGGGAUAUGUAGGAUUACUUACCUUUUGUAAAUAUGAAGGGAAUGUUGGAUAUAUUGGGGAUAGUGUAGGAGCUGAGUUGGAUGAAUGUAAUUGGUGAUGAUUUUUGCUGAGCUGACCUUGGUUUUGAGCUUGUAAUUUUGUUUGUAAAUGGAGUGCUAUCUCCAAUGUUGGUUUAUAAAUAUGUUUCAGGACUUGCUGACCUAAUUUUUUGUUUCUAGGUUACAGGCUUUAUAUAUCUGUAAUUGAUGGCGAAGUGAAGUUCCCAGAACUUGGCGAGGAUGUUUCUUUACAGAAGGUAUUGGAAACUGUUUUUUACAUUAAUUAUUGUUGUAUAUAUACUUUGAUUUUCACAUCUUUUUCUCUGAUUCUUGUGGCUUUGCUUGCUUUCAUAUAUGUAAAUUCUAAUGAAAAUUAACCAUAAAAUUGUUUAAAAUGAUCUUUUUAUUAUAUUGCAAAACUGUGCACACACGAAAAUAUAUUGUUUAGUAGUAGAAAUGAAGAACUAAAAUGAUUUACUUAACUAAUUUUUGUAGCGCAUUAAAAGGAGAUAGUCAUGGACAUGUGUUGGGUUGGUUUGCCAAAUAGAUAUCCAAGUCAUAUACUGAUGGGGAUGAAAAAUUUAUAGAUUUUGCAUUUGAGAAUGUUGUUGGUGGUACAAGAAUUUAAUGUCCUUUUAAGAAGUGUUGUAAUCUAUAUUUCGUUAUAAAGGAAAGUGGCUGAUGAUGAUAUGGUUGGAAUGAUACAAUGCAUCACGUAAUCAAAUGUUCAAGUUACACGGAGCAUUGUUAUGGACUAUCAGUGACUUUCUAGCAUUGCCAACUUGUCUGGGUGGAGUAUUAAAGGUAAAUAAGCAUGUCUUGUUUGCCAACAAAACACUAGAUCUAAUUGGUUGAUACAUAGUAGAAAAUUUUGUCACGUGGGUCACCGUCGAUUUUUACCAACAAAUCAUAGGUUUCGAAAAUAUAGUGUCUUUUGAUAAAACUAGAGAGUAGGGACCAGCACAUUCUCGGUUGUCUGGAUCUGAAGUGAAAAAGCAGUUUAAUAUACUUACUGAGUAUAAGAUUGAAGACUUGAAAAUAGGAGAAUGAAUAAAAUGAGAGAAAUGAUAAGAUUACUUGGAAGAAGAAAAGCAUAUUUUAUGAACUACCGUGUUGGGAGUUCAAUUUGAUUCAUCAUAUCUUGAUCUCAUGGGCUGUUUUGAUUUUUGUUAUGAACUCAGAUCAAAAGUUUAAUGUGAUCAAAAUUUCUUAAAAAUAGUGAAAACGACUCCUAAUAAUAUGGAAGAUGGCUAUAAAAAGAUAAAAGGAAAGGCUUAAAAAGAAAAGCCAUGCCUGUCCAAAAAAAAAAAAAUCAACAAAAAUCAAAACGGUGCGUUUGAGAGUGUAUAAAAUACAUUUAGAGUGGGAGUUGUGUUGUUGCUUGAAGGCAGAAAGAUAUUUGUCGACGAAGCCAAAACCAAAGAUGAAGCCCAUAAAGCUCAAACUCCACCGGAGCAAAUUCAGGACAAUUACGAGGGUUAUGUUUGACAUAGUCAAGGAAGACGGUCCUCUCACCGUUGCCGAAACUUGGGAACGCGUCAAGGUGUGUGUAUCUGUUAAAUUGAAUUUCAACCGUUUGAUCUGUAAUUAUAAUUAAUCCAAUCGAUCUGACAGUGAUCACUGACCAUAAUACUAGUAGUUGUUUUACAUUUUCAGCAGGCUAGAGCGGGUGGAUUGACGGGCAAAAGCUCAGGCUCGUCUGCAAUCACAUGGGCCCUCAUAAGCAAAUCCUGUACACAACUUGGUUCACUAAACCCAACAACUUGAAGCAGCCAAAAUCAGGGAAUGAUCCUUCUCCGUCACAACCCUAGCUGCCUUAACCUUGUAGUGACACGGUGAAGAUGGAAGCCCCUCAGCAUGUAAACUUUUCAACAGCGACAGAGCUCUUAUUCCAGAGGCUGCACAGAAGAGCGACCUGGAAUCCUCUUCAAAACUUUCAAAUUUUUAUCAAGUAAAGCUUUCAAAAUUUCUCAACAAACUGAUUAUUUGGUGUGGUUGCCACAUUUUGUGCAACUGCUAUUCGUCUUCAAGUACAAAUUCCUUGCCUUCUAAGUUAGGGAACAUAGAUGUGGAGCAAACAGGGAAAUAGAUGUGGAGCAAACAGGGAAACAGCAAUGAUGGCAAUUAACAAACUAAUAGCAGUAUUACAUUUGAUUCUUUAGCCCAAUUUUGUUCCUUCUGUCAGCCAUUCUUCAAAAGUUUUUGAAAAUUAGAUGUGAAGCAAAAAAAAAACAAAUUUAGACAACAGAAGCCCUGUGCUCAACAUCAUAUAUAUACCUUGAAUACCUAAUAUACUAAAUUUCACAUAUAAAAUACUAGAGAUUUCAAACAGUACCAGCAAUAGAAUAAUGACAACGACAACAAUAACAGAAAAUUACAAGAUUGCUGACAAAAUUUAUGUGAUUUACUGUGCCUUUAUGCAUGCAAAAUGAAACUGAAGAUAAAAAAUUUAGGGAAAAGGACACAGAGACCCCCAACGUUUGAAUAAGGGACACAAAAUCCCUUAAUGUUUCAAAAAAGACACUCAGACCCCCAUUUGUUAACAUUAAAUUAUAAUUUUACCAUUGUACCCUUAUAGCAUAUUAAAAAAUAAUUAUUCAUUAUCCAAUUUAUUUCUAUAUUAUUAAUAAAAUUACGAAUAUAACUUCAUUACUCAAUUUUUCCAUUUAAUUUUUAUCAAAUUUUAUCUUCAAACUAAAUAAAUUUAAUCCAUUGCUCAAAAAUAAAAAUAAAUUAAAUUGAUUAUUAAUAUAAUAAAAAUAACAAUUCUCCAUAUGUUAUUUCUUAUAAUUUCUUAUAUAUAAAUUAAAUUGAUAAUUUCUUAAAAAUAACAAUUCUCCAUAUAUAAAUUAAAUUUAUUUUAAUUUAAUAUAUGUUAUUUUUAUAUUAAAUAUAUGUUAUUUUUAUUAUAUUAGUAAUCAAUUUAAUUUAUUUUUAUUCUUGAGUAAUGGAUUAAAUUUAUUUAGUUUGAAGAGAAAAUUUGACAAAAAUUAAAUGGAAAAAUUGGAUAAUGAAGUUAUAUUCGUAAUUUUAUUAAUAAUAUAGGAAUAAAUUGAACAAUGAACAAUUAUUUUUUAAUAUGCUAUGAGGGUAUAAUGGUAAAAAUUAUAAUUUACUGUUAACAAAUGGGGGUCUCAGUGUUUUUUUUGAAACAUUAGGGGGUUUUGUGUCCCUUAUUCAAACGUUGGGGGUCUCUGUGUCCUUUUCCCAAAAAUUUAUAAACUAGAAAUUUAUAAUAAUCUAACUUAUUCUCGUUACUAUUAAAAAAUAAGUAAACAUAUCAAUAACAAUAUAGUUUAUUAUGAUUAUAAUUCAUUCAAUUAAAAUAAAUAAUUUAUUCUUAUUUCUAUUCUCUAUUCUAAUUUCAGUAAAUUUUGAUUUUAGUUUAUUUUAAUUAUUGAUUAGUUGUAAACUUAACUGGAAAUUUAUUGCAUAUAUUACGAGAAGCAGUACACACCAAUGGUAAAUUGAUACAUCGUUUUUGAGCUUAAGAUAGUCAAAUGAAAGAAACACAACGUAGGGUUCAUGAAACACUUUCAAAGCUGCUGAUGACUUAAAGUGAAUAACCUCAGCAUGUAAACUUAACUUCAAAGGACGGAGCACAAGUUUCACAGAAAAACAGCUCUUAUUUCUGAUGCUGCGAACACAGAGGAGUGACCUCAAUCUUCUUCAUCACUUGGGAAUUCUGCAAUUAUAGAGCACGACAUUGAGCAUGAACUAGAAAAAAUAUUUAUUUUCUACAAUUUUCAUAUAACCUCACUAACCAAGAUUAAUUUUGUGGUAAUGUAUUGGGUCAUUAAUUCAUAUGUUUUUACUGUCAUCACUUUAGAAAAAACUAAUUUCUCAAUGUGAAAUGGCCCAUAAAAGGUAUUCUCAUUUAAAAACUAAAUUUGACAAACCCUCGAUUAAAGCAGGGGAGAGAAAAGAAAAAAAAAAGAUCUGAAGGCUUUCCACAUGAAAAUGUUGUCACUUUGGAUGAUAUUUUCAAGGGAUUUCAUUCUAAAAAUAAAAUACCUGGGACCUUAUUCUUCAAAUUGACAGCUCGCCCAGUACUAAACGCGUAUGAGAUCAGUACUGGGACAAGUAACGAGACGACCCCUCCAACAGCUGAAAAUAAAAUUCGCAUUCAUCAAUUUAAAUUGAAAUUCAUAUUAUGAAAUUAAAACUAAUGAUUAAUGAAUUUUCAAGGAAUUUAAUAAGAUUCUCAUAUAUAAACGUGAUAAAAAAUUCACUCAUCAAUAACAAAUAUUCUAACAUUUUGUUGAUGUAAUUGUUGUAUGGUUGUGUUAAGGUCAUUAUUAGACCAACGCAGUUUGUCAUCACUCAUUCCGUACCAGACGUUUACUCUCGGAGGCGUGAUUGAUUCUCCUUUGGUGAAAUCUUCAUCUUCGGACAACCAAUCACAGUAAGAUAUUCCAAAGAUGGGAAUUUGAAGGCGUAAUUGCCAGAGGAGAAGCUUGUGAGACUAUCUAAAUCAAACAGGGACAACGUAGUCAGUUUGCUGAAAACAAUCUCUUCUUUUAAAUAUGCUGUUUCAUUUCAAGACUGGCAAAAUUCAUUGUGUAAUCAAAGUUUUCAAUGAUCCAACUAAUAUAUAUAUAUAUGUAUGUAUAUUCCUUCUCUAGUGCAGACAUUCUCAUUUUUUUUUUUCAUGUGGACCAGUUUUUAGAUCCCCUGGUUUAAAAGAGUUAGUUUUUAACUCUUUAAAACCGCAUGGCUUCAUAAUUUAUUUAAAAACUAACUCUCUUAAACCGCACGGUUUAAAAGCGUGUCCACAUUAAAAAAAAAUACGGACCCCCACACCUGAGAAUGAUUAUAUAUAUAUAUAUAUAUAUAUAUAGACACACGCUCUUAAACCGUGGGAUUUGAAAGCUUCUCCGCAUGAAGAAAGUAAAAAAUAAGGGCAUUCCCACUAGAAACAAACUCCAUAUAGGUAUUUAUUAAACCUCCUGAUCUGUGAGUGAGGAACAACAAAUAUAAUUGAUAAAAAAAAUCUAAAAUUUGGUUUCAUACCUUCUUGAACGAGAACAGGGGUUGUUGUGCCGGAAUACCAAAUUGAUCAUUCUCGUUAUUCUGGGACAACGUUAUUUUAUCACAAUUACAGGCCUCCAAUGUUUUUUAGUGCUGGCCAUUCUGAAGUAUGCAUUCCAGGGUAUAAACAUCCGAGUUCUGGUAGACCUUCGAGAUUCAGAGUGGUCACUUGUGGAAAGACAAAAUAUGGGGUCACUUGAUCUGCUCUGUCUUUGGAGAUGAUCUCUUGUAAACCCAUACAUAUCCGUAUCUCCAGGUGUUGGAGGUGCUCAAGGCUUUGGAUCAUAGAAGCUGAAAAUAUGUAUUUUAAUUUGUCACAGCCCCACACUAUCAAUCGUGUCAAACUUUGAAAGCCGCAAGUUGAUUGUCAUGCAAAAUCUCGUCGACAUUAAUAGCAUUCAGCUCCAAAGCCUCCAAAUUUGGCAACACUACCUGAAGAUAAUUUUCUCUUUAGAUCCAAUAUCCGUAUGGAAAGCACUUGUUUUGACACAAUAUCCAUAUAAGAAGCACUUAAUUAAGAGCUUAAUUAGCGAGUGUAUGAGACUUUUUUUUUUUCAAAUGCCAGUGCAUGAUAGAACUAAAAAAAAAAAAGAAGCAUUAGCCUACGUACCUUCUCGUUGAAAGCAGAGUUGACGUUUCCGAACUGAUCUCGUUGGAACUGGCUGUCAAUUCCUCUUGCGACUCUUGUCUGUUUGGUGAUGUGGAAGAAGUCUUCACUUCACCGCAAAACCUUGUAACCUUUGGAAGCUUUCCCAGACUCAAAGAUCUUAAUUGACCAAACUCUAUCUUCCCAUCAACAUCAACAUCAGCUUCUCCUCCAGUUGCAAAAAUCUCUUCCAUGCUGCUGCAAUUGAUAACUGCAAUCCUCUCCAGUCUUGGAAGGCAUUUUGUACUACUAGAGAGCCAGAAGAUAUUACUCAACUCAUCACAAUUUUCUACUUUUAUGGUUUUGAGUUCAUUGAAGGACUCUAUUUUGAGUCGAUCAAUACAUAUCCUCUCCAUAUUGAUCAAAUUUUGAAGAGUAUGGGACUCCAAAAGAGGAAAGGCGACACAUGGUUCUCUCUCCAUUGAAUCGACGAUACACAGGAAGUCUGGAUUAUUUUGAACAUGGAGAUGCUUCAAUUGUGAAAAGCCCUCAGUGUCCAAUUCUAAAACAACAUUCUUGAUUCCUUGCAACUUAUCCAAACAUAAGUAUUCAACGUUAUUGAUGCGCUGCAACUUCUCGGAGCAAAUGGCCAUAGAAUCAAGCUUGAGCUUCAAUGUUCUUAAACUCUCAUGAUUACUGAUCAUAAAGUGCUGCCGACUUUCAAACCAAUCAUUCUCAAUAACCAGGGUAGAGUCGAAUGAUGCAUCUCCUAUUGAUAUAUCAAACCUUUCCAGCUUUUUGGAAAAAAAGCCAUCCGGUAAAAUGCUAUCAUUUUUAACAUCUAUCUAAGGUGGUCAAUCGCCUCAUAUGCAUCAAUUCGUCGAGGGUGGCAUUACUUCUUUCACUAUUGGCCUUUUCAACUUCCCAUUCAAUAGGGGAAUUACCCAUAUACAGUUCUUCCAAUCGAGUGAAGCUUGAUAAGACGUUGGGCACAAUAAAUUUUAGUUGCAAACAAUCUGUUAAAUCUAACAGCCUUAACUUAGUCAGUUGACCUAGUUCGCCAGGCAACCGUACAAUAUCAGAAUUUAAAAAGCUAAGGAUUUCUAGAUUCUUCAACUUUCCAAUUAUGGCUAUGUCUCCCAACAUGCUUUGAUCUAGACAGAGUGUUUGAAGAUUUGCUAGAAGACCGAUUGAAGAUGGCAAUGAAAAUAAUCGCAUUCGUGUCAAAUCUACAACUCGAAGCUUUUUCAGCCCUUUGAAAAUGUUGUCAGGAAUAUUGACCUCAACAAAAGUGUUUUGGGAAAUAUGUAAAAAUUCAAGUUGCAGACAUUCAAAUUCCUCAGAAACUUCAUGAAUGCUACUAUUUAGUAAAGAGAUUGCAUAGCAUUUUUUAAGUGCAUCCUCAUCUGGCCACUCCCACACAGCCUCAUUUCUCACCAAUAAAGCAUGUUGGUCUCGAUUUAAACUUUAACUCAAUUUGAAAAACUGAGCAAGUAUGCGUUACAGGAAAUCAAAAAAGCUCCACAUACCCAGAUCAUGAUCUCACGUUGAAUCCAGGUGGGAGAUAUAUUUAUGAUCAAGCCCAACAUCGAAGGGGCAAAAAAAAAAAAAAAAAAAAAAAUCUACCAGACAUAUGAUCAUAUUGACCACGAGCUUCAUACGCCGUGGAUUUAUUAACAAAAGUGGGAAUUAAUUAAUCAUGAGCAUGUGUUCUAGUUAAGUCAAAAGAGAGACUUAAUUAAGAACGCAUAUAUAAUUCAUAAUCAGCACAUAAAAAGAUCACUAGUGCUUGCCCCUCCUGCCCUUGCCGUGCUUGCCGUGCUUGCCCCUGCCCUUGCUCUUUCCAUGCUGGUAGUAGCCGCCGUGCUUGCCGUGUGUGUAUGCACCGUGAGCUCCAGGAUAUGCGUUAUUAUCUGCAACAAAAUAAGAAAUUAAAUCAUAAGCUUAUAAUUAGCUCGCUCGCUAAGAGUGAUUAAAAUAAUACCGUGCGGAACGGAUGGGCCAGGAUAUCCCGUUGGUGUGUAACCACUGGCGAGUGCUGCUCCUGUAGGCGGGUAGCCGGCACCGGCUGGGCAGCAUGAUCAGCACCUUCCAUGAUUUUGAUGAUCACCUAAUAAAUAAUAACUUGGUCCAAAAUAAACAACAAUAAAUAAUUGUGAUUAAUAAAAAGUAAUAUAUUCUCUAAUUAAAACAUUAAUGAUCAUUGGAGAGCAAGCGAGAAAUACUUACUGAAUGCGAUGGGACAGACAACAUCAUGCAUAGAGAAUUGUUCAUCUUCAACGAAUUUGGCUGCCCGGUCAAUGAUGCCGUUAGCACUAACCAGCCACUUCUCAACCUUCUCUUCAAUCUCUUCCCCUUUUUCUUUUGCCUCUGAAACUCUGCGCCGAAUGCUCGUACGUUCAACCUUCAACUUCUCCAUUUCCGUCUUGAGAUUCUCAAGGUUGGCAUUGUAGUUCCGCUUGCGCAAAUAAACAAGUUGGCGUUCUGUUGGAGGAGCCAAGCAUUUUACAAGUUCCAAAACGAGAGUAACAAUGAUUUCCAGCAUCUUGAAUCCUGACAACAAUGUAGAAGUGAAGAAGGCCAAAGGACAGUCAAAACAGAGAGACAGCGUUACGACAAGCAGUUAUGGAGCUAAAAAUAAAUAACAAACAAACAGAAGCAAAGUGUUUUUCGAAUGAGAAGAAGGAAGCAAGAAAAACUUAAAACUAGUAUAAUAAAUUUAUACUAAAACUAGUAUAGUAAAACAAGAAGUCAAGAACCAGCAACUUUUACACACAAAAUAAAACCUUAAAACUAGUAUAAUAAAUUUAUCAUCAAGUUGCAGCCUUCUUAUUCAACAAUUACAGCAUUAUCUUGAGCUCUGUGUUUCUUUUUUUAAAAAUUAUUCAAAAAAAUCUGCAUUUGUUUUUCAACGAUAAAAAUUAUAUUUUUGUCUCAUAUAAUAUAAAAUUAAAAAAAAAACAAACAUAUAUUAAAGGUCUGUUUGGGAUUAUUUUUAGAGGCUCAAAAGUAAUUUUAAAAAGUUAAAUGCUAAUUUUGGUAUUUAAUAAAAUUUUUAGAAGUCACCUUUGGUAAAAUCAUCAAUCCUACAACAAAUUUUGAAAGCAAAUAGUUUUUCAAAUUUUUAUUUUGAUAAUUAAUUUUAUACUUAAUAUAAUUCCAUAUACAUCCCUACAUAUAUUAAUUAUCCUUAUUAAUUAGAAAAUAAAAUUAUUAACUUUAAAGAUAUUAUCAACAAUUACAUUGAGAUAACAAACUAAAAAAUAAAAUUAAUAAUAUAAAAUAUUUAUUUUAGUAAUCAAUUAUUAUACUUACAAGAUAAAAAAUAUUUUAUUUAAAUGUUUAUAAAUGUACAAAUAAAUUUUAUUUAAUAUUAUAUUCAAUUUAGUCAUUUACAUUGUCAAUAGGACUUCUAAAAAUAAAUUUUCCUAAAUGUUUAACUAAUUCUCUUCAUAGUGAUUAUUUCCAAACAUAACUACCAAAAAUUACUAUAAUAGAUACAACAUUACCAAAAAAAUAUUGAGAUAGAUUUUAAUUAGGUAAUUGACUUAAUUAUGAAUCAAUUUAUUAUUUCCAUAUGUGUUAUCAAAACCAGCUCAAUAAUGAGAUCACUCUUUUUCUUAAAUAAAAAUAUUUGUGCCAAACAAUUGUUGCAAAAUUUCAAAUAUAAAUUACAAACAACAAAAUUUUUCUAAAAUCAUAACAAUAAUUUAUGUUGUGAAUACAUGUAACUAAACCACAUUGAAAUUUUAUUGUUAGUAAAAUUGUUUUUCACGCAAAUGCAGUGACGGAUUCAGUUUCAUGUUUCACCCUCAAUAACUUAAUUUUCAUAUCUAACAAAUCAUCCAUAUUAUUAACAAUAUCAUCACCAAACAUAAUCUACCUAAACAUAAACUAAACAUAACACAUACAUAUAACUAUAUACAUACCGAAUCAGGAAAACAAUGAAAGCUACACGUAUCCGGCUCUACAAUUCCUUCUUGAUACCCUUGUGCUUCUGAAAUAAUCAACCAAUUAUAAAAAUUAGCUUAGGCGCAACUUUACCCCUUUUUUGGAAAACUUAACGAUAAAUAAAGUAUACAAAUCUCUAAAUUAACUUCGUCCCCAUGAAAUUCAGCAUAAAUAGAAAUAGAAUUAUAGAAACCUUACUACCUUUUAUGAGAAAUCCAACUUAUAUAUUUGAGACCUCUCUCUCUAAACACGCGCUUCCUCUCUCUGUACACUUUCCACCUUUGAAUUUUCCUUCACUAAGUCUACCUAAAUGAAUUUAGCAUUCUUCCAGUUUCUUUAGCAUUUUUUCUCCGUGAAAAUAGGUGAAAAAGAGAAAGUGGUUUGAUUAUUUUAAUGUAUGACAGAUCUGGUUUCCAUCUCUGUAAUUUAAGUUUGUCAAACGAGAUAAUCAACUCUUUGUCGAGUCAGUCAAAUAUAAAAGACAAAUUACUAAACCAAGCAGAGCCCAAAAAAAAAAUAUUUCCAAUUAAAUAAUCAUCAAGUCUUUUUCAAUUAAAUUAGGGAGUGCAGAACAACUGUCGAGAGAUAAUCAUUGUUUAUGGAGCCAUAUUAUAUUUUCGAUUAAAAUAGUUGCGCGUGAACAAUUGGCAGAAUUCGUAUAAAUUGUUGUCAGGUCUAUUAUAAUUAACAAGCGGAAUGGCCAAUGGAUGAAGAACCACUGUAAUUUCGUUUAUGAAUUCAAAAUGCUAAAGAAACUGGACAUCAACGCUAAAUGUCAGCCUGCGGCCCUUGCCUCAGUGUCUUUCAGGCGUUACUCUGGGUAGUUGAUAUACUGACCGUCCCUUUAUCAAUUAAUAAUCGAAAUAGGUUAAAAAUAUGAAUGGAUUGAAUGGUAUGACUUGGAAUUAAAAUAUGGAAUGACGAUUAGAUUAAUUAAUUUAUUUAAAUUGAGAAAUUAGAAUCAUAAUAAAUUAUAUUGUUAUUGAUGUAUUUGUUUUAUCUUAAAAUUGCGAUGAGUUGUUACAAAUUACUAAUAUGCCUUUGAUUUUGUAUUAUGAUAAUUAUUAUUUAUUAUAACAUUUGUCAUAUAAUAAUAAUAAUAAUAACAACAACAACAAUUAAUAUUGAAAAAUUUUUAUUGUUAAUAAUAAAUAGGCAAUUAUCCACCGAUCAUGUGAUCUUUUGGACGUUUUAAAAAAUAUACAAACACUUUUUUCUUUGCAGAAAUCCACCUGAAAUUUACAAGUGUUUCAAUUGUUCACUGUUCAUCUAAAUUUUGUUAGAAUUUUCUUGACGUUGUAAGGAUAAAAUUGUUAUUUUUACCUUGACUUCCAAAGAGGAUGUCUUUCAAACAUGAUGAAAAUAAAAAAAAAGGAUAAAAAAUUAUCUGUAAACUAUCUGAUCUUUUAGCCAUUAUACAAAAUAUUAAAAAAAUAUACGAACAUUUUUUAUUUUUUUCAACAAUCCAUCUGAUAGUUAUGAAGUGCAUUAGUGCUCCACUACUAUCAUAACCCUUUAAAAAUAUCGCUUAAACACGAGAACCUAUUGCCUAAAAUUAUUUUUCAAGAAAUGUAACUACAGAUUUGGUUUUGAUCUUCAUGACUUUUAAGUGUACAAGAACAAGAUGAACGAACCUUUGUCGAGUUGAUGAAUUAAGAUAAAUCAAUUACAAAUCGAGAACAAACUUACGGGUGACAUUUUAGUAUUAAGCAAACUAUAAUUGAUCAUCCAAUGAUAGGCUUAUUUUCAAUUAAAUUAGAGUAAAGAUAGACAUUCCAAAUUUUUCUCUCAAAUUUAAUCUAGAUAAUGUGUUAUUAAUUGAGUGCUUGGUAAUUCUUUCAAGAUCUAAGUGAAUUAAUUAUAUUAUCUCUCCAACCAAUUGAUGAAUAUUAUAUUAUUUGAGAUAAUUUUUUUUUAUCUCAAAUCCCAGCAAAGAAAACAGAACAAACGGAGCAAAAAUAUUUUUAGAAACCUAAAAUAACAAAAAAAAACUUUUUCUUGUUUUUCUUAUUUUCCACUGUUAAACUUCAAAAUGAACAACUUUAUUCUACCAUCUCUCAAAUAAUAAUAAUAACAACAAUGUCAUCAUCAUCAAUAAUAAUAAUAAUAUAUUAACUUUGUAGGAUGGAGCUCUCGCAAAUCUUCAAGACACAAAAUGUGCUUGACCCCAUUGUUGUUAUUAUAAUUUCAAAAUCAUCUGUAUUAUAUAAUAUUAGGGAAUAUGACAUAGCAAAAUUGAUGGUACAUAUGUUGCAAUAUACUUGUUCAUGUGGCGACACAUUGAAGUAAAGCACAAGCAAAACAACGAAAAAUGUAACGGGAGAGCUCUCAUUAUGUAGAUUUUCAAUAGAAGUAAUGCAAAUUUCACAAGGAAUGGCCUUAUUUCGAAUGCUGCACCUGAGGAAUGACUUGAAUCUUCUUUAGAACUCAAGCAUUCUGUAAUCAUAGGGUAUAACAUUUCAACAAAAAUAUUAUAUAGGUCGUUCCUUUAUAUAUUUUCUGGGUACACAUACAGAAAUAUUAUUUUAGGUACAUUUCUCACAAUAAAGCCUGCCCAAUCUAGCAUUUUCGUAGUUGGGUUUCUUAUUUACAUGUUUUUUCCAUUGGUUAAUUAUCACAAACCUCCACUGAGAUUUAGCAUGUUUUUAGUUUGAUAGAUUGUAUUCGCGUAUUCUCAAAUACCUUUUAGUUUACCACUUCGUAUAAAUUAAGUUGGUGAGGAUAAAAUCAUAAAAGUACACAUUAAUGAUAAAAAAAUUCAAGUAAACUUGAAAUUUUCAAGGGGUAAUUUUUCGGGACCUCCCCUGAGGUUCGGUGUAUUAAAAGUCUCAUAGAAAGUAUUCAUGUAAUUAUAAGAACCUCCCCUGACGUUAGUACACAGUUAACUUGACUGUUAGUGGACUGAUAAAAAGUCAAAAAUGCCAUUGGCUACAAAAAUGAGUGCAACAAUUUGGAGUUAAAUAGUAAACACCACAUUGGAGCACUAAAAAGUCUAUAAUAAUCAUGGAAAAAAAUCAUUGACAUUUACAUAAUAUAAAAAAAAAAAGUAAAAUAUAAAUUAAGAAAAUCAACAAAAUUGUCAACGUAUAGAAUAUUUACAGCAGCAGUGGCUAUAAAUACAACCGUCGUCAAAUUAAAAUAUCACCAUUAGUAAACUACUUCAAUAAGACAAUAAACCAUGAUUCACUCUUCAAAGCAUUCAAAAUACACAACCCGCACAAUAGAAUCACAUACGCACACCUGCUAAUGAAAUAUAAGAACAAACAGGAAAUUGAACUGACAUGGCUAAGAUACUCCUUCCCCAUAGCUAUUAGAAAGAUAAUGAGCGAUUUAUGAAUCAUGAUGCUUGCUUUACUUUCUGGCAGUGUUAGCUUCAAAUUCAAUGAUAGUAAAUGAACAAUGGUUCAUUCAUUAUGAAAGUAAGUGUAAAGCUAGGAAUUUAUAAUAUUCAGAUGUUGGAAUUGGAAAAAUAUUCCUUAAUCGUUUCAAUUGAAGCCAAGGAAGAAAAGAAAUGAGUCUUCUUUUUUCAGGAGACAAGCCAUAUGAAGAAGGCAGACCAGAGCAUAAGAACGAAUGCUACUGCCACAGUAAAAGCCUGGAUCAAUGGGUAAUGGUACCUGCCAUGUCAAUUUCAAGACAAACAAAAAUCAAUUAUCAUCCCCAGACCACAACACCACCAAACCAACCUUUUGAAUCUAAAAUAACAAGUUAAUAAAUCAAAGAUUUCAAUUCAUUUAAGUUUGAAAUCAACUAAAAUAGAAAAAAAAAACCCAAUUUCUUUUUUGUUCAAUAUAACUCAUUCAGCAUCUUCUUCAACACAUUUUUUAUCAUUCUUCAUCAUCCACAACAAUAAAAAGAAAAAAAAAAACAUUGAGUCCAACAUGCAAGUUUUUUUUUUGGAAAACUAACCGUUUUUAGGUUCCAAUUUCUAGUAGUCUUAAACAGUAGCCGCCGACGAAAUUCGCUUGGCGACACCCUUUUGCCACCAUUGCAGCUUGUCAUGUUCAUACUCAGCUUAAAAUUACUUGAAGGCAGCAGGGAUUUUAUAGUUACAAAAGUUUCUUCAGAGCUUUUCAAGCUUGAAAAUGGCUGAGAGUUUCAUUUCAUGAGAGAGAAAAUGGAGUUUUCAUUCAUCUUAGAUAAAUUGAAGAUAAUUUGCAUUGUGGUAAUAAAUUGAUUGUCAGUGCCUAAAUUUGGGUCAUUCGACACAACUUGGAAUUUUUUUUAUUUUUUCUUUGAUUUUUAUUAUGAAACUACUAAUUUACCCUCAUAUACUAACAUAUAUGAAAUGGCAUACUAACGUCAGUUAUGUCAAGCAGCUCCCUGUAAUUACGUGAAUAUUUUUCAUGAGACUGUCAAUACACAAAAUCUCAGGGGAAAUCCCUAAACAUUACCUAAUUUUUAAGUUGUGUUCUGAAAUUGGUCUCAACUUUGUAAUGUGUAAUGCCCACAAAAAAAGAAAAGGAAAAAUGGUCAUCUCUUUCCUCCAUUCGAACUGAAGCCAUGAAACGCAAUAUCCCUUUCAUCUUCUCUCUAAUGCUUUGAUUAAAAAACUUGCUUACGAACGGGAGACCAUGACACUGAAUCCGAAGACAGAAAUACCUGAGAUGACUGAUUCACGCCGGCGAUGUGGAAGAAUACCGACCAGUGACUUUCGCCGUCGACCCACAAACAAUCCCAGUGUUUUCGAGCCGCGAAUGAGGUAUGAAUAAGAUUAUUUCCGUGCGUGUCAGUUUUGUAAGGAGAUUUGAUUAAAAAAAGAAUAAUGGGUCUCGAAAAUUUUUGAGUAUUUCUGUUGCUUAAAUUUUUUCCAUCGAUUAAUGUUAGUUGUAGGUGAAUGAUUGUUGCAAACGCAUGUUCGCUUGUGAUUGAUUGAAAAUGACUUGUUAUUUGUUAUGCUGCCAUGUGACUCAUUGAAAAUGCCUCUGAAAUUUUUUUAUUUGUUUAAGGUACUGAUUCUGAUUAUUGAACAGGGAUUCAUGCUAGUUUUUAUUAAAUUAAAGAUGAGAUUAUUUUUUAAGAGAUCUACCAAACCUUCUCUACUAUAGAUUUGGCUUCUGACAUACCUGGUUCGCUGGAGAUAAUUGUUUAUAUAGUCAUUGCUGCUCGUAUUAAUCAGGAACAUUGAUUAGCAAUGUACUGGAAUAGAGAUUGGUAUAAUUUUGGAAAAUUAGUCGUAGAUGCAACCUGAUUAUGGUCUCAAAUAGUGUGAUCUGUCAAUUCCGUUUGCUCUAGCCUAACAACCUUGAAUCUGAGCUAUGCCACUAUACAAAGUCCUGACCUAAUCAAGCUUGUUAGCCAAUGUCCAAAAUUGCAGUGUCUUUAGAUAAGCCCUGUCUUACUUGUUUGAGUUAUAAAUGAAAAUUGAAGUGUCUUUGGAUAAUCACGCUGAAUGUUCAAGUUAUUGAAGAGAAGGGACCCCAGAUUCAAGGCCGGAGCUCCCUGUUGAGAAGCUUUACAUAUAUGGGAUUGUCGCUGGGCGGAGGAUCGAUAUGCCCGGUUUUGUUUGGAAUAGGGAUGAAGAUUUUGCAUUGAGGCUUUCUUGAUAGAUCAUUCUGCAAAUCAAGCUCCAUGUACCUAUCUUCAGACUCUUGGAUAUGUAUAAAGCAGGUGCAUGCUCUAUAUGUUACUCAUUGUAUCACGAUUAUUUUUCUAUUGCUUAAAAUAAUUGCAGUCCUUGAUGUAGUUGGAGACAACUUAUGGAGGGUAUACAGAGGCUCGAGAGUUUGAUUGCCAUUCAUUUGACACUUGGCUGAGCUACAGCAUACCAACUAGUGAUUAAUAAAGAGAAGGUAUGAAGGUCCUGUUGCUGGUGGUAUUAUCAAUCAGAAUUGUUAUUUUACUUAGUCAUAGUUACCAUGUAUAAGAUUCGUAGACUUUUUGCAUGUUUAUGCAUUCGCAUCAUCUUUUUGUUAAGCUAGAGAUGGUUGAUUUGUGUACUCAUUUGUAUCACUUGUAGCCCUUGAGGAAUAAAAUUUAAAAUUUUGUUGCAUCUCCUGUACUAAAUACUAAUUUUGUUUGCUUUAUGUAUGGGAAAUGGUUCAUUAUCUUAUUUCUUUGAUGUGUAUAGUGUUACACUGUCUAAAGUUGAAAAGUAUUUCUAUCACUUGUGUAAAAAACAAACAAUUUUUUUUUCACUCUUCUUAUAUUGAAUAAAAGAAGGACACCAAGAUCUUCACCAAGAUUGAACGAAAUUUGAUGCAGAAAGCAUAGCAAUUAGGCCAGUGCAAAAUAGCUUCCUUCUGAUUCUCUGAUAUUUGACUUAAAUCUUUUGUUUGUUUCAUUCAUCAAAGUCAUUUUGGAAAGUAGCAGGCGUGAUUUGAUAUUUUCAUUGUAUUCACAUCCGUUGGCACCAAAACAAACAUGCUGGUACUAACCAACAAUUUUUUAUUUUUAGUGUACAAAUUAUUAUUUUUAAGACAAAUAAGCUGGUACUAACCAACAAUAUUUAUUUUCAGUAUACAAAUUAUUAUUUUUUUUUCUAAAUUAGGGGUAUUAAGAAAAGGUAUGCUAGCACCAGGGGAGGUAUUUGAAAAUAUACAAAUACAAUCUAUCAAACUGAGAAUACACCGAACCGGCAGGUUUCUGAUAAAUCCUUUUUUUCUUUUUCCUCCAUUCACUAUAGGUUCAAUUUAGACGCUGUUGACCAAACAGAAGGUUUGGGUUGGUAAACGCACUGGUGUUAAUGCCAACAACCCAAGGGGCUUCAUGGUCCUCUGGGCCGAAAUAGCGUAAUUAUUAAUUCUCCUCCAGUGAAAAUCUUCAUCUUGGGACAAAUAAUUACGAAUUGACAUUAUAGCUGUGGAAAUUUGGAGGUGUAAUAACCGGAAAAGUAAAAAUCUUAAGAGACUUUUUAAAUAAAAAAGAUACAACACCUUCAAUUUGCUAAAAGUAAUGGUAUCAUUUCUUGUACGGAUAAUGGAUGAUUAGAUUUUGUUUUUGUUAUCCGACGAAGGAUAUUCAGUUGUUCUUUAUGUGUUCACAGGCAAGAGCAUGAGCAUAUUCAUGGUUUCAUAUAUGCUUCUUGCAUUUUCUAAUUAAGUACUCUCUUUCCUUGCCUUCUUAGUUUUGAAAGAAAGAUGUGAAGCAAAGCAAACCAGUGAAAUAUACAGAGAAACAGAACCAUCAGAGGAAAAACUAAAUAACAGAACCACAAUUGAACCAAACAAAAUCAAAUAAACCGAGGCAACGGAUACCCUGAAUCAGGCAUCCCUUUUUCUCGAAAGAAAAUAUGUUUGCAUGGGUGGGAACCUAAUAAUUACUCAAGAGUUGGAGUUGGAAAGAUUUGGUAUUCAUAUCUUCACAAUUCAUAAGCUUUAAUGCAGAAUCGACAGCUUUAUAUUAAUUUAUUCAACCAAAAACGAUAAAGUAGGAAAACCACAAUAAUCCACCAACUUUUGCUACUUUUAGGAAUAAUUUUUAGUCAACUUUCAAAAAGUGAGAUGACGAUCUUUGAGUUGAUAAAUCUUGGCCUGCUGCUUAGUACCCUUCCAACAUAUAAAGUACUAGAUGUUUAGCUGAGAAAAUGACGAGAUCAUUUAUCAAAUUUCUUGCGCAUAUAUACAUAUAUAUACAAGAAAUAAGAAUCAGAGUGAUUAUAAGACCUUGCAAUGAGGCAAUAAUACAUCAUCAAAUCUAAAAAUACACAAGAAAUUCGUGACGUAUAUAACAAUAGACCUCUCAUUGAGUCAUACAUAUUGAGAAUAAAAUGUCAAAAUGCAUACAAAGAGCUUAUACAGAAAAUGAAUUUACACACAUUUAGAAUAAACUGUCUUUGAACUUCCGAUGGNNNNNNNNNNNNNNNNNNNNNNNNNNNNNNNNNNNNNNNNNNNNNNNNNNNNNNNNNNNNNNNNNNNNNNNNNNNNNNNNNNNNNNNNNNNNNNNNNNNNNNNNNNNNNNNNNNNNNNNNNNNNNNNNNNNNNNNNNNNNNNNNNNNNNNNNNNNNNNNNNNNNNNNNNNNNNNNNNNNNNNNNNNNNNNNNNNNNNNNNNNNNNNNNNNNNNNNNNNNNNNNNNNNNNNNNNNNNNNNNNNNNNNNNNNNNNNNNNNNNNNNNNNNNNNNNNNNNNNNNNNNNNNNNNNNNNNNNNNNNNNNNNNNNNNNNNNNNNNNNNNNNNNNNNNNNNNNNNNNNNNNNNNNNNNNNNNNNNNNNNNNNNNNNNNNNNNNNNNNNNNNNNNNNNNNNNNNNNNNNNNNNNNNNNNNNNNNNNNNNNNNNNNNNNNNNNNNNNNNNNNNNNNNNNNNNNNNNNNNNNNNNNNNNNNNNNNNNNNNNNNNNNNNNNNNNNNNNNNNNNNNNNNNNNNNNNNNNNNNNNNNNNNNNNNNNNNNNNNNNNNNNNNNNNNNNNNNNNNNNNNNNNNNNNNNNNNNNNNNNNNNNNNNNNNNNNNNNNNNNNNNNNNNNNNNNNNNNNNNNNNNNNNNNNNNNNNNNNNNNNNNNNNNNNNNNNNNNNNNNNNNNNNNNNNNNNNNNNNNNNNNNNNNNNNNNNNNNNNNNNNNNNNNNNNNNNNNNNNNNNNNNNNNNNNNNNNNNNNNNNNNNNNNNNNNNNNNNNNNNNNNNNNNNNNNNNNNNNNNNNNNNNNNNNNNNNNNNNNNNNNNNNNNNNNNNNNNNNNNNNNNNNNNNNNNNNNNNNNNNNNNNNNNNNNNNNNNNNNNNNNNNNNNNNNNNNNNNNNNNNNNNNNNNNNNNNNNNNNNNNNNNNNNNNNNNNNNNNNNNNNNNNNNNNNNNNNNNNNNNNNNNNNNNNNNNNNNNNNNNNNNNNNNNNNNNNNNNNNNNNNNNNNNNNNNNNNNNNNNNNNNNNNNNNNNNNNNNNNNNNNNNNNNNNNNNNNNNNNNNNNNNNNNNNNNNNNNNNNNNNNNNNNNNNNNNNNNNNNNNNNNNNNNNNNNNNNNNNNNNNNNNNNNNNNNNNNNNNNNNNNNNNNNNNNNNNNNNNNNNNNNNNNNNNNNNNNNNNNNNNNNNNNNNNNNNNNNNNNNNNNNNNNNNNNNNNNNNNNNNNNNNNNNNNNNNNNNNNNNNNNNNNNNNNNNNNNNNNNNNNNNNNNNNNNNNNNNNNNNNNNNNNNNNNNNNNNNNNNNNNNNNNNNNNNNNNNNNNNNNNNNNNNNNNNNNNNNNNNNNNNNNNNNNNNNNNNNNNNNNNNNNNNNNNNNNNNNNNNNNNNNNNNNNNNNNNNNNNNNNNNNNNNNNNNNNNNNNNNNNNNNNNNNNNNNNNNNNNNNNNNNNNNNNNNNNNNNNNNNNNNNNNNNNNNNNNNNNNNNNNNNNNNNNNNNNNNNNNNNNNNNNNNNNNNNNNNNNNNNNNNNNNNNNNNNNNNNNNNNNNNNNNNNNNNNNNNNNNNNNNNNNNNNNNNNNNNNNNNNNNNNNNNNNNNNNNNNNNNNNNNNNNNNNNNNNNNNNNNNNNNNNNNNNNNNNNNNNNNNNNNNNNNNNNNNNNNNNNNNNNNNNNNNNNNNNNNNNNNNNNNNNNNNNNNNNNNNNNNNNNNNNNNNNNNNNNNNNNNNNNNNNNNNNNNNNNNNNNNNNNNNNNNNNNNNNNNNNNNNNNNNNNNNNACAAUUUUGUUAUGCCCCAAACCGUUGGGAGAAACAUGACGCCCCACGUUUACCCACGAUUCGGUGGUUGGAGACCCAUGAAGGUUUGUCAUCACCCGAAAAUGAGGGGCAUGAAUAAGACUCAGAAAACAGGGAUGAUUGCCUAUAAAAGGCCAAGAAAUCGAUGAAAAAUGGGAGACACAAAUUGAGAGUAAAGGGGAAACUCUGUCAAAUUAUAAUCAGAAAUUCAUAUAUCCAAAUCCUUGAUACAUUUGGUAUUGAGAAUAUUGCAACUAAUAUGUACAACACAAAUCAUUCACUUUUCUCGUAAACACCUUGUACUAACUUAAGUAUCGAAGGGUUUAUGCCCAAAAAACCAUCGGCGUCUCUGAUUUGUUUCUGUGAACGCAGGCCUGGAAGGAAGAAGACGGGUGAUUUGGGUCCAGAAGCUCGGGAAAUUGCUGAAGCUAAUGGAUCGCAGCCUCUGUUCCUUUGCCAAUACAAGCGUUGGUGAACCAAUCUGGUCGGUCCAAAGGCGACUAGAUUUCAGCAUCAACAGAUAUUAUUUUGAUGAAUUUUUUAAUAUUAGAAUAAUGUUAGGAAUUCCAAUAAUAAAAUUCUAACUUGAGACCCAAUUGUUAUGUGUUAUUUUUUAUUGAAUAAUGAAUUUCACAACUAAUAAAAUUUAUAUUUCCAUCAUCUAAUAAAUGACUACCAUAUCAGUUGGGACUCAAUUAUUAGGAUCCUUAACAUUGCUCUUAGUAUUAAAUUGGACAUCUUAGCUAAAUCAGAUUAAAAAUCAAAUUAGUUUUUAGGCUUUUAUUCAACAUCUCUUUUUUUUUUUUUUUUGUCUAUUGGAAGUGAACGAAUAAAAAUACAACAGGGUCAACGACUGGGCAAUUGGUAGUCAAGUAGAAGCAAAUCAAGGCUAAAUGGGAAAGAGAAAUGAUAUUUGUGCAAAAUAAGGAGAAAAUCAGUGUAACAGAAGAGAAUCAAAGUGCUUUUGAGAUAAAAAAUUGAAACAAGAAAAGGGUCGCUUGAUCCAAUGAAAAUGCAAAGAGCUGAUGGCAAAAGGGAACAAAGUUAAAUAAGAAAACAGCUAGCGCUAGCAGCGACCACAAUAAACAGAAAAUUUGAGAUGGAUUUACAAUAUUUCUGCCUUUCUUUAUGCUUUAAAAAUAUUGCUCUAUCAAAAAAAAAAUAUUGAACAUUUUUAUUAUUGGAGUCACAAAUGACCUACACAAUAUAGCAAGUGACUAGGAAUAAUAAGAAUAUAUAACUCUCUCUAAUUCUCACUCUGGCUUUUAAUUGUCACUCAAAACCCAGAAUUCAUCCUUAAAGUGUAGGCAAAUCAAGGAUGACACCGUUUGGUUGUCAUACGUGCCUUUUAGUUUUCGGAUGACAUGGCGUACACUUCUUCUGUAAACCCAACAAGACAUGUCGUACUCUUUUGUUUUGAGAUUCUAUUUCAAACUUUUCAUGCUAUGAAUGAAAGAUAAACUCCAAUCAUCAAAAUAUUUAGUGUUUGGUAAUGUAAUGUCAUAGUUGUGAAUUGAAAUUAUUUCUAUAAAAAUAAAGGAUUUGGGUCAUUGUUUGUUAUUUUCUGACAACAUUUAUUAAAUAUUAAAAAUAAAUUUAUAUUUAUUAGGUAUUAAAAAUAAAUAAACAAACAAAAAUAAAAGUAAAAGUUUAUACAUUACGUAAAAAUAAUGACAAUAUCAAUAUUUCGCACUCUAUAAUGAGUGAUGUGUGUCCAACUGGCAUACAUUGUCCCAAACGGAGACUUAAAUAUCAAAGUCCAAAGUUAUUAUGAUGAUGACUUAUAAUCGCCAAACUUGACAUACGGGUAAUCAUGCAUUAUAAGGUGCUAAUUUCUUCCGAUCGGAACCUUAUUUUCAUUUACAAAUAAAUAAAUGAUGUGACUUCACGGUUGGCGGGGUCCUUUGUGUCAUUUGGGCAUUUCACUAAAUGAUUGAUUGUAGCAGGAAGAUUCCUGGAAGUUGCCAUUUGCCAAUGCUACUAACAUUUUCAAACUUGGAAAACCCUUCAAUCAAUCUUUAGUGGAGGCUCUGGUAACUUGGUUUGAUUAUGACGUUAAUAUUUGAUAAUAAAGUUAGAGGAUGUAUUAAUAUAAAAUUUGUUUAUUGGUGUUGAAGUUAAUUAUCUCAUUAAUUAUAGUAUAAAAAGUUAAUUACUAAGAAACACAUAGCAAUAGUUAAUGGUGUCAUAUUAUUGGGAUUCUGGGAUACAAUUUAUAUCAUAACUUGUAAGUGUAUACUUACUCAUCAAACUAAUAAAAUUAUUUAAAAAUUUCAGUUGGAAAAAUAAAUUAUAUUAUUUUCAUUUCAAAUAAUCUAUAAGUUAACUCAAAACAUAAUCAAGCUGAGAAUUAAAAUAAUGCUACUGUAUGAGAGGAUUUUUAUUUUUUCCCGGAAGUUUCACUAGGAAAUUAUUGAUACAUAGCUUAUUCGGAUCAUUCUCAGUUCAAACGACAAAUAAUUGAAAGACUAAGCUAAAUAGACCAGCCAACAACUUUGUACAAGAGAGUUCAAAAAUUAAGGUCAUGGUAUUAAGGUGUUCUAUCUUGAAAAGUAUAGAGUAGUAAUAAAAUAAAAACUAAUAUUUUUGGUAAGAUAUGACAUUUAAAUAAUAAUUUCACAAAAUACAAAGGAAUAUUUAUAAAUUACUUUUAUAGUGAGGGGACCUCACUCUGUUAAAGUGAAAAUAUCAAUAAUAUACAAAAGACAUAUAUUUUAACACAUUAAAAAUUGUAUUUUUUUUAUCUAUUGUUAUUGAAAUAUGUGUUAUUUAGUUUGUUAGUGAUAUCAUUACUUUGUUAAAAUGAGAAUGUCGUUACUAGAGAAUCAUUAUGUAUACAUAUAUAAAGUGCUUCUGUCCAAGAACUAGACUUUAUUAAAAUUUGAGAAAGCAAAUAUAUUUUAUAUGGUAUAAUAGUGUAAUAACAUCACACUAUUAUAUCAUAUAGAGUAAUAGUUUUUCGAACUUUAAUAAAAUUCAAGAUUAUAGAAUGAAUGAUUUUUAUAUAUUAUAAAUUUUUUUAUCAUAAAUGGAGGACAAAAUUAACAUAUUUCAAAUUAUAAUAAGCAUUUAUCAAAUAAUUUAACAUUGCAAUUUCUCCUAACUAGUAUAGUAAAUAAUACGACCUAGGAGAUACAUUCAAAGCAUUUCAUAAGUUAGUUGUUUAAUAAUAAAUUAUAUAUGCAGCUCCAAUCAUCAUUGUACGGUGAGUAAUUUCCAGUUAUAAAUAGAUAUUACUCCCUUCCCAGCAAUUUUUGAUGACUUAAUUUAGUGGAUCAAAAUCACAUUGAAUUUUUGACCAGCUGCACAACUUGUGAGCAGUUCACAGUGGGUACUGCACAUGAUGCCUGUUUCUCCUUUUGCAUCUAUUUUGUUGUUAACAUUAAUUUCAAUAGCAGCUCGUUAAUCCCAUUUGUUGAUUUGGGACUAGAUAAGAAUUUAUCUUGGAACUCCAAUUCUCCAAUUAUUUUAGUUGACAAUAUAUUUAACAUUAUUAAUUGCAUAUUAUUUAAUUAUCAGUAUAUAAUAUUCUUUAAUUUUCUAAUUUUAUAGGAUUAGACACAAAAUUGAUUAUGCCUUUUGAAAUUUAAGGGUUAUGUCAAUUGAAUAGAAAACUUGGAGGUAAACUUGUGGAUGUUUUGUUGAUUAUCAAUUUAUGCAUGAAUUUUUGUACGUUUACUUUGGUUUAUAAUUAUUACUUUUAAACAUUUUUAUUGGUUUGAUUUAGGGUCAAUUUGGUAAUCCUGUAGCUUUUAAAAUAAUUACAAUUAGCUAUGCUGUAGAAAAUUGAUCAAUCGUCAAGAGAAUCAGCUGAGCAUUUAGUAAAAUUUAUUUUUUAAAAGUACUUUUAGUUUUAAAAGCGUUGUAUGAAUAAAACUGUUACACUAAAAAUUAAAUGUAUUGCCACUUGGGUAAAUAAAGCUAUAUAUUACAACUGUUACACUAAAAAUUAAAUGUAUCUUAAACCCAAACUUCUUCUUCUUCUUUUUUUGACUAACAAAAUUAAAAACAAUAGUGAACACAUUCUUUAAUAAACAAUAAGUAAUAAAUAAAAUCGUGUUAAAUUUCUUAAAAACUUUCUUUCACGGUUUGCUAAAUAUUUUUAUUAGUAUUUUAAAUAAAUAAAAUAGUUGAUUUAAUUUUUUAAAUAAACUUAUUAGGUUCAUGUAAAGAUGUUUUUGUUAUUUUAAAAAGUGUAGAAAGUACUCCUAAAAAAAAGCGUAGAAAGUAAAACUUAAUUUUUUAAAUUUAUUAGCUGAGUGCAUAAAUAAUUGAGUGUUCAUAAUGAUUUUAAAGUAUAGAUAGUCGGACCCUAAUAUUUUUAAUAAAUGGAAAUUUUGCUAAUAUGUUAAUGAGAAUUAAAAAGAUAAUUAAGGGAGGCAAUCGAGACAUUCAGGAUAGUUAGGAUGGGACAUGAUUGUGAGCGGUUAGAUAUUGGUCCUAAUUUUGAUCACAAAUAUAUAAACAGGACGAGUUUAUCUCUACUUACAUUCCAUUUGAUAAUUUAAGAUGAGAGUGGAAUUGUCAAAUCCCAAUCAUCCCGGACCACUGCCACAAGGGGUACUCUCACUAAUAAUAUCUAAAGAAAAAUCUACAUCUAUUUCAUACUUUUUUUUAAUGGAAAGAGCCCUCAUGGGGCUUGAAUGGUAUCCUAAAUAAUAUUGAGAAUAUCAGGUCAUGAUUGGGUUUGUGACAAACAAAUACUACAUAGUUGGGAUACGUAGUUAUAAUGUCCCAAUUUAUGUAGUAUCUAUCAUUUAGCGCACAUAUAAAAUAUUAAUCAGCUUAAUUAAUUUAUAAAAUUUAAAUCUAAUUAAUAAGUGAUACAUAAUGCCAAGUGCAAUACUGUAUAUGCAAAUCAUGUUUGUGGAUCAUUACAAAAUUGGCUCUUGAAAACAAGCAAGAAAGCUUAAUUAAGAACUUAAAACAAAAGAAUUAGAUUGAGAACAGUCAAGCCUUAUUUUUUCAAGGAUGGAGCUUAUAAAUCUUCAAGUACCAACAUACGCUUGGCCCAAUUGUUGUUAUUAAAAUUUCAAUAUACAUAUAUAAGUAUGAUAUAGCAAAAAUUUGAUGGUACAUAUGUCGGAAUAUACUAGUUCAUGGGUGCAUUUGAUUAUUGUUUCCAUAAUUUUGAACCAGGAAGGACGACACGAUUAAAAUUUGAUUUUAUGGUAUGGUUGAUUUCAUAGCUCAUGCACUCAUUUCUUAAGAUAAUCAAAUUUUCUCUGACAUCUUUUUCAACUGUCGAAAUAUCAAUUAUGAUCAAUCAAAACGAUUUCAAAACCUUUCAACGAGACAUAUUUCUAAUACAAUAUUGUGAAAAUUACACUAAAAAAUUAAUUUAUUAUAUAUUAUUAUCCAACGAGCACACAAAAUGAUUUCGUACAAAUCUAAAAUACUAAGCAAUUUUCAAAUAGAAUUUACCAUGUACUACAAGAAAAUAGGGUAUAUGUGACCCCUACUGUGAAUGCAAAAGCAGCCAUUACGCAUAACCCCGAGUUGCUUUUGUUACCCUUUAUGUGACGGCCACACUGCUGUCACAUAUGUUACGAACCGCGUGACGGUGAAGAGCCGUUCGGUUAUACUAAUAUUUUAGAAUUUUAAAUUUAUUUCCAGUUAGAAAACUAUUCGCUGGACUCCGUGUUGCUGGCCACCAUCGUAAACAUAACUGGUUGCCAGCGAACGGCGUAAAACGCCGGCCAUCUUCUUCUUCAACGUAUUCUCCCUUCAUCUUUUGAGGUAAGCUUGUGAUUAUGAGUUUCUUCUCUUACUUAGCUUGUAAUUAUAGAUUUUGAUUUUUUUUAAUUCGUAUUGUAGCCGUUAUUGUCAAUUUUUGUCCCGCCAGCAAUAUUUUUUUAUUCCUACAAGUUGAACCCCUGUGUUCUUGUUCCAUUGGUGAGUUUGCUCACUCAAAUUAAUUUUGUUCUGCGGAAUUUACAAAGUUCAAAUGGAUUCAUUUGAAUUACUAUUGAAUUUAGCUUUAAUUCCAACAUCCAUUCUAAUGUUUUGCAAUUAGAUUUAAUUUAAUUUUAUGUUUAAAGCUUCUACAAUGAAUAGCGGAGCUUGGGUUUUAGUUUCAUUUUCUGGAUAACUUGUUUUAGUUUAUCUUGUAUGCUCACCAAAUGCUUGUUAUAUUGUCUGAUAAGUUAUAUACAUUGCUGAUUCUACAUUAAUAAUGUUACGUUGUAUUUUCAGAAAUUAUAAUACAAAAGUUUUUGCAAUGGCGUGCAUCUACAAACUGAAUUGACUUGUAGAAUAAGAGCUCGGAGUAGUGUUAUGUUCUUGAAUAAUUGAAAGUUCAUAUUGUGUAAGAGCAUGUAGAUGUAAAGCAUCAUUACCAUUUCUACAAAGUGCUUUCAUUCUGUUCAUAUGCUCUUCUUGAACUUUGAAAGGUGCCUCGUUCAAGUCCUAGCUAUAACUACUAGCUUUGAUUAAUUAAGUUCCUAUACUAGCUGAAACAGAUUUAUUUAAUUAAUUAAUUGUGUAUGUACUAAUUAUAUUGAAAGUAUAUGAAUUUUUUUUUAACAUGAAUGACUUCUAAAUGACUUAAAAACCUAAAGGAUGUGUGAAACAAUGCUCAUUUCAUUUGAAUGAGCCCAUUAAUACUUUUAUGUCUAUGAUUUUCAAUAUUGGCUAAAGCAUUUCAGUUAAGUGGUUUACCUAACAGAGAAAAAAAUUUAAUAGAAAACUUCAGAGUUCUAACAGAAAUAUAGUUCACUAUGCAGAUAUAGUUAUUUUACGGUAUACAAAUCAAGUUGUCCUAAUCUCAAUGUCCUAUGACCGAUUUUAUUUUAUAUAGUCAUUAAUUUUUUCCUUGGUUUUUUGUGUUUAUGAGUAUGAAAUAGUGGGAUUUGGUGUACCUUAGCAUCUUUUGAAAAUUCUCUUUCAGUGUGGCCAACAGAAAUAUACAUAUAAUCAAGUUUCUUAAUCGUGUAUAUUAGUUUUGGGUAUGAAUGUUCCUAUUCUAGUUCGAGGCAAAGCUUCUUCGUUUUGGUCUUCAGAUUUCCAGUAGGUUAAGUUAAUCAACUAUCAUAACUGGCUAGCUAGUUAUUGUCUGCCUUGGCGCCAUUACCCAGGCCAUUAUAUUGCAUAGCAUAAGGAAUAGUGAUUAGGGGAUUAUUAGUGAUUUGUUGAGCUUAUUAUCGACCAAACAAACAUAUUCGCCUUUGCCCACAACUUAGUUUGAUUAGUUAUUAGACCAUAAAGAGCCUUGAUCUAUUCAUUGGCUUUAUUAUUUUUAUUUGGUUUUUCUUUCAACAAUAUUGUUGAUUUCUUAUAAAAAUAUUCAUUGGUUUUUAAAACACCUAAUCAUUGGCUAUAUGAAGCUAAUUAAAACUGAGGCUUUGGAUCAAUUUCUUCUAACAAGAUACAAAUGAGCAUUAACCUAUCUCCUAUGAGUAAAUUUUUUUAAUAUCCUUGAUUUGUAAGGAUCUGGAGGCCUGAAAUCCUCUAGAUUUUUUUUAACACUGUCAAUGUUCUUUUUAUUCUGAGAAGGAAAUAAAAGGUUUUAUCUUUCAUACCCAAAUAGUAAGCUGGCCUUGUCUUAACAUGGCCUCCGAGGACUUGCAAGAUUCAUAGUGCCCCCCACCCCAAAAAAUAAAAAAUAAAAAACACAAAUAGGAAGAUUUUGCAAGAUUCACCACCAGGUUUUUUUUUAAUUUGUUAAUUGUGUGUACGUGCUAGUUAUAUGUUGAAAGAAUAGGAAGAAGUAUUUCAACAUGAAUGACUUAAAACUUAUUGCUCAGUAAACAUAAUCUGCAUGUAUUUAUCGUUUGUAUUUUUUAUGGUUUUGCUAAAGAAAUGAUAUGUGAAAUAAUGCUACAUUGCAUCAGGAAUAAAUUGAAGAGAUUUAUGAUAUUUAUGUGUUAUUCAAAUUUCAGAUUCAAUUUUAAACUUUUGAUACGUGCAUUGAAAGCUUAGACUUGUUUAAGAAAUUAUUAAUAGACACAUGUUUUUAUUAGUGUCAUCUUUGGAUGAUAGUGAGGAUCAUAUGUCUAUUAAUAAUUCUUGAAUUGUCCAGGCUUGGACAGUUUGGGAAUGCAUAGUUCACUCUGGUAGCUAGUAGCUGAAGUUUUUUCCCACGUAAAAAUGGGUUUUUCAGUAGCUGCUCCUCGUGUUCUCUGGGUACGUACUAGGUGAAUGGGUGUCAUGUGUUGUUUUGGCAUAACGCAUAAACACUUAUAUAGCUAUGUCGUGUGCUUGGAGAAUUAUAGGGAGAUGGUGCCGAAAUUUUUAUAAACGUGGAAGAAAACUUUAGGUACUUGAGAUUGAAGAAACUUAUGCAUUCUUGAGUGGGAUAUGUAGGAUUACUUACCUUUUGUAAAUAUGAAGGGAAUGUUGGAUAUAUUGGGGAUAGUGUAGGAGCUGAGUUGGAUGAAUGUAAUUGGUGAUGAUUUUGCUGAGCUGACCUUGGUUUUGAGCUUGUAAUUUGUUGUAAAUGGAGUGCUAUCUCCAAUGUUGGUUUAUAAAUAUGUUUCAGGACUUGCUGACCUAAUUUUUUGUUUCUAGGUUACAGGCUUUAUAUAUCUGUAAUUGAUGGCGAAGUGAAGUUCCCAGAACUUGGCGAGGAUGUUUCUUUACAGAAGGUAUUGGAAACUGUUUUUUACAUUAAUUAUUGUUGUAUAUAUACUUUGAUUUUCACAUCUUUUUCUCUGAUUCUUGUGGCUUUGCUUGCUUUCAUAUAUGUAAAUUCUAAUGAAAUUAACCAUAAAAUUGUAAAAUGAUCUUUUUAUUAUAUUGCAAAACUGUGCACACACGAAAAUAUAUUGUUUAGUAGUAGAAAUGAAGAACUAAAAUGAUUUACUUAACUAAUUUUUGUAGCGCAUUAAAAGGAGAUAGUCAUGGACAUGUGUUGGGUUGGUUUGCCAAAUAGAUAUCCAAGUCAUAUACUGAUGGGGAUGAAAAAUUUAUAGAUUUUGCAUUUGAGAAUGUUGUUGGUGGUACAAGAAUUUAAUGUCCUUUUAAGAAGUGUUGUAAUCUAUAUUUCGUUAUAAGGAAAGUGGCUGAUGAUGAUAUGGUUGGAAUGAUACAAUGCAUCACGUAAUCAAAUGUUCAAGUUACACGGAGCAUUGUUAUGGACUAUCAGUGACUUUCUAGCAUUGCCAACUUGUCUGGGUGGAGUAUUAAAGGUAAAUAAGCAUGUCUUGUUUGCCAACAAAACACUAGAUCUAAUUGGUUGAUACAUAGUAGAAAAUUUUGUCACGUGGGUCACCGUCGAUUUUUACCAACAAAUCAUAGGUUUCGAAAAUAUAGUGUCUUUUGAUAAAACUAGAGAGUAGGGACCAGCACAUUCUCGGUUGUCUGGAUCUGAAGUGAAAAAGCAGUUUAAUAUACUUACUGAGUAUAAGAUUGAAGACUUGAAAAUAGGAGAAUGAAUAAAAUGAGAGAAAUGAUAAGAUUACUUGGAAGAAGAAAAGCAUAUUUUAUGAACUACCGUGUUGGGAGUUCAAUUUGAUUCAUCAUAAUCUUGAUCUCAUGGGCUGUUUUGAUUUUUGUUAUGAACUCAGAUCAAAAGUUUAAUGUGAUCAAAAUUUCUUAAAAAUAGUGAAAAACGACUCCUAAUAAUAUGGAAGAUGGCUAUAAAAGAUAAAAGGAAAGGCUUAAAAAGAAAAGCCAUGCCUGUCCAAAAAAAAAAAAAAAUCAACAAAAAUCAAAACGGUGCGUUUGAGAGUGUAUAAAAUACAUUUAGAGUGGGAGUUGUGUUGUUGCUUGAAGGCAGAAAGAUAUUUGUCGACGAAGCCAAAACCAAAGAUGAAGCCCAUAAAGCUCAAAACUCCACCGGAGCAAAUUCAGACAAUUACGAGGGUUAUGUUUGACAUAGUCAAGGAAGACGGUCCUCUCACCGUUGCCGAAACUUGGGAACGCGUCAAGGUGUGUGUAUCUGUUAAAUUGAAUUUCAACCGUUUGAUCUGUAAUUAUAAUUAAUCCAAUCGAUCUGACAGUGAUCACUGACCAUAAUACUAGUAGUUGUUUUACAUUUUCAGCAGGCUAGAGCGGGUGGAUUGACGGGCAAAAGCUCAGGCUCGUCUGCAAUCACAUGGGCCCUCAUAAGCAAAUCCUGUACACAACUUGGUUCACUAAACCCAACAACUUGAAGCAGCCAAAAUCAGGGAAUGAUCCUUCUCCGUCACAACCCUAGCUGCCUUAACCUUGUAGUGACACGGUGAAGAUGGAAGCCCCUCAGCAUGUAAACUUUUCAACAGCGACAGAGCUCUUAUUCCAGAGGCUGCACAGAAGAGCGACCUGAAUCCUCUUCAAAACUUUCAAAUUUUUAUCAAGUAAAGCUUUCAAAAUUUCUCAACAAACUGAUUAUUUGGUGUGGUUGCCACAUUUUGUGCAACUGCUAUUCGUCUUCAAGUACAAAUUCCUUGCCUUCUAAGUUAGGGAACAUAGAUGUGGAGCAAACAGGGAAAUAGAUGUGGAGCAAACAGGGAAACAGCAAUGAUGGCAAUUAACAAACUAAUAGCAGUAUUACAUUUGAUUCUUUAGCCCAAUUUUGUUCCUUCUGUCAGCCAUUCUUCAAAAGUUUUUGAAAAUUAGAUGUGAAGCAAAAAAAAAACAAAUUUAGACAACAGAAGCCCUGUGCUCAACAUCAUAUAUAUACCUUGAAUACCUAAUAUACUAAAUUUCACAUAUAAAAUACUAGAGAUUUCAAACAGUACCAGCAAUAGAAUAAUGACAACGACAACAAUAACAGAAAAUUACAAGAUUGCUGACAAAAUUUAUGUGAUUUACUGUGCCUUUAUGCAUGCAAAAUGAAACUGAAGAUAAAAAAUUUAGGGAAAAGGACACAGAGACCCCCAACGUUUGAAUAAGGGACACAAAAUCCCUUAAUGUUUCAAAAAAGACACUCAGACCCCCAUUUGUUAACAUUAAAUUAUAAUUUUACCAUUGUACCCUUAUAGCAUAUUAAAAAAUAAUUAUUCAUUAUCCAAUUUAUUUCUAUAUUAUUAAUAAAAUUACGAAUAUAACUUCAUUACUCAAUUUUUCCAUUUAAUUUUUAUCAAAUUUUAUCUUCAAACUAAAUAAAUUUAAUCCAUUGCUCAAAAAUAAAAAUAAAUUAAAUUGAUUAUUAAUAUAAUAAAAAUAACAAUUCUCCAUAUGUUAUUUCUUAUAAUUUCUUAUAUAUAAAUUAAAUUGAUAAUUUCUUAAAAAUAACAAUUCUCCAUAUAUAAAUUAAAUUUAUUUUAAUUUAAUAUAUGUUAUUUUUAUAUUAAAUAUAUGUUAUUUUUAUUAUAUUAGUAAUCAAUUUAAUUUAUUUUUAUUCUUGAGUAAUGGAUUAAAUUUAUUUAGUUUGAAGAGAAAAUUUGACAAAAAUUAAAUGGAAAAAUUGGAUAAUGAAGUUAUAUUCGUAAUUUUAUUAAUAAUAUAGGAAUAAAUUGAACAAUGAACAAUUAUUUUUUAAUAUGCUAUGAGGGUAUAAUGGUAAAAUUAUAAUUUACUGUUAACAAAUGGGGGUCUCAGUGUUUUUUUUGAAACAUUAGGGGGUUUUGUGUCCCUUAUUCAAACGUUGGGGGUCUCUGUGUCCUUUUCCCAAAAAUUUAUAAACUAGAAAUUUAUAAUAAUCUAACUUAUUCUCGUUACUAUUAAAAAAUAAGUAAACAUAUCAAUAACAAUAUAGUUUAUUAUGAUUAUAAUUCAUUCAAUUAAAAUAAAUAAUUUAUUCUUAUUUCUAUUCUCUAUUCUAAUUUCAGUAAAUUUUGAUUUUAGUUUAUUUUAAUUAUUGAUUAGUUGUAAACUUAACUGGAAAUUUAUUGCAUAUAUUACGAGAAGCAGUACACACCAAUGGUAAAUUGAUACAUCGUUUUUGAGCUUAAGAUAGUCAAAUGAAAGAAACACAACGUAGGGUUCAUGAAACACUUUCAAAGCUGCUGAUGACUUAAAGUGAAUAACCUCAGCAUGUAAACUUAACUUCAAAGGACGGAGCACAAGUUUCACAGAAAAACAGCUCUUAUUUCUGAUGCUGCGAACACAGAGGAGUGACCUCAAUCUUCUUCAUCACUUGGGAAUUCUGCAAUUAUAGAGCACGACAUUGAGCAUGAACUAGAAAAAAUAUUUAUUUUCUACAAUUUUCAUAUAACCUCACUAACCAAGAUUAAUUUUGUGGUAAUGUAUUGGGUCAUUAAUUCAUAUGUUUUUACUGUCAUCACUUUAGAAAAAACUAAUUUCUCAAUGUGAAAUGGCCCAUAAAAGGUAUUCUCAUUUAAAAACUAAAUUUGACAAACCCCUCGAUUAAAGCAGGGGAGAGAAAAGAAAAAAAAAAAGAUCUGAAGGCUUUCCACAUGAAAAUGUUGUCACUUUGGAUGAUAUUUUCAAGGGAUUUCAUUCUAAAAAUAAAAUACCUGGGACCUUAUUCUUCAAAUUGACAGCUCGCCCAGUACUAAACGCGUAUGAGAUCAGUACUGGGACAAGUAACGAGACGACCCCUCCAACAGCUGAAAAUAAAAUUCGCAUUCAUCAAUUUAAAUUGAAAUUCAUAUUAUGAAAUUAAAACUAAUGAUUAAUGAAUUUUCAAGGAAUUUAAUAAGAUUCUCAUAUAUAAACGUGAUAAAAAAUUCACUCAUCAAUAACAAAUAUUCUAACAUUUUGUUGAUGUAAUUGUUGUAUGGUUGUGUUAAGGUCAUUAUUAGACCAACGCAGUUUGUCAUCACUCAUUCCGUACCAGACGUUUACUCUCGGAGGCGUGAUUGAUUCUCCUUUGGUGAAAUCUUCAUCUUCGGACAACCAAUCACAGUAAGAUAUUCCAAAGAUGGGAAUUUGAAGGCGUAAUUGCCAGAGGAGAAGCUUGUGAGACUAUCUAAAUCAAACAGGGACAACGUAGUCAGUUUGCUGAAAACAAUCUCUUCUUUUAAAUAUGCUGUUUCAUUUCAAGACUGGCAAAAUUCAUUGUGUAAUCAAAGUUUUCAAUGAUCCAACUAAUAUAUAUAUAUAUGUAUGUAUAUUCCUUCUCUAGUGCAGACAUUCUCAUUUUUUUUUUUCAUGUGGACCAGUUUUUAGAUCCCCUGGUUUAAAAGAGUUAGUUUUUAACUCUUUAAAACCGCAUGGCUUCAUAAUUUAUUUAAAAACUAACUCUCUUAAACCGCACGGUUUAAAAGCGUGUCCACAUUAAAAAAAAAUACGGACCCCCACACCUGAGAAUGAUUAUAUAUAUAUAUAUAUAUAUAUAUAGACACACGCUCUUAAACCGUGGGAUUUGAAAGCUUCUCCGCAUGAAGAAAGUAAAAAAUAAGGGCAUUCCCACUAGAAACAAACUCCAUAUAGGUAUUUAUUAAACCUCCUGAUCUGUGAGUGAGGAACAACAAAUAUAAUUGAUAAAAAAAAUCUAAAAUUUGGUUUCAUACCUUCUUGAACGAGAACAGGGGUUGUUGUGCCGGAAUACCAAAUUGAUCAUUCUCGUUAUUCUGGGACAACGUUAUUUUAUCACAAUUACAGGCCUCCAAUGUUUUUUAGUGCUGGCCAUUCUGAAGUAUGCAUUCCAGGGUAUAAACAUCCGAGUUCUGGUAGACCUUCGAGAUUCAGAGUGGUCACUUGUGGAAAGACAAAAUAUGGGGUCACUUGAUCUGCUCUGUCUUUGGAGAUGAUCUCUUGUAAACCCAUACAUAUCCGUAUCUCCAGGUGUUGGAGGUGCUCAAGGCUUUGGAUCAUAGAAGCUGAAAAUAUGUAUUUUAAUUUGUCACAGCCCCACACUAUCAAUCGUGUCAAACUUUGAAAGCCGCAAGUUGAUUGUCAUGCAAAAUCUCGUCGACAUUAAUAGCAUUCAGCUCCAAAGCCUCCAAAUUUGGCAACACUACCUGAAGAUAAUUUUCUCUUUAGAUCCAAUAUCCGUAUGGAAAGCACUUGUUUUGACACAAUAUCCAUAUAAGAAGCACUUAAUUAAGAGCUUAAUUAGCGAGUGUAUGAGACUUUUUUUUUUUCAAAUGCCAGUGCAUGAUAGAACUAAAAAAAAAAAAGAAGCAUUAGCCUACGUACCUUCUCGUUGAAAAGCAGAGUUGACGUUUCCGAACUGAUCUCGUUGGAACUGGCUGUCAAUUCCUCUUGCGACUCUUGUCUGUUUGGUGAUGUGGAAGAAGUCUUCACUUCACCGCAAAACCUUGUAACCUUUGGAAGCUUUCCCAGACUCAAAGAUCUUAAUUGACCAAACUCUAUCUUCCCAUCAACAUCAACAUCAGCUUCUCCUCCAGUUGCAAAAAUCUCUUCCAUGCUGCUGCAAUUGAUAACUGCAAUCCUCUCCAGUCUUGGAAGGCAUUUUGUACUACUAGAGAGCCAGAAGAUAUUACUCAACUCAUCACAAUUUUCUACUUUUAUGGUUUUGAGUUCAUUGAAGGACUCUAUUUUGAGUCGAUCAAUACAUAUCCUCUCCAUAUUGAUCAAAUUUUGAAGAGUAUGGGACUCCAAAAGAGGAAAGGCGACACAUGGUUCUCUCUCCAUUGAAUCGACGAUACACAGGAAGUCUGGAUUAUUUUGAACAUGGAGAUGCUUCAAUUGUGAAAAGCCCUCAGUGUCCAAUUCUAAAACAACAUUCUUGAUUCCUUGCAACUUAUCCAAACAUAAGUAUUCAACGUUAUUGAUGCGCUGCAACUUCUCGGAGCAAAUGGCCAUAGAAUCAAGCUUGAGCUUCAAUGUUCUUAAACUCUCAUGAUUACUGAUCAUAAAGUGCUGCCGACUUUCAAACCAAUCAUUCUCAAUAACCAGGGUAGAGUCGAAUGAUGCAUCUCCUAUUGAUAUAUCAAACCUUUCCAGCUUUUUGGAAAAAAAGCCAUCCGGUAAAAUGCUAUCAUUUUUAACAUCUAUCUAAGGUGGUCAAUCGCCUCAUAUGCAUCAAUUCGUCGAGGGUGGCAUUACUUCUUUCACUAUUGGCCUUUUCAACUUCCCAUUCAAUAGGGGAAUUACCCAUAUACAGUUCUUCCAAUCGAGUGAAGCUUGAUAAGACGUUGGGCACAAUAAAUUUUAGUUGCAAACAAUCUGUUAAAUCUAACAGCCUUAACUUAGUCAGUUGACCUAGUUCGCCAGGCAACCGUACAAUAUCAGAAUUUAAAAAGCUAAGGAUUUCUAGAUUCUUCAACUUUCCAAUUAUGGCUAUGUCUCCCAACAUGCUUUGAUCUAGACAGAGUGUUUGAAGAUUUGCUAGAAGACCGAUUGAAGAUGGCAAUGAAAAUAAUCGCAUUCGUGUCAAAUCUACAACUCGAAGCUUUUUCAGCCCUUUGAAAAUGUUGUCAGGAAUAUUGACCUCAACAAAAGUGUUUUGGGAAAUAUGUAAAAAUUCAAGUUGCAGACAUUCAAAUUCCUCAGAAACUUCAUGAAUGCUACUAUUUAGUAAAGAGAUUGCAUAGCAUUUUUUAAGUGCAUCCUCAUCUGGCCACUCCCACACAGCCUCAUUUCUCACCAAUAAAGCAUGUUGGUCUCGAUUUAAACUUUAACUCAAUUUGAAAAACUGAGCAAGUAUGCGUUACAGGAAAUCAAAAAAGCUCCACAUACCCAGAUCAUGAUCUCACGUUGAAUCCAGGUGGGAGAUAUAUUUAUGAUCAAGCCCAACAUCGAAGGGGGCAAAAAAAAAAAAAAAAAAAAAAAAAUCUACCAGACAUAUGAUCAUAUUGACCACGAGCUUCAUACGCCGUGGAUUUAUUAACAAAAGUGGGAAUUAAUUAAUCAUGAGCAUGUGUUCUAGUUAAGUCAAAAGAGAGACUUAAUUAAGAACGCAUAUAUAAUUCAUAAUCAGCACAUAAAAAGAUCACUAGUGCUUGCCCCUCCUGCCCUUGCCGUGCUUGCCGUGCUUGCCCCUGCCCUUGCUCUUUCCAUGCUGGUAGUAGCCGCCGUGCUUGCCGUGUGUGUAUGCACCGUGAGCUCCAGGAUAUGCGUUAUUAUCUGCAACAAAAUAAGAAAUUAAAUCAUAAGCUUAUAAUUAGCUCGCUCGCUAAGAGUGAUUAAAAUAAUACCGUGCGGAACGGAUGGGCCAGGAUAUCCCGUUGGUGUGUAACCACUGGCGAGUGCUGCUCCUGUAGGCGGGUAGCCGGCACCGGCUGGGGCAGCAUGAUCAGCACCUUCCAUGAUUUUGAUGAUCACCUAAUAAAUAAUAACUUGGUCCAAAAUAAACAACAAUAAAUAAUUGUGAUUAAUAAAAAGUAAUAUAUUCUCUAAUUAAAACAUUAAUGAUCAUUGGAGAGCAAGCGAGAAAUACUUACUGAAUGCGAUGGGACAGACAACAUCAUGCAUAGAGAAUUGUUCAUCUUCAACGAAUUUGGCUGCCCGGUCAAUGAUGCCGUUAGCACUAACCAGCCACUUCUCAACCUUCUCUUCAAUCUCUUCCCCUUUUUCUUUUGCCUCUGAAACUCUGCGCCGAAUGCUCGUACGUUCAACCUUCAACUUCUCCAUUUCCGUCUUGAGAUUCUCAAGGUUGGCAUUGUAGUUCCGCUUGCGCAAAUAAACAAGUUGGCGUUCUGUUGGAGGAGCCAAGCAUUUUACAAGUUCCAAAACGAGAGUAACAAUGAUUUCCAGCAUCUUGAAUCCUGACAACAAUGUAGAAGUGAAGAAGGCCAAAGGACAGUCAAAACAGAGAGACAGCGUUACGACAAGCAGUUAUGGAGCUAAAAAUAAAUAACAAACAAACAGAAGCAAAGUGUUUUUCGAAUGAGAAGAAGGAAGCAAGAAAAACUUAAAACUAGUAUAAUAAAUUUAUACUAAAACUAGUAUAGUAAAACAAGAAGUCAAGAACCAGCAACUUUUACACACAAAAUAAAACCUUAAAACUAGUAUAAUAAAUUUAUCAUCAAGUUGCAGCCUUCUUAUUCAACAAUUACAGCAUUAUCUUGAGCUCUGUGUUUCUUUUUUUAAAAAUUAUUCAAAAAAAUCUGCAUUUGUUUUUCAACGAUAAAAAUUAUAUUUUUGUCUCAUAUAAUAUAAAAUUAAAAAAAAAACAAACAUAUAUUAAAGGUCUGUUUGGGAUUAUUUUUAGAGGCUCAAAAGUAAUUUUAAAAAGUUAAAUGCUAAUUUUGGUAUUUAAUAAAAUUUUUAGAAGUCACCUUUGGUAAAAUCAUCAAUCCUACAACAAAUUUUGAAAGCAAAUAGUUUUUCAAAUUUUUAUUUUGAUAAUUAAUUUUAUACUUAAUAUAAUUCCAUAUACAUCCCUACAUAUAUUAAUUAUCCUUAUUAAUUAGAAAAUAAAAUUAUUAACUUUAAAGAUAUUAUCAACAAUUACAUUGAGAUAACAAACUAAAAAUAAAAUUAAUAAUAUAAAAUAUUUAUUUUAGUAAUCAAUUAUUAUACUUACAAGAUAAAAAAUAUUUUAUUUAAAUGUUUAUAAAUGUACAAAUAAAUUUUAUUUAAUAUUAUAUUCAAUUUAGUCAUUUACAUUGUCAAUAGGACUUCUAAAAAUAAAUUUUCCUAAAUGUUUAACUAAUUCUCUUCAUAGUGAUUAUUUCCAAACAUAACUACCAAAAAUUACUAUAAUAGAUACAACAUUACCAAAAAAAUAUUGAGAUAGAUUUUAAUUAGGUAAUUGACUUAAUUAUGAAUCAAUUUAUUAUUUCCAUAUGUGUUAUCAAAACCAGCUCAAUAAUGAGAUCACUCUUUUUCUUAAAUAAAAAUAUUUGUGCCAAACAAUUGUUGCAAAAUUUCAAAUAUAAAUUACAAACAACAAAAUUUUCUAAAAUCAUAACAAUAAUUUAUGUUGUGAAUACAUGUAACUAAACCACAUUGAAAUUUUAUUGUUAGUAAAAUUGUUUUUCACGCAAAUGCAGUGACGGAUUCAGUUUCAUGUUUCACCCUCAAUAACUUAAUUUUCAUAUCUAACAAAUCAUCCAUAUUAUUAACAAUAUCAUCACCAAACAUAAUCUACCUAAACAUAAACUAAACAUAACACAUACAUAUAACUAUAUACAUACCGAAUCAGGAAAACAAUGAAAGCUACACGUAUCCGGCUCUACAAUUCCUUCUUGAUACCCUUGUGCUUCUAAAAUAAUCAACCAAUUAUAAAAAUUAGCUUAGGUGCAACUUUACCCCUUUUUUUGGGAAACUUAACUAUAAAUAAAGUAUACAAAUCUCUAAAUUAACUUCGUCCCCAUGAAAUUCGGCAUAAAUAGAAAUAGAAUUAUAGAAACCUUACUACCUUUUAUGAGAAAUCCAACUUAUAUAUUUGAGACCUCUCUCUCUAAGCACGCGCUUCCUCUCUCUGCACACUUUCCACCUUUAAAUUCUCCUUCACUAAGUUUACCUAAAAGAAUUUAGCGUUCUCCCAGUUUCUUUCGCAUUUUUCUCCGUGAAAAUUGGUGAAAAAGAGAAAGUGAUUUGAUUAUUUUAAUGUGCGACAGAUAUGGUUUCCAUCUCUGUAAUAUAAGUGUAUCAAAACGAGGUGAACAACUCUUUGUCGAGUCAGUCAAAUAUAAAAGACAAAUUACGAAACCAAGCAGAGCCAAAAAAAAAAAAAAAAAUUUCCAAUUAAAUAAUCAUCAAGUCUUUUUCAAUUAAAAUCGGAGGUGCAGAACAACUGUCAGGAGAUAAUCAUUGUUUAUGGAGCCAUAUUAUAUUUUCGAUUAAAAUAGUUGCGCGUGAACAAUUGGCAGAAUUCGUAUAAAUUGUUUUAAGGUCUAUUAUAAUUAACAUUUAACAAGUGGAAUGGCCAAUGGAUGAAGAACCACUAUAAUUAGGGGGGUUUUGUGUCCCUUAUUCAAACGUUGGGGGUCUCUGUGUCUUUUUCCCAUAAAUUUAAAAUGCUAAAGAAACUGGGGAAAUUUACAAAAAUAACCAUAAAAUUUUUGUUAUUUUUACAAUUAACCCUCUCAACUUUUUUCUAUCAACAUUAGCCAAACACGUGCUUUUCUCCCCAAAUUACCCUUCUUUACAAACCAAAAGCAACAUUCUUUCUCCCCUUUCGUCAAACAAAGGCAGCUUCCACUCUUGAAUCAUCAACCAACGACAACGGCAAAAGGCAACGAUAAAAAGUGAAAUCCGAUCAUAAUUUAUUCGGAUCCAACACUAAUCGGCAUCACAUAGUGGUAUGAGUUAUUUUCUUGCUCGUGAGUUUGCCUGUCGCACCAAAAGCCAGAUUCAUUAUAAUUAACUAUUAAUUUGAUAGGGCUGAAAUAAUUUAUUUUUUUAUAAUUUCAGGCUUAAUGGAUUCAGUUGUACUUGAAUUGUGUUACGAUGGUUGUUGGGAGACAUUAGAGGAUGGGCGUAUGGAGUAUGUCAAUGGUAAAAAUAGAGCUUUUUUGGUUGGAAAAAAUUGUCUUUUUGAUCAGUUAUUGGCAAGAGUAUACGAUGUGUUACAAAUUAAUCCUAAUGAAUAUAGUAUCACAAUGAAGACAACUUUGAGGUCUAGUAACACAUUAUAUCGUGUAUGUGCACUGCCCAUGGAUAUAUUUGAUGAUGAAAUGGUGAGGGUUGUGUUACAUAUGGCAUCCGACGUAGCUAAUUUUGGAUGCAUUCCUAUAUUUGUUACCACAUCACCUCGAGUUCCGAGUGGAGGUAUUGAGCCACAUGUCGAUACAGAAACUUCGUUUAGAGCAAAUAUGUCUAGCCUCGAUAAUGAAGAAGAGGUGUUGCCAAGGACAAUAUCACUGCAGCAAUAUUACUCUCCAAUCCACGACAAUUAUGACAACAUUGAUGAUGACGGCGUUACGUUACAGGAUGUUGGAGCAACGGUAUUUCCAAUAACGACGUCGUUGGAGCAACGGUAUUCUCCGUAUCACAAUAAUGAUUUUCGGGACAAUGAUGAUUUUCAUGAUGAGACAGAGGGGGAUAAUGUUUGUGCAGAACCUUCUAAUAAUAUGAGGGGCACUCAUUUCAAUAAUGAUGGUGAUGAUGGAGGAGCCGGUCCUUCGAAUGUUCCGUCGUUUCAGCAUGAGGAUGAGUGUGAAGACAAUACUCCUGCGAAUAAUAGAGGCAAUAGACCUAUUCUAGCAAUGGUUCGAUCGAGAAGGAGAAUUGACCCUCUCACAAGUCUUGCUCCAACUUUGCCUUCGAACAUGGUUGCUCCAAGUUUUGUUAGCAGUUGUGACUCAGAUGAUAUCAGUGUCGGUAAGCUAUUUGCUGAGAAGAAUGAGUUUAUAUUACAACUACGCAAGGUUGCCUUUCAGGAUAAGUUUGAUUUCAAGAUUGCACGGUCUACUACGACACGUUUCGAGGCUCACUGUAGUUCAGAAUCAUGUAAAUGGCGUAUUCGAGCAACUAGAUGUUCGAACGAGGAAAAUGUUCCUUGGGUGGUGCGGAGAAUUGAUAAUGUACACACUUGUCAUAAUGAGGUGUUGGUUGCUGGAUGUCAUCAAGUCAGGAGCCGGGUUGUCAGUCAUAUUAUCGCAGAUAAAUAUAUUCAAGUCAAGAGAAUUUAUACUCCGAAUGACAUAAGAGCAUAUAUGCAACAAGAAUACGGUGUUCAGUUAACAUACCAGCAGGCAUAUCGGGCAAGAGAAGUUGGUCUUGAAAUAGUUCGAGGCAACCCUGCAGAGUCAUACAACUUGCUCCCUAAAUACUCUCGCGUACUAACUGCAGCGAAUGAGGAUACAGUCACUCACAUCGAGCUGGUGCGACAGCCGCGCCUGUUACACCAAAAAAUUGGUGCGACAGGCGCGCGCUGUCGCACUUGAUCUGGUGCGACAGUGGGGCACGCAUGGGCGCGCGCGCGCGCCCUGCCCCCCUCCCUCUCCACCCCCAAAAUUAAGCCACAACACUUUAAAAUCGAAAAACAAUACUCCCAAACACCACCAACCACCACAAACACCACCACUACCACCAUUAUUCUCAAGCUAUAACUAUUAUUAUUCUAAAAUCUCAUUUUAAAUUAAUGAAAAUAAGAAAAAUGACUAACCUAGGUUUUGUUGAAGGUUGUAGAUCGUAGAUCGGAUGCCGGUGAGAGAUGGAGCCACCGCCGACGAGGGUUGAUGUUGCCGCCGAUGAUGGGAGUUGGAUCGGUUUGGGAGAGAUGAGUGAAAGGGAGUGUUGGGGAAGAGAUGAGGGAGGGGUAUUUUGGUCUCAAAAGUUGUUUAAUGGCUAAUGUUGAUAGAAAUAUUUUUGGGGGGUUAAGAUGAAAAAAAUCAAAACUUUUAUGGUUAUUGUUGUAAAUUUCCCAAGAAACUGACAUCAACGCUAAACGUGAAUCUGCAGCCCUUGCCUCAGUGUCUUUCAGGCGUUACUCGGGGUAGUUGAUAUACUGACGAGCCCUUUAUCAAUUAAUAAUCGAAAUAGAUUAAAAUAUGAAUGGAUUAGAAUAGAAUGAGUUGGAAUUAAAAUACGAAAUCACAAUCAGAUUAAUUUAUUUUUUUAAAUUGAGGAAUUAGAAUUGGAAUAAAUUAUAUAGUUAUUGAUGUGUUUAUUUUAUUUUAAAAUUACAAGAGUUGUUGUAAAUUACUAAUAUGCCCUUAAUUUUUUAUUAUAAUUAUAAUUAUUUAUUACUACAUUUGUCAUAUUAUUAAUAUUAUAAUAAUAAUGAUGAUAAUAAUAAUAAUAAUGAUUGUAACAAUUAAUAUUGAAAAAAAUUUAUUGUUAAUAAUAGUAAAUAAAAUAAGAAUAAAUAGGCAAUUAUUCACUGACCACGUGAUCUUUCGGACUCUUUCAAAAAUACACAAAUACUUUUUUCUUUGCAGAAAUCCUCCUGAAGUUUACAAAGUGUUUCAAUUGUUCACUGUCAUCUUAACUCUAUUAGAAUCUUGUUGAUGUUGUCAGGAUAAAAUUGUCAUUUUACCUAAACAUCCAAAAGGAAGUAUAAGAUGAAGCUCAACUUGGAGAAGUGUGCUUUCGGGGUUGGAUUCGGCAAAUUCCUUGGGUUCAUGGUGAGUGAUAACUCUAUGAAAUGAGAGUUAUCAUGAAAUUUUUAAGUUUAAAUCAAGACUACUCAGAGAGUAAUUGAUAUGUUUUAGUGCACUUUAAUGAUAGUUUGCAUUACAUUCAUUUUAAUUUAAGUUUAAUAAAGUUUAUGUGAUUUCUGAAUAAUUGUAUGCUUAGAACAUAUGUUUAAUUGUAGGUCAAUGGAAACUUGAAUUUCAUGGAAAAGAUGCUUUUGCAAUGGACUUAUAAAGAGGACAAACGAGCAUGGCUAUAGUAGAAUUGGAGCAAGUUUGGAACAGUGGAGUUGCUGUAGCCAUUACUGUAGCAACCAUUGAUGUAGCAAUCCUCGAGCAUUGCGAUCUGCAGUUUCCUAAUCUGAAGAAAAAGUGGCAUAAGAGAGAGAGCCAUCAAUUAAGAUCAAAAACAGAAAAGAACCAAGGAAGUAACAGAAUUCCUGAGCAGAAUUCAAGGCUGAGCCAGUUGAAGAAAUUUGCAGAGUCAAUUGGAAUUCACUCUUUCUCAUUCUUUUCUUAUUUACUUGUUAUUUAUUGAUUAUGAAGAUGUACUAAAUGGCUAGAAUUUGGUUGUUUAAUCUCCUUUCACAAAUUAUGAACUAAAUUCAUUUGUGGUUGAGUAUUAAACUAUCUUGAUGGUUAAUUGACUAAAUAUAGGUGUUGCUAUAUGUUUGCUACAACAUUUUGCUUUAAUAACAUUUAUUUACAUUCAUUAUUUCGGUUGACCACCCAUUUAAUGAUACAAGUUAAGAAAGAGCUGUAAAAAGGGUCUAUCUUAUUGAAACAUAUUAGAGUAAUACUUGGUCUUAAAUUGGGUUUCCUAGAUUGAGUUUAACUUGAGACCAAAAAGGGUUGUACUUAAUUUAAGAUUAGUAAUGAACUAGAUAUAGGGAUUUGCCUUGUAGGGUAAAAAGAACAUAAAUGUGUAAUACUAUAUCUUACGUUGACAUAGUAACUGGUCACUGUUAGGUUGUAUAAAGAUAUAAAACAUUCGAACAUGCUACCGUUGAGGAUAAAGAUGGUUUCUGCCCAGUGCUGUAGCAGAUGCUGCAGCAACUGAGCUUGACAUGAAUAACACAGUCAACACCAUCAAGAGAGUUUAAUCACUCAACUACUCUAUUCUAAUUAAAUUUAAUUUCAUGUUUAAUGUAAAAAAUUUAUUUAUUACAUUUUUAAUUAUUGUGAUUUUAUUUUACCUAGUCAUUUAGUUGUAUUAGUUGCAUUGAUUUAAUUGAUAACAUAGGUUGCUCUGUGAAAUUACUGUAGCAAGUCUAAUAGCAUCAAUCCCUAUGGAGACGAUCUUGGAUACUUAUCCUUAUAUUACUUAUUGUGUACACUUGUGCAUUGACACUAAUAGCAAUGGAGUUAAAAUUAGCAACAAAUUUUUUGUGCUAUUGCUGGGGUUUGAUUGUUUACUUUUCAGUUGUGAAAUCAAUUUUGACGGUGCUAAUCUUUGAUUUUAUUUUGAAUUGUUUACUUUGUUAACAGAUCACUCUUGCAUGUGAAAAUACAAACUUGUUGAAUUUCAAUUUGAUCCAGAGAUUGAAAGAACUACAAGGAGAUUGAGAAGAGAGCAAAGAAAUUCAAAAGCUGCUGUAGCAAUAGAUGACUUGCAAAACUUAGGAAACUUAGACCCUCACGGACCAAUAUAACCUGUUAAUGCUCAAGAAAGUCAGAAUGGGAAAAUUAAUCAGAGACCAUCAGGGAAUAACAAUAUUAGCUACAUGGAAAAUGAUAGAGACAGGGCCAUUAGAGAUUAUGCUUUGUUAGCCCCUUAAGUUAUACAUCCUGACAUUGUCAGACCUGAGGUAAAAGAUGCCAAUUUUGAACUCAAACCAGUGAUAUUUCAAUUAUUACAAACAGUGAGGUAAUUUAAUGGAUUACCAUCAAGAGGUGAGUGAUGCUUUUAAAAUUAUUGGAGCAUCACAAGAUGCAUUGAGACUCAGAUUCUUUCCUUACUCCCUAAGAGACCGAGCAAGAGUAUGGUUGAACUCUUUACCACCAGACUCCAUUACAACAUGGAAUGACUUAGCUGAUAAGUUUAUGAUGAAGUACUUCACACCAACCAAAAAUACAAAAUUAUGUAAUGAGAUUACUUCUUUUCGUCAACUAGAAGAUGAAAACUUAUAUGAGGCUUGGGAAAGAUUCAAUGAGUUAUUCAGGAGAUGUCUUCAUCAUGGCAUUCCUUACUGCAUACAAUUUGAAACCUUCUAUAAUGGGUUGAACCCAAGCACUAGAUUGAUGGUCGAUACUUCAACAAAUGGGGCUUUGUUAUCUAAAUCUUACAAUGAAGCCUAUGAAAUUUUAGAGAGAAUUGCUAAUAACAAUUAUCAGUGGCCAUCACCUAGACAAAUUGUAUCAAGAGGAGCAGCAGGUAUACAUAAUGUGGAUGCAUUUACAGCAUUAUCAGCCCAAGUAACAUCAUUGACCAAUAUGGUGAAAGCUAUGACUACUGCUCUAUCGAAUGACAAUCAAGUUGCCGAUGUUUCUUGUCUGUAUUGUAGAGAGGGGCAUUUAUUUGAUAAUUGCCUAAGGAAGUCAACGUCAGUCAAUUAUGUGGGCAACUCCAAUAGAUAGAACCAGAACAAUCCAUAUUCCAGUACCUACAAUCCUAGAUAGAGGCAGCACCCAGUGGACAGAACAGACCUACUCAGCCAGUUGAUUUUCAUCAGCAAAAUCAAGGGUAAAAAAACACCAGCAAUGAUCAAUUCAGUUCUUUGGAGACCCUAAUUAAGGAGUACAAUGUGAAUAAUGAAGUAAUUGUCCAAAGUCAGGCUGUACCAUUGAGAAAUUUAGAAAAUUAAAUUGGACAGCUUGCCACAUUAUUAAGUAACAGACCUUAGGGGAGUUUACCCAGCAACACAGAAGAUCCAAGGAGAGAAGGUAAGGAAUAUUGAAAGGUGAUCAAAUAUUGCACAAACUAGAAGCCUCAGGUCGGCUGGUGAAAUGGGCAAUAGAGUUGAGUAAAUUCUAUAUAAGCUACAAACCCCGAGCAACAAUCAAAGCCCAUGCAAUGGUGAACUUCGUGGAAGAAUUUACAGAAUCACAUGUGGAACCUAGCCACAUUGAUAUUGCUAUAGGCAACAACAAAGGUCAAAUCUGGCAGAUGACAGUGGAUGGAUCUUCAGGUGAGCAAAGUACUAGAGCGGGGUGGUCCUGGAGAGUCCAGAUGGAGAGGAAAUCUCUUACGCUGUUAGACUGGAGUUCAAGGCCACAAAAAAUCAGGCUGAAUAUGAGGCUCUAAUUGCAGGGCUAGAGUUAGCUAAGGCGGUGCAGGCAAAUAAGGUGAAAAUUCGGACAGAUUCACAGCUAGUCGCCAACCAUAUUAGUGAAAUGUUCUAACCUAAAGACGAAAAGAUGGGGCAAUACCUGAGGAGGGUCAGGCAGAUGAUCAAAAAGUUCGAGUCGAUGGAUAUUGUGCAAAUUCCAAGGAGUGAAAACUAUCGAGCUAAUAUCCUAGUUGGAAUGGCUGCUACAGCGGACUAAAAAAUGCCAAAAUCAGUCCCUAUGGAAGUCAAGUCCUCCCCCCAGCAUUGUGUAAAGUCUGGAGAUGAUGCAGAUAGAGCAAAAAGGCUCAUGGAUAGACCCAAUAAUCUCAUAUAUACUGGAUAGAGUGUUACCAGCAGAUAAAACGCAAGCAUGAAAAAUCAAGGGCCAGCGUCUAGGUGUACACUAAUUGAUGGGGUGUUAUACCGACGAGGGUACACCUUGUCGCUCUGCGGUGUCUGGACAAAGACGACGCGAACUACGUUAUAAUGGAAGUACAUGAAGGGGUUUGUGAAAAUGAAUCUAGAGUUAGAUCUCUUGCCUACAAAGCCUUAAGACAAGGUACUUAUGGCCGACGAUAUACUAAGAUGCUCAAGAGAAAACCAGGAGUUACAGAAGUUGCCAGAACUUUGCUAGUUUCCCUACACAGCAAUAAAAAAUACUUACUACUAUGACUUCACCAUGGCCGUUUACUCAAUAGGGAAUCAACCUAAUCGAGUCUUUGCCAAAAUGAUGAAGAGCAGUUACACAUGCUAUCGUGGCAAUAGAUUAUUUCACAAAAUGGGUCAAGGUAAAAGCACUCAGAAGAAUCACAGAGAAUGAUAUAACUGAUUUCAUGUGGAGAAACCUUGUCAACCGGUAUGGAAUCCCAUACGCCUUGAUAGCGGACAACAACUAACAAUUUGACAAUCACAACUUUAGGGAGUUUUGUCAGAACUUUGACAUAGAGCUAAGUUCUGCUCCCCUGCCCACCCUUAGUCCAAUGGACAGGUGAAAGUGGCCAACAAGGUUAACAAAAAAACUCCUGAAGACCAAACUAUGAGAGAAGAAGUGUGCAUGGGUUGAUGAGCUUCUAGGAGUGUUGUAGGUAUAUAGGACUUCUCAUAAAACCGCCACCGAUGAGACACCCUUUGCUGUAGCCUUUGGGCAUAAAGCAGUCUUGCAUGCAGAGAUAGGGGUAACCACGCACCAAACUGAGCACUUUGAUGAGAGUGAGAAAGGUGAAUCAGAGUACCAAAGAUUCGACCCAUGGUGUGUAUCCGGAUCAAGAGCCUACAAGCUUGCUCUCGCGAAUGGACAUGAGCUGAAACAACCAUGGAACGUAACACAUCUAAAAAAAUACUUCCAAUAAGGCCCAUUGGUAGCGAGUUAGAGUUAUUUCUGUUCAUUUCUGUUGUUGUUUAAACUUUAUGAUCAGUCAAUUUCAUGUAUGUCGUAUGCCAUGAUUAAUAAAGUUUGGAGGAAGUUCAUUCAAUUAAUUUAAAGAAAAAAAAAGUUCGUAAGGUAAAUAAAUGCCUCAAAGUCUCAAAGCCUGCUCGAUGGUGAGACCAGAAGCCAGAUUUUCCAGACUCUGCUCUACCGAACGAUGACGAGCAGACAAUCAAAUAUUUCAAAAAGUUUCUAAGGCAGACAAAAGCUUCAAAGUCUCAAAGCCUACUCGAUGGCGAGACUAGAGGCCAAGUUUGCCAAACUCUGCUCGACCGAAUGAUGGCGAGCAGACGAUCAAAUAUUCCAAAAAAUUUCCUAAGGGAAAUAAAGGCUUCAAAGUCUCAAAUCCUACUCGAUAGCAAGAUUAGAAACCAAGUCUGCGAGACUUUGCUCGAGCAGGCUACAAGAAAAACCAAGUUAUUCGUUAAUAAUCUAGUGACAAUGACAACUAGCCUCAAAACUUGGCAUACAACGUUUACAAAAGAAAAUUAUGGUACAUUCACGAGGAUGAAGGAUCUAUAAGUAGAGCAGCUUUUGUUGGAUUUUCAAGCAGUAGAGAAUGAGGGGUCUGGCCAAUUCUGCCCGAGGGAGUGCUUGCUUCGAUCGGGGUUUUGCCUUUCAAGACCGGCAAUGAUGCAUCGACAGAAGUGCCUGAGCCCUUCGUUAAAUUGUCAUCAACUUCCUUUUCCAAGUUCUCAAUCUGAGUCUGGUGUGAAGCACAAAGUGAUUCCAACUAAGACUCGUAGGAAGCUUUUUAUGUCUCCAAAUUCUUAUUGACCUUGCUCAGCUACUCCUCAAGGGUGAUCACAUUGGCCUGUGCAAGAGAUGUCUGCUCCACUAAUUUCAAGUUCUCGAGGGUGAGGUCUCUUGCUUUCUUCUCAGUAGCAUCAACUUCGUUUUUAGUUGAUUGAAUAUUAUACUUCAUCUUGUGGUCAUAACGGCCAACUUUCACCUUGUAGUAGGUAGUCAUGCAACAUAGGUGGAAAACACUGAAUUGCAUAGCCCUAACUAGCUCACGAGGGUAAUGCCGUCAAAGUCCUCUAAAUCGUUUUUUUUCACGAGCCUAGAAAACUCACUUAUGUAAGGGCCAUAUGCUCUGGUCGAUCCUCAGGCAAUUGCGGUUCGGAUCUUGGUGGAGGAGGAGUGGUAACAAGACCAGUGCCGCUCGCAGCUCCACCAACUUCACCUGCCUUAGGACGGGGAGGAGGAUGUGGCAGCAUCUUCAGAGGGGAAGCUUUCCCUACAAUAUUGACCCACUUCUCAAGGGAGCAUAGUUGCUGCAACCCCCCUUUACACCACGAAAGCGAGGGCGUUUUCUGUUCAAAGCCCCAAUCACAGCAUCCUCUAUAGCAAUUCACCUUCGAUGCGGUAUUAGACACUCCAGGAACUUGCAACAUAGGCAGAGACUCUGUUAGAAAUUACUCAAUCACUUGAUCAGCUGGUGGUGUAAAACAACUUAAAUAAGCAGGCAACCUGGAACUAAGAAACGGAUGGGGACAUGGACAUUCUCAUCAUCAGUCGGCCACUUGACCCUAAGGACCCCCAGCAAAAAAGAAACUGCUUUUCUAAUUCUCACCACCUGUUAGGAGGCCAGUUAUAGGUUUCCUAGUCUUGGUACUUGACAUAAAAUAGUACCAACUAACAUCUUUAAGGCUACUCUUUAAUUGGUAUAAGUGUUUAACCUCAUCAAUUAUAGGCUCACUCUGACCACAUCUGUCCCAAAGUACGAGUACACCAGAAAGUACCCUCUAUCCAUUAGGGUUAAGCUGACCAUGAGCUAAGUGUAAUCUACCAAGCAUCUGGACGAAGUAAAGCGGCAAAGGAAGCCUCAUCCCUUGUUUAAAACUCUCUAAAAAUAUAGCAACAUACCCCCUGGAAGGUCGAUUAGGGGUAUCUUUUUUCUUAAGAACCCUAAGGUUUAUGUCAUCAGAAAUCUUGUAAGUAUUUUGGAGGGGUUUAAAGUCAUCUACUGUGGUCCUACAAGUCAUGAGGUCAAUAGGGUAGUUUUCGGCCGGAGUCCUACCACCUAAUUUCCUCCUCUUUGCUGGUCUUACUACCUUUAGUGAGGAUGCUUCACCAAACUCUUCAUCUGGGUACCCGCUUAGGGUCUCCUCUGAGCUAGAAGAUUCGUCAUUGUUACUUUUGCUAGAUGAGGUAGAAACCUCAGGAGACAUCCUCCUAGCACUACUUCUAACACUAGAAUGGCCUACAAGCUCUAAGGGGAUCCUAGGGUCGAAAAUGGGCUCUGUGAGCAAACCAGGUAGGAAAUCCAGUUCGUCAUCAUCAAUCUCAAUUUCUUUUUCCUUGCCUUUUGACAUUUUCUAAGCGAUAUCCAAGAAGAUACAACUAAAUCCCUCUUAACCCUAGAAAAAAAUGACAAAUAUCUAAGACAAGAGAGAAGAAGACCGUACCUAAAGCAGCGGCACCUCAAAAUCAAAAUGGAGGAAGUGACUUGAUAUUCGAUGGAGGAAAUAGCUGAGUCACCAAAGGGCGAAAGAAAAGCCGGAAAAAAACUUUCUUGUGAAGAUUAGGGUUCCCCAAGAGACACGGAGACCCCUAAUUUAUUACCAUUUAACGACACGCACUCCGAGGGUUCUUAACAGGCAGUUAAAAAUUUAAAUGAACGAGUGGAUUCCUGCCACAUCACCUGCUUUUAAUUAUGACGUGACUCUUUGGAUAAACAGCUAAUAGUAGCUUAAAGGAUCAAGUGGAUAAGGUGACCAGUCCUCAUUUCAAUGCCAAGAAGCCAAAGUGUGUUUUGAGCAAGAUAAGACUACCAAGUUUCUAGUGUUGAUCCAUUGCAUUAUCAGCACCAGAAACUGAGGGACUAGUAUUUGAGGCGUAUAACGACGCGACCAGCUACACUCGAGCGAGGAUUUCCUUUUUGUGGGCGAUGGGCUAUAUAGUGUCCGUGAGCAGAAGUGCUCUAUUCGACACCGAGGAGUUUUCUGCUAAACACCGAGGAUAUCUCCUGAUGGGGCCAAGGUCGGAAGACCCAGUCUAUGGCAGUUGUUAGAACAUGUGUCGCUCUCCGAGAAUCCAGGCACGAGGCCUAUUCAGCCACGAUCACAACGCCCGAGCAUCCAUGACCGGGAACUAAGGUAGAGUGGCAAACGUGGGUCAUGGUGACUAAAUUCUCAGGAGGGCUAUAAAAGGGGCUUGCAAAGAAGGUAAAGGGUUUAGACAUUUUUAAACUAAAAAUUAACCUAAGAGAAUUGGGGGGUGCAUCUUUAUUGGCGAGAAUUGGGAAAAUUUUUGAGAUUUUUCCAGUGUUUGAGAAAUUAUUACAGAGCCACGAGAUUAGUGGCAGGGUUUUUUCACAAUAAGCCCAGAUUGCUGACUUGAGCGUCGGAGGGUUUACGUCGGGAAAACCCUCAGCGUUCUUUGACCAAUUUCUGUGUGUACAGGAAUUCACAGAGGAGGAACGGUGAGCCUCAUAGUUCUGCUUAUCAAACAGGAGCAGAGUAAAGUUAUCCCCUACCACUACAAAUUUAAGUGUUGAAGAGAGAUCAUGGUCUCGAACGAGCAGAUGCAAAAUCCCGUAUCAAUAAUAACAACAACAACAACAACAACAUCAUCAAUAAUAAUAAUAAUAAUAAUAAUAUAUUAACUUUGUAGGAUGGAGCUCUCGCAAAUCUUCAAGACACAAAAUGUGUUUGACCCCAUUGUUGUUAUUAUAAUUUCAAAAUCAUUUGUAUAUAUAAUAUUAGGGAAUAUGACAUAGAAAAAUUGAUGGUACAUAUGUUGCAAUAUUCUUGUUCAUGUGGCGGCACACUGAAGUAAAGCAUAAGCAGAGCAACAACAAAUGUAAUGAGAGAGCUCUCAUUAUGUAGAUUUUCAAUAGAAGUAAUGCAUAUUUCACAAAGGCAAUGGCCUUAUUUUGAAUGCUGCACCUGAGGGUUGACUUGAAUCUUCUAUAGAACUCAGGCAUUCUGUAAUCAUAGAGUAUAGCAUUUCAACAAAAAUAUUAUACAGGUCGUUCCUUUAUAUAUUUUCUGGGUACACAUACAGAAAUAUUAUUUUGGGUACAUUUCUUGCAGUAAAACCUGCCCAGUCUAGCGUUCUCGUAAGUUGGGUUUCUCAUUUGCAUGUUUUUUCCAUUGGUUAAUUAUCACAAACCUCCACUAACAUUUAGCAUAUUCUUAGUUUAAUAGAUUAUAUUGGCGUAUUCUCAAAUAUAAAUUAAGCUGGUGAGGAUAAAAUCGUAAAAGCACCAUUAAUGAUAAAAAGAAACCAAGUAAACUUGAAAUUUUCAAGUUGUGUUUUGAAAUUGGUCUCAACUUUGUAAAUGUCCAUUGGGUAAAGAAGUAAAGAACAGAAGCAAGCUGUUCCCAGCACACAUAAGCAAGCUUUACGCAGCACAAAUUAACACCCACAAAAAAUGAAAAGGAAAAAUGGUCAUCUCUUUCCUCCAUUCGAAUUGAAGCCAUGAAACACAACAUCCCUUUCAUCUUCUCUCUAAUGCUUUGAUUAGAAAACUUGCUUACAAACGGGAGACCAUGACACUGAAUCCUGAGACGGCAAUACCAGAGACGACUGAUUUACGCCAACGGUGUGGAAGAAUACCAACCAGUGACUUUCGCUGUCGACCCACAAACAAUCCCAGUGUUUUCUAGCUGCGAAUGAGGUAUGAAUCAGAUUAUUUCCGUGCAUUUCAAUUUUGUCAGCUGACAUUAGGAGAUUUGGUUAAAAAAAAAAGAAUAAUGGGUCUCGAAAAUUUUUUGAGAGUGUUUUUGUUGCUUACAUUAUUUUCCAUCGAUUAAUGUUAGUUGUAGGUGAAUGAUUGUUGCAAAUGCAUGUUCGCUUGUGAUUGAUUGAAAAUGGCUUGUGAUUUGUUAUGCUGCCGUGUGACUGAUUAAAAAUGGCUCUGAAAAUUUUUCAUUUGUUUAAGGUACUGCUGUUGAUUAUUGAACCAGGAUUCAUGCUAGUUUUUGUUAAAUUGAAGAUGAGAUUACUUUUUAAGAGAUCUGCAAAACCUUCUCUACUAUAGAUUUGGCUUCUGGCAUACCUGGUUGGCUGGAGAUAAUUGUUUAUAUAGUCAUUGCUGCCCAUAUUAAUCAGGAAUAUUGAUUAGCAAUGUACUGGAUUAGUGAUUGGUAUAAUUUUGGAAAAUCAGUCGUAGAUGCAACCUGGUUAUGGUCUCAAAUAGUGUGAUCUGUCAAUUCCGUUUGCUCUGGCCUAACAACCUUGAAUCUGAGCUAUGCCACUAUACAAUGUCCUGACCCAAUCAAGCUUGUUAGCCAACGUCCAAAAUUGCAAUGUCUUUAGAUAAGUCCCGUCUUAUUUGUUUGAGUUAUAAAUGAAAAUUGCAGUGUCUUUGGAUAAUCACGCUGAUGUUCACGUUAUUGACGAGAGGAACCUCCAGAUUCAAGGCCGGAGCUCCUUGUUGAGAAACUUUGCAUAUAUAGGAUUGUUGCCGAGUGGAGGAUCGAUAUGACUGGUCUUGUUUAGAAUAGGGAUGGAGAUUUUGCAUUAAGGCUUUCUUAACAGAUCAUUCUGCAAAUCAAGGUCCAUGUACAUCUCUUUAAACUCUUUGAUAUGUAUAAAGCAGGUGCAUGCUCUAUAUGUUACUUAUUGUAUCACAAUUAUUUUUCUAUUGCUUAAUAUAAUUGCAGUCCUUGAUGAAGUUGAAGACAACUUAUGGAGGGUAUACAAAGGCUCAAGAGCUUGAUCGCCAUUCAUUUUACACUUGGCUGAGCUACAGCAUACCAACUAGUGAUUAAUAAAGAGAAGGUAUGAAGGUCCUGUUGCUGGUGGUAUUAUCAAUCAGAAUUGUUAUUUUACUUAGUCAUAGUUACCAUGUAUAAGAUUCGUAGACUUUUUGCAUGCUUAUGCAUUCGCAUCAUCUUUUUGUUAAGCUAGAAAUGGUUGAUUUGUGUACUCAUUUGUAUCACUUGUAGCCCUUCAGGAAUAAAAUUUAAAAUUCUGUUGCAUCUCAUGUACUAAAUACUAAUUUUGUUGGCUUUAUGUAUGGGAAAUGGUUCAUUAUCUUAUUUCUUUGAUGCGUAUAGUGUGACAAUGUCUAAAGGUGAAAAGUAUUUAUAUCACUUGUGUAACACUGUCUAAAGUCAAAAAGUGUUUCUAUCACUUGUGUGAAAAACAACCUACUUUUUUUUCACUCUUCUUAUAUUGAAUAAAAGACAGACGCCAAGAUUGAACGAAAUUUGAUGCAGAAAGCAUAGCAAUUAGGCCAGUGCAAAACAACUUCCUUCUGAUUCUCUGAUAUUUGACUUAAAUCUUUUGUCUGUUUCAUUCAUCAAAGUCAUUUUGGAAAGUAGCAGGGGUGAUGUGAUAUUUUCAUUGUAUUCACAUCCCUGGCACCAAAAACAAACAUGCUGGUACUAACCAACAAUUUUUUAUUUUCAGUAUACAAAUUUUUUUUUUUCUAAAUUAGGGGUAUUAAGAAAAGGUAUACUAGCACCAGAGGAGGUAUUUGAGAAUACACAAAUACAAUCUAUCAAAUUGAGAAUACGCCAAAUCUCAGGAGUGGUUUUUGAUAAAUCCUUUUUUUCUUUUUCCUCCAUUCACUAUAGGUUCAAUUUAGGGUGGUUGUUAAGUUAUAUCAUUGUGUAAUAUAGAUCAAUUCAACAGUUGUUAUCAGUAACACAAAAGUAUAACGAACAAAAACUAAUUGUGUGUUACUGAUAGUAACUAUUAAAUUGAUGUAUGUUACAUAAUUAUGUAACUUAACAAGUUCUUCAAUUUAGACACGGUUGACCAAACUGAAGGUUUAGGUUGGUAAACGCACUAGUUUUAAUGUCAACAACCCAAGGGGCUUCAUGGUCCUCUGGGUCGAAAUCGCGUAAUUAUUAAUUCUCCAACACUGAAAGUCUUUAUCAUCUUGGGACAAAUAAUUACAAAUUGACAUUAUAGCCGUGGAAAUUUGGAGGUGUAAUAACCGGAAAAAUAAAAAUCUCAAGAGACUUUUUAAAUAAAAAAGAUAACACCUUCAAUUUGCUAAAAGUAAUGGUAUCAUUUCUUGUAUGGAUAAUGGAUGAUUAGAUUUUGUUUUUGGUUAUCUGACGAAGGAUAUUCAGUUGUUCUUUAUGUGUUCAUAGGCAAGAGCAUGAGCAUAUGCAUGAUUUGAUAUAUGGUUCUUGCAUUUUCUAAUUAAGUGCUCUUUUUCCUUGCCUUCUUAGUUUUGAAAGAAAGAUGUGAAGCAAAGCAAACCCAGUGAAAUGUACAGAGAAACAGAACCAUCAGAGGAAAAACUAAAUAACAGAACUACAAUUGAACCAAACAAAAUCAAAUAAACGGACGCAACAGAUGCCCUGAACCUAGUAAUUACUCAAGAGUUGAGGAGUUGGAAUGAUUUGGUAUUCAUAUCUUCACAAAUCAUAUGCUUUAAUGCAGAAUCGACAGCUUUAUAUUAUUUUAUUCAAAAAACGAUAAAGCAGGAAAACCACAAUAAUCCACCAACUUUUGAUACUUGUAGGAAUUUUUUUUAGUCAAAUUAAGUUUCAUGAUGAAACAAGUGGCUCGUCCACACACUUGCACUUGCUUGAAUAUUUGUGCCGACAUUUUCAUAUGUGAUGGUACUUCUUAGCCAGUAGAUAUGUUGAAGUACUACAAAACAGAGUAUUUGAUGAAGUUUUGCUACAUUCGUAUCCCCUUUUUUUGUUGCAUAACUAAAUUCUUUAUAAACACAAAUUAGAAAGAUACAAAUAAUACAGUAGCUUGAAUUUAUAUGCUUUUAUGGUUAUUUGAUAAUCUAGUGCUGAUCAUAUGUGAUGAUAAACUUAGCUAGUAGUUUUAUAUUUGUUUUCGCAGUUUCCUUAGCGUUCACAUUUUGAUGAGUAAAUUAAGGAUUUCCAGAUGAAGUACAUAAUUAGAUGAAUGCUAAGGAACUGAAGUUUAAUUAAUUGAAAACAAAAAUAAUAAUGAACGUAAUUACGAAAAUGAACAAUGCAGAAGUAGUCCCUAUAGUAUUUCUAAAUUUUCUCUUGGGAUUUCUUAGUAUUCCUCAAUAUUUUAAAAAAAUGACAUGACGAUCUUUGAGUGGACAAAUCUUGGCCUGCUGCUUAGUACCCUUCCAACAUAUAAAGUACUAGAUGUUUUACUGAGAAAAUGACAAGAUCAUUUAUCAAAUUUCUUGCGCAUAUAUACGUAUGUAUAAGAGAAAUGAGAAUCAGUGAUUAUAAGACCUUGCAAUGAGACAAUAAUACAUCAUCAAAUCUAAAAAUACACAAGAAAUUCGGGACAUAUAUAUAACAAAAGACCUCUCAUUGAGUCAUACAUAUUGAGAAUGAAAUGUCAAAAUGCAGACAAAGAGCUUAUACAGAAAAUGAAUAAACUGUCUUUGAACUUCUGAUGGUCAAACAAAGGAAACAGGCAGGAUAUAACACACACUAUCAUAGAUGUAGCGACACGAUGAAGUAAAUCACAUGAAGAUGGAAAGGGGAACCCCUCACAGCAUAAAAUUUGAAUAGAGAGGGGAAAAAGGCUUCAUUUCAAAUGUUGCACAGAAGAAGAGUGACUUGAAUCUCCAUCAGUAUCCAGACAUUCUGCAAACACAGUGCUGAGAAUUUUAACAAGAAUAACAGACAAAAUAUUGUGCUUCUAUACUUGUCACAAAACUAGACCAAAUUAGUCCCCUUUUUGGUUUGUGAAAACUUGAUAUUUUUGAAAAUUCUAUCCAAUGCUUUCAAACAAUAUUUCCAUAAUAUAGUUGUUCAUAGCUAACCUUUGAUGGUGUAAGGAUUUGUUGUAGGCAUAAUGGGCUAAUUAUAUAUAUAUAUAUAUAUAUUUUACCCCCUGAAUGAUAUUCAGCUUCUUAAUUAUGUGUUCAUAGGCAAGAGCAUUUUCUUAAGUACUUUCGUUGCCUUCCAAGUUUCCAAUGAACAAACAGAGCACAAACAAAUUUAACGGAACAGUAACGAUGACAAUAAAUAAUUGGCAAGGAAAGAAAGAAAAAAGUUUGCAUGAUUUCAAGGAAUUAUAAAAUCUGAACACUUUCAACAUGCAAGUGUUGCCCCUUUUGAUGAAAUUUCAUCAUAAAAUGCUUGCAAAGAAUUAUAAAAUUUUAGAGAACAAGCGAACUCUCAAACAAAAUACUCAAAUUAAAUUAAAUUAGACCAAAAGACACUCAAUGACGCAAAAUCUGCCAUUCUAAAUAAUUGAGAUGAAAUUGUGAAACAACCCACGAGAUCAAAUAAAUAAAAUAAGAAUUAAUUACCAGCUUUGACUUUCUUCUCCAAAUUCGCAACUCGAAGACAUAAGAAGCCAAUGAAAUUAGUCGUAACCCAUAAAGUACGACGACGACCCCGCCAAUAGCUGAAAAUAAAAUACUUAUUCAUCAAUUUAAACUAACUUUAUAACAAAUAUCUUAUCGAUAUUUUAUUUAAAAAAAGCAAAUUUGUAGAAUUUUUCCAUGGGAGGUAGAGAGUAAUAUGUAUAUCCGUACCUUUUCAGUAUGUAAUUGUUGUAUGGUUGUGUUAAGAUCAUUAUUUGCCCAACGCCGUUGAUCCUCUGACUCUCCAUACGAGACGUUUACUCUCGGAGGCGUGUUUGAUUCUCCUGAAGUGAAAGUCUUCAUCUUGGGACAACCAAUCACUUCCAGAUAUUCCAGAGAUGGGAAUUUGAAGGUGUAAUUGGCAGAGCAGAAACUUGUGAGACUGUCUAAAUCACACAGAAUCAACGCCUUCAAUUUGCUGAAAACAAUCUCUUCUAUGUCAACUCCUUCUUUGUCAUUUAUUACCACCUCUGUCAUUGCUCUGCAUCCAUAUACUUGCACUGUUACGAGUCGCACCAGAGUUUUUGCUGUGGAGGAUGUUACUAAGUGUAUCAAUUCCUUGCAACCGACAGCUACCAGUUUUGCUAGGUUCCGAAAAGAUACCGAUGAUGAUGGCAAUAGACUUAACAGAUUUUGACAAUGAUAUACUUUUAGAAUUUCAAGAUAUUGAAAAAUGGAGUCAAGUUUGGAGUCUUGUUUACAUAGCUGCUUCAGAUGAUUAAGGUGGCCCAGCUCUAUACAUUUUAUCAUUGCCAACUUCCUCAAACGGUUCUCUAAGCAUCCUUCCGUUGAAAAUACCUCUUCGUAUGAACAAUGAUACAGUAAGAGUAAUUCGAGAUUGUGAAAUCUCUCAAGUACAUUCCUGAUUGGAAAACAAGCCGAGUCAUCAUAAGUUAUGUCUAGUUUUUUAAGACUGCCAAAAAGGUGUUGUGGGAAAUCGGCGUCCAAAAUCAUCUUCACAUCUUUUCCGCUUAACGCCAGUGACUCCAAGUUGGGUAAGAUCUGAUCAUCGUCAAUCACGUAGUAACUAAUCAGGUCAGUUGAUGUUCUCUCCAAUAAUUUUACCUUAGAGUACUUGUUGUAGAUUAUAUAUAUUUUACCAAAAAAAAAAAAGAAAAGAAAGGAAAAAUUGAAUUAGUGAUAAAAUUCAUUCUAGGAUUUUUGUAUGUUAAUUUGAGAGAUAAGAGAGAAAUUAGAAAAAAAAAAGGAUGAUUUAUACUGGCAUAAAAAUAUUUUAUUGCACAAUAAUAAAUUAUUAAUUUAUAUUGUAAGUGAUUAUAUAUGAGAAAACUGAGGAUUCUUUUUUAAUGCUAUACCUAAAAUAAUUCAUCUAACUAUUAAUUUAGUACAUUGAUCCCUUAGUCCAGACUAGCAAAAAUAUUAAUUUUGUACUAAAAGUUUUCAAUUUAUUGAGUAUUAAUUUAUUGAUGUUUAGUUAUAUUUUACAAAGUCAAAAGUCGCUAAUGAUCUAAUUGAUAAGAAAUCUAGAAAGCGGCUUCAUACCUUUUUGAACAAGAAUAGGGGCCGUUGUGCAGGAAUACCAAGUUGAUCAUCCUCAUUAUUCUGUGAUGAAUCUGCAGCGAAUGUCUUCAAUUUGUCACAACCAGACACCACUAAAAUUUUUAGUGCAGGCCAUUCCGAAGUAUGCAUUCCAUGGUAUAAACAUUUAAGUUCCGGUAGCUCUUGGAGUAUAAGAGUGGUCACCCGUUGAAAGACAAAAUGAGGGGUCACAUGAUCUACUCUGUCUUCCGAAAUGAUCUCUUGCAAACCCCUACAAUUCACUAUCUCUACUUGUUGGAGAUGCUCAAAGCUUUGAAUCAUAGAAACUAAAAAUAUGUAUUUUAAUUUGUUACAGUGGCACACAAUCAAUCGUGUUAAACUUUGAAAGCGAGGAAGCAUGACCGGACGAUGAUUGUAAUGCCAAAUCUUGUCGACAUUAAUUUCAGAUAUCUCCAAAGCCUCCAAAUUAGGCAACCCUACCUAAAAAAAUAUUAAUUUCUUGUUAGAUCCAACACCCAUAUGAGAAGGACUUAUUGAAAUUUUCUUCUUUGAUUACAGAUUAAUAAUUCAAGUCAAAAUCAAUUUCCAACUGACAGCUGAGUAUGCAUUCUAAUUCGUAUUACUUGUUAAGAGCUCAAUUAGUGAGUGCGUGAGAUUCUUUUUAUCCUUUUUUUUUCACUUUCUUUCAAUUCUUUAAAUGAUUUAAUUAUUUUCCACGUAUGACAUCAAAAGAGAAUGCACAAUAGCAUAAAGAAAGUGUUAGCCUACGCACCUUGCCGUUGAAAAGCAGUGUUUCCAAAUUGAUUUCGUUGGAGCAAGAACUUGUCAAUUCCUCUUGCAGCCCUUGUCUGUUUGGUGAUGCUGAAGGAGUCUUCAAAUUACGGAAAAAAGUUGUAACCUCUGGAAGAUUUCCCAAACUCAAAGAUCUUAAUUGAGCCAACUCUAUCUUCUCAGCAGCAUUAUUGUUGUCAACAUCAGCAUCUCCCCCAGUAGCAAAAAUCUCUUUCAUCUUGCUGCAAUUAAUAACUGCAAUUCUCUCAAGUCUUGGAAGGCAUUUUGCAGUGGAGAGCCAGAAGAUAUUACUCAACUCAUUACAAUUUUCUACUUUUAUUGUUUUGAGUUUAUUGAAAGACUCUACUUUGAGUCGAUCAAUGCAUAUCCUCUCCAUGUUGAUCAAAUUGUGAAGAGUCAGUGACUCCAAAAGAGGAAAGGCAUCACAAGCGACCAUCUCCAUUGAGUCGACAAUACAAAAGAAGUCAGGAUUAUUUUGAACCCAGAGAAGCUUCAAUUGUGGAAAGCCCUUUGUGUCCAAAUCGAAAAGAACAUUUUUGACACCUUGUAGCUUGUCCAACCAUACGUAUUCAACGUUAUUGAUGGCCUGCAAUUUCAUGGAGCAAAUGUCCGUAAAAUCAGGCUUGAGCUUCAAUUCUCUUAAACGCUCAUGAUUAUGGUUGAUCAAAAAGUGCGACCGACUGCGAAACCAAUCUUUUGUAACAGGCAAGGAAGCCAUGAAUGACUCAUUUCCAAUAGAUAUUUUGAACCUUUCGAGCUUUCUGGCCAAAAAGCCUUCCUGUAAAAUACUGUCAUUUUUAACAUCAAUUUCUAGAGUGGUUAGCCAAGGUAAAAGCAUCAAUUCAUCAAGGCUUGCAUUACUUCUUUCAGUGUUGGCUCUUUCAACCUCCCAUUCAACGGAGCAAUUACCCAUACACAAUUCUUCUAAUCGGAUUAAGCUCGAUAUGACAUUUGGGGCAAUAACUUUUAGAUGGAAACAGUCUCUUAAAUCUAACAGCCUUAGCUUAGUCACUUGCCCUAGUGCUUUUGGUAACUCUACAAUAUCAGACCACACAAAGCUAAGGAUUUCUAGAUUUUCCAACUUUCCAAUAAUGGCUAUGUCCAUGUCUCCCAAAAUGCUUUGAUCAAGACAAAGCGUCGGAAGAUUUACUAGAAGAUCAAUUGAAGAUGGCAAUGACAAUAACCGCAUUCUAGUCAAAUCCAAAACCCGAAGCUUUUUUGUCCUUUCGAAGAAGUUCUCAGGAACAUUAGGCGCAACAAAAGAGUUCUUGGGAGACAUGAAUAAAAAUUCCAAGUUGUGGAGAUUCCAACACUUCGGGAAUGUCAUUAAUAAUACUAUCUUUAAAAAAAUUGCAGGAUAUUUUUUUAAUGCAUCUGCAUCUGGCCAUUUCCACACAUCCUCAUUUCUCACCGCAAAUGCAAUUUUGUCACGACGUGCAAUUGAAAUGGCAACAUCGCGAACAACAUCAUGCAUGGAAAAGAAUUUACUGCCACCAUCCUCAAGCAACAAACAAGAGUCUCUUAGUUGAUGGACCCAUGCAUGUAAUUUGUUAUGUGCAUCUUCUAGCUUAUAGACACUUUCAAAUGCACCCAAGCCCACGCUAUAUUUGAACAAGUCCAUAAUUGAAGUUGGUGUAAUUAGACUACACAGUAAAAAAGUUUUCUUGAGUUGCUCACCUCUUAAAUACUUGUAACUUAGCUCAAUUGUUGAGUAUGCCUCUACUGGUACUCCUUCAUCGAAGCUUGCCUCUGAAGGCGUUUGGAGUUCUUGUAAGACGUUCUUCCACACAGGCAGCUCUUUGUUUCUCAGUGCCUUUGCUACUGUGGUUAGGGCAAUAGGCAAACCUCCACAUGCCUUGGCUACAUUUGUUGCUGUAGAUUUUAACUCACGAUUUUCAACAUAAUUACCAGCCAUUAUCUUGAACAACCUCCAAGCUUCUUGCUCAUUUAGAAUGCCAAUCAAGAAGUUUUUUUCAGAUCCCAUACUUAACAAAACAUUACGAUCCCUUGAUGUUAAUAAUAACUUGCAUCCUCUAUGAUCAACGCCAAAAGGAAUUCCGACUGUCUCUAAAUCAAGAUAUUUCCAGAUGUUAUCCAGAAUCACAAGGAUCAUCUUCUCUUUCUUCAAUCGUUCAUAAAGUCUACUAGCUCUUCUAGAUUCAGCCUCCUCGGACAACUCCAGACCUAGUUUCUCUGCAAUUUCCCCUUGAAUCUUUUUUAUGUCUGGAGUUUGGGAAACCUCUGAAAAAACCACCUGAUCAAAGAGUUUCUCUUCACUGGCUUGCCUUGCAAACUCCUUCACCAGUGUUGUCUUUCCAAUGCCGCCCUUUCCGUAUACCCCAACGAUGCUGACAUUGACAUCAGUCAAUGCAUCUUGUAUAGACUUCAGAGUAGAAAGUCUUAAUUUAAAGGCCUCGUAACCUUUGUUAGACUUUAGCCAUACCUCCUCCGCAAUGGUACGGUAGAAAAUUCUAUCAUCAAAUCUCCUAGCUUCUUCUUUGAGUUCAACAAGGGCCUUCACCUCUGUUUCUGCUUUCUUGCUAAGCUGAUAGCGGGUCUUCAAAUUAGGACACAAGCCCUUGAAACAUCGCUUACUUGUUGUCUCCCCAUCUUCAAUGAAUUUGGCUGCCUGCUCAAUGGUGUUGUUCGCACUAACCAGCCAGUUCUCAACCUUCUCUUCAAUCUUUUCUCCUUUUCUUUCAGCCUCAGAAACUCUGUGCUGAAUGCUCUUACUUUCAUCCUUGAGCUUGUCUAUUUCUGCCUUGAGAUUCUCAAAGUUGGCUUUAUAGUUUCGCAAAUAACCAAGUUGGCGUUCUGUUGGAGGAGCGAAGCAUUUCACAACUUCUAACAGAACAGUAACAAUGCUUUCCACCAUCUUCGAUCCUCUUUUUUUCAAAGUUCCGAAAUGAAAAUAAACGACGAGCGAAAAACAGAGAGAAAGAGAGGCAAAAAAAAAAAAAAAAAAAGAAAAAGAAAAAAAAGAAAAUGAAACAACAAAGAUGACAAGUGUAUCUGUUUGUGGAAGCGGAGAAAUCAAAGAAAGCUUAAAAACUGUUGUGAAUCUGGUGAGAAGAUGGAAACAAGGAAAAGGUUUCUAGUUCAAAACUGAUUGAAUUGAUAUAAGGAAUGAUUUAGAUAAUAGAGGAAAAUUGAAUCAGUCAAAAUAACUUAAGUAUUGACCAGAAGAAAGAUGCAAACAAUAUUAGAGACAACAACCGCGCUAUUGACUGGUAAUAGAGAUGGAGAAAAAGAAAAUAUCUUCACACGGUGGAAGUACAAAGGGUAGAUAUGGAACCAAACAGAGACAACAACAGGCCACAACUAGAUUGGGAAUGGAGAGAAACAAAUUAACAAAGACUGGAGAUUACAACAGAACAGAUGCCAAGAGAAAAGGGUUUCUUCAUCCAGUGAAAUUCAAGAGAGUUGACAGCAAAAGGGAGCACAUGUGUUUCUUGAUUGAGAACGAGUGCAAAGGAUGACUUUUUAAUGAGGUUCUGAAGCUGACGAAUAACGAUUUGCUAAAAUUUUGAGAAAGUUAUAUAUUCCGUAACUUCAACAAGUGAAGAAUAAAAGAAUAAUAGUUCGUCAUCUUCACAAUGAAGAUCAUGGACGAGAUUAAAAGCUAAAACUAGUCCAUUUGAAAAGCCAAAGUUCAAGUUCCUUGGCUAAGUUCAGAAGUGAAGCAAAGAAUAAAUAAAUAAAGAUCAAGGGAUGGGAAUAAAGUCACCCCCAGACAGUUGCAGAAAGAUUAUUAUUUGGUAAGCGUAGUUGAUUAUUAGUACAAAACAGAGUAGGUGAAACACAUCCUUUCUAUUUAGACUGAUCAGCAUCUAAAAUUUUAUGAAUUAUGAGUUGCAUUUUAUUUUGUACAUUCUGUUAACACAUUUUAAUUUAGCCAAUUUUGCAAUAAAUGUUAUUGAUGUAUUAAAUUGCAACAACAAAACACAAUUAUUGGUAUUAAAGAAUGAAAAAAAAUAAAAAUAGAAAAUGAAUUGAAUUCCACUCAUCGUCAUCUUGGGAAAUCAAGUCAAAAAAUAAAAAUCCAUAUGCUUUUGUUAAAGUUAAAAGCUACAUAAAUAAUAUCACAGAAGCUUCUGCUAAGGUUCAUGUGAAGUCACAGCUUUGAUACUUGUACUACAAGGAGCACGGAGAAACCAUAAACUUCAGUUUAGGUAUGUACAUUGCUUGUCUUUCAAACUUGAAUUGAUAAGGGGGAAAAAAAUAAUACUAAAGCAAACAGAAGGAUCAUUUAGUUGACAAAAUUAUUAUUAUUUUGAAAUUCGGGUCAUUCAGUUACUUUCAUUUCAGUUUCACUUCUGAUUCAAUUUAACCAGUUAACGUUGACAAAAAUAAAAUGCAAAUAUAAGGCUAAGGCUGCUAAUUUGAUGAACUAAUUAUCUCAGGAACCAAAGCAUCUAUAAGCAUGCAUGGGUGGCAACACCAUAAUUACUCAAGACUGGAGGAGUAAAAAGAUUGAAGAUGAUAAACAUUAAAUUUUAGGAAAAUCAUUCACAAAUAUGCUUUUAUAAAAGUAUUGUUGGUAAAGUUCGAGAAAUGCAUACAUGUCAAAUUUCCAUUUCUUGUGAGCAUUUCACCAAAUAGCUGAUAUGCAUUAAUAACUCCUAUCCUAUACUAUUGGCCAGUAGGUUGUUGCUGCUUCCCCAUUUUUAAUGAUGCGAACGUCUCAUACUUAGAAAUAAGGGCGGAGCCUGGAGAUUGAUGUAUAAGAUAAUCUUUUGAAUAAAAAUAAAAACAAUUACAGAUUUCAAAUGUGAGAAAAAUAAAAUUGCGUUAUAAAAUUAAUCCCACUAAGAAAGUCGUCUACGAAAUUGCCACAUUAAAAGAAAUUUUUUCCAUAAAUUAAAAUAAAAUUAAAUGAAAACUAUUUUUCAGUAAAGUCAAUUGCCCACGCUAGGCUAAGGCGUUUGUUUAUUUGUUUGUUUGUUUUUAUAAUCUGAAUAGGUAUAAAUUUUUCGUAAGCAUGAAUGAGCUGAGUACAAAUAUAUGAAUGAUAUAUUUAUUUUUCUUUUUCUUAAUACCCAAAUAUAAGUGACAUCUUAUUUAUCUUAAAUAUGGUUAUUUGAUAUUUAUAUUUUUACAAAUAAAAAUAAAAAAAGUAGUUAGAUUUUAUAGUUUAAGAAAUAAAUAUAUUUUAUAAAAAUAUUUUUAGAAUAUAUAUUUAAUUCUUAUUUAGACUUUUUUCUAUUCAAUAAAAGUCACAAAAGGUACUUUUUCUAUUCAAAUGUAAAUGCUUAAAAAUCAGAUAUAAGUUACAAAAAAAAUAAAUUUUAGAAAAAGUCAUAAAUUAAUAAAAUUUCAUAUAUUUAACUCCCAAUGCAGAUCCACCCCUAUCAGUGUGAGGAAAUUGACUGGUGAAGUAGGUUCACAGCUAAAAUGAAAUUGGAAGAAAAUGAAGAACAAGCACAUAGAGGACACCAAAAAUUACAUGGUUCGACUUUUAGCCUACGUCUACGGGUAAAGACAAAAGGAUAAAACUUUACUGGUGAAAUGAGGAUUACUAGUAUUAUAAUAUUUUGUUUCACUUCCCAGAACCCCAAUCCACUCAAUCUCUUAAAAUACUAAUCACUCAAGAGCAUUAAAACUCUUAGUCUCUCACUCUAGAAUUGAAGAAGAAAAGAAUGAAAUGCGGGGGUGAACCCCUCAUUUAUAGUUAAAAAUUUGGGCACUAUUUAUAUUUUUAUAUAUUUUUUUAAAUUAAAAGUUUGAACUUGACAUUCAAACUUUGAAUAUCAAAAGGUAUUGGUCACUCUUCUAGAAAAGUGACAUUGACUUUGACAUUCUCCCACUUAGAAAUUUGAUUGAGAAUCAAUCAAUCUCCACACCAUCCUUUCUGCUUCGCCGCUAUCAUGUUGCUUAUGUCUCUACUAGGCCAUAAAAUGAUCUACUCCAAACAAAUUUAUCAGCAUUGAUAGGCUUGGGCAAAACAUUUGUUAAGUUCUCCUUGGUAUCCACUCUUGUAUCUUUCACUACUUCACGAAGAAGUGAUAUUGUACUCCUAUAUUCUUUGUCCUAAAAUAAAAGGUUGGAUUCCUUGCAUUCUAACUAUCACAAACCAUAAAAAUUUUAUGCCCAAGCUCCUUCAGUAACCUUUGUAUCCAAAUAGCCCUUCCAAGCUUGUGUAGCUGCUAUGUAAUCUGCUUCUAUUGUUGAUAAAGCCACAAUGGUCUGCAAUUUUGAAAUCCAACUAACAAUUUCGCCUUCUGGUGUAAAUACUUAGCCAGUAGUGGGUUUCCUUUUAUUAAGAUUUUCUGCAAAAUCUGAAUGCACAAAGCCCUUGACAGUAAAUUCUAAUCCUUCGUAGCAUAAUGCAACAUCUGAUGUUCCUCUGAUAUUUCUCAGAAUCCUCUUAAUAGUCUUCCAAUGUUCUUUGCAAGGAUUCGCUAUGUAUCGACUAACUGCUCCCACUACUUGUACAAAUCAUAGCGAACCUUAAAUUUUCCACUGCUGAUGCAUACAGUUCUCAAGACAUCUCUUCUUCUCUACUUCAUUACUAUAUGAAUACUUAAGAAUAACUUGAAAUUAAUAGGAGGCGGGGUAGAAAGCCAAAUCUUCUUGCUAUUACUAUCUCGGUGAAUUUGCAUCCCUAAAAUCUUGUUUGUUGGUUCUAAGUCUUUUAUUUCAAACUCCCUAGUUAACUGUGCCUUCAGUUCUUGGACUCGAUCUUUGUUGGGGCUUGCUACCAAUAUGUCAUCCACAUACCACAGUAGAAUGAUGAAAUCAUUAUUAUCAAACUUGUUGUAAUAUGUACAAUAGUCUGAACUGAUUCUAUUGUAUCCAAGGUUUAUGAUGAAGGGAUCAAUUCUCUUAUAUCAACAUCUCGGUGCAUGUUUGAGAUCGUAUAGAGAUUUGUUCAACUUGCAAACCAAGUGUCCCUUUUUAGUAAAACCUUCUAGUUAGAGCAUAUAAAUCUUUCCUUCAAGUUCUCCAUGAAGAAAUGAAAAUUUCACAUCUAACUGCUCCAAAUAUAGGUCAAAUGUAGCACACAUCGACAAGAACACUCUAACUGUCCUGGGUCAAAUCACUGGAGAAAAUAUCUCAUUGAAGUUAAUACAUUCUUUCACCACCAAUCUUUCACGAUACCGCUCCACUAGGUUAUUACCAUCAUGUUUGAUCUUGUGAACCCAUUUGCAACCAAUGGUUUUUUUUUUAUAUGGUAGUAGUACGAGUUCCUAUGUCAUAAUCUUGUGUAGAGCCUUAAUUUCUUCCUGCACUGCUAUCAUUUACAAAGUAACAUCUAAGCUGUUUAAAAUUUCAUAGAAAGUUGAUGGCUUUCCAUUCUCUAUUAAAAGACAGUAUGCAAAAUUGAUAUCUGUGACAUAAUCCAAAUGCCACACAUACAGUUAUCUAUCACGAGUUGACCAACAAACUUUUAGGGCCUCAGACUCGAUUGGUUCUUGUUCUCAUACUUUAGUGCUGCUUCAAAAAAAUCUGAAUCUUCAUUUUCCAGAUUAUUUUCAAACAUAUAUUAGCACAAUCUCUAAAUUUUAAUAGUGCUAUCAUCCAUAUCUCUCUUUUGCAUUUGAUCUUCUACAAAGAUAAUAUCUCUGCUAAUAACGAUUUUGUGGGCAUUGAGGUCCCACAGAUAAUACCCUUUCACUCCAUCAAUAUAUCCUAAGAAGAUACAUCUCUUGGAUUUUGGAUCCAUCUUUAAUCUCACUUGGGUAUCGUAUAUCACGUAAAAGGACAUCAAAAUGCCUGAGAUGAGAGUAAUCAGUUGGCUUUCCUGUCCAUUUUUCCAUUGGAAUCUUCAACCCGAUUGCCUUGAAUGAUGACCCACUUACCACAUAAUAAGUAGUUUUUGCUACUUCCGCCUAGAAUGAGUUGGUAGACCAGCAGUUCUCAACAUAAUUCUUAUUUUUUCUAUAAGAGUCAUGUUCUUUCACUCCACUACUCUAUUUUAUUGAGGAGUGUAUGCCACUGUGAACUAUCUCUAGAUACUUUCUUACUUACAUAUGCAAGAAACAUGCUAUAUGUAUACUCUCCACCAUUGUCUGUCCUCAGGCACUUGAUCCCUUGCCCUGAUUUAAGUUCAAUCUAUGCUUUGAAUUCUUUGAACAAUGGAAAUACAUUUGACCUUUUCUUGAUUAGAUACACUAAAUAUCUCCUAGAAUAAUCAUCAAUAAAAGUCACCAAAUACUUUGCACCUCUCAUAGAUAUAUCAAUUGAUUCCCAAACAUUAGAAUGAAUCAAGUCUAAAAUACAUUUACUUUUGAAAGUGGAUCUGCUAAACUUUCAUCUAUGUUGCUUCAUUGUUUCGACAUGUGGCUAAGCUUAAGAUGCCACAUCAUCGCUGAAUUUUCUCUAUUUGAUGUGACACACACAAAAGCUUUCUGUAGUGUUUCCAUUUAAUUAUGAAUAGAUUAGCACCGAUCUUUUCCACCUUCAUUAAUGCAAGUGUGCCUUUGACUAUCUUUAUGAUCCCAUUUUCUACAUGAGUUUUGUGCACAAGGCUAUCUAUUUGUCCUAAAGACAAGAGAUAUUUUUCAAGUUUUUGACAUGUCUUACCUUCUCAAUUGUGCGAACCGUACCAUUAAACAUAUUUAUUUUGACAGUACCAAUAUCAAUGAUCUCAAAGGCAUGAUUAUCGCCUAUGUAUACAGAUUCUCUUGAAAUAGGUUCAUAUUUGUGAAAUCAUUCUCUUGGAGAGAUCAUGUGCCAGGCAACUAUUAAGUCUAUAAGCCAGACGUCAUAUAGUGGUUUUCUGCCUUCUGAAGCAGUUGUUGCCUUACUGUAGAGAAUUUUGCCAUCAUACGAGGUACUUACUACAUACCCUUGAGCAUUUGAUGACUCAGGAUCUUUACCCUCUCUUCUCUUCUAGUUGUUCCAAUACUCUUCCUUGACAUACUCUUUCUUGCCACAGUUGUUGCAUUCAACAUUCUUAUUACUUCUUGAUUUCGAUCUACUGUGAUUGUGGCUCUCACUAGGGCCACGUUCCAUGGAUCUUCCUUUCAUCAUCAAUAGUGUUUCUACUUGCUGCGAACUUGUCUGUCUAUCUUUUUUAUUUUUUGCUACUCUCCUCAUUUAAUACGGAGGCUGCCAUAUUGUCAAAGACUAACUUGUCUGCUCGAUUGUUAUUAGUUAGAUUAAUGACGAAUUGAUCAUACGAAUCUGGUAAACCUUGAAGUAAAAGCUCUACAUGAUCAUUUUCCUCUAUUUUAUGACCCAAUGUUGUAAGUUAUGAAAAUAAAGUCUUUAAAGUGUUGAUAUGGUCGAUCACUGAUGUAGAUUCCGUCAUUCGAAGAGUAUAAAGCCUCCUCUUUAAAAAGAUUUUAUUUUGUAGUGAUUUGACCUCGUAUAGUCUUGUGAGAGUAAACCAUAUUUCCUUUGCUCUCUUUUACUCUACUACAUUGAAUAAUACCUUAUUUGAAAGUGGUAUGUGUAGAUUUGCAAUGGCAUUAUUGUCUAUCUCAUUCCACUUGUCAUCAUCAGUUAUCUUUGUGAGCCUCUCUUCAAUUGCUGCCAAGCAAUUACUCUUCCUCAAUACAACCUUCAUCUUCAUUUUUCAUGACGAAAAAUUAUUUUUGUUGAACUUCUAAAUUUUGUAUUUUUCUGCCAUCACUGUUCACCACGAGCUACCUUUGCUAAGAUUGAUUCCUACCAUUUCACAUGAGCAGUAACUGUAUAUAUGAAUAAAGUGUUGUAUACAGAAACAAUAUCAUAGACAUGAACAGUACAAUAUAUGUAAACAGUAUCUCGACCCCAAAAAAUACAACCCGACUCUAAUACCACUAUUAGAAAAUUAAUUGGUGAAGUAGGGCCGCGACUAAAAUAAAAUUGGAAGAAAAUGAAGAACAAGCACACUGAGGACACCAUAAAUUAUUUGGUUCGACUUUUAACUUAUGCCCAUAGGUAAGGACAAAAGGAUAAAACUUUACUAGUGAAAUGAAGAUUAUAAGUAUUUUAGUAUUUUGUUUCACUUCUCAAAACCUUAAUACACCCAAUCUCUCCAAACACUAGUCACUCAAGAGUAUAAAACUCUUAAUCUCUCAUUAUAGAACUAAAGAAGAAAAUAAUAGAAUGAAUGAAAUGAGGGGGUGAACCCCUCUAUUUAUAGCUAAAAAUUUGGGCACUUUUUAUAUUUAUUAUUAUUUCAAAAUUUAAAGUUUGAACUUGAUAUUCAAACUUUGAAUAUCAAAAGAUACGGGUUGUUCUUCUAGAAGAACCGCACCAACAUUGACUCUUAGGCAGACCUUUAGAGCUUUAAAUAAAGAAAAAGCUUUUAAAAAUGCCAUGUGUACUUGAUUAUACAAUAAUCUCCACCACAUAGAAUGAUUUGAUAAAAGAAAUUUUUAAUUUUUAAUUUUACUUUUAUCAGGCACGGUGUAUUUCCCCUUGGGCUCAUAUGUAAGGAUGUCAAUAAGAUGGGAAGGAGAGGGGAUUGAUUUCCCCAUACUCAUCUUUAAUACUCUGUGUAUCUCUUUGUACUCUAGACAGUUCCUUCAAAAUUACUUGAAACGAGGGGAUGGAUGUUUCUAAAUAAUACAAAGGGAUCUCUUAUGGCAUCCGAUCUCUGAUUAUUUAAUUUCUUUUUUUUUUCUUAAUUUAAUCAUCUUAAAGUAAAAAUAUAAAAUCAUAUUAACACAAAAAAUAUCAAAUUAACUAAAGUGAUUAAAAUCAUUUCCAUCAAAUUAAGUCAAUGUCAUCAAAUUAGAAGAUAAUCUUUGAACUAAUUAAGCAAAAGUAAAUCUUCAAAGUUGAACUCAUCCAUAAAUGUCAUAUAGUAUAAACCAUCAAUUAAAUUAUCUUUGUCAAUUUUAAAGUGUUUAUAUUUACUUUAUAUUGGCUGUUAUUUAUAUUAUUUUUAUAAAUGUAUUAUGAUAUUUUUUAUUUACAUCACACUAUUACAAUUGAAAUUUUAAAUGUAUUUACUAUAAAUUUGAAAAAAAUGAAUUAAAAAUAGAAACUAAAGAUAGAAAUAAAAAAAUGUGGAGCCAAAUAAAAUAUUAGGGCAAACACUAAGUUAUAAUUCAAGUAACUUACACCCACACAUAUUAAUUUAUCACAGCCUUGUCUCCACAUAGAAAAAUUAGAUCUAAAAUUAUCAAACUCCCGAAUGAGGAAGAUCCCUCGGGGCCAUCGUCCCUGUGGAAAUUUCUGCAUCCCUGCAGUCUACAACGCCUAAUAAUGAAUUGAACGGUUGAAAUCCCUCUAAAUUUUUUAUAAUUUCUAAUCGCCCCUCCAUAUUUGAUUGAACAUCAAAACUAUGGAGUCCAAAUUUAUAACUUUGAUUUAUCUUCCAUUCCAUAGUUUUCAAGUUCUCUCUCUCUCUCUCUCUCUCUCUCUCUUUUAACCCUUUUUACUGCAACCACCAUCAAAGCCUAGUAGUUAAUAUGUAUGCUGCUUUGCUUUCAAAAUCGGACACUACUGGUAUUUAUGGUUUUUAUUCUUUAUUUGACACAAAAUUUGGCGAUAUCUCCGAGGAAAAACACUACUGGUGUAUUCAAUUUUAUCCGGUAAUGAUUAAAUUGAUUAUUACAUGAACCGUAACUUCGCCGAGCCCAAAAUACAUAUUAAGUUAUAAAGCGUUCGCACUCAUUAUUUUUCGCAAAAAGUUUCGCCCAAAAUACAUAUAUUUUUUUAAUUUUUUCUGUGAAAAAAACUACUGUUAUAUUCAAUUUUAUCAUUAAAGUUGUUAGUUACAUGAACCUUAAAUUAACACAAACCGUAACUUAGCCAAGCCCAUAAUACAUAUUUCAUAUUUGUAUGAAAUUUAAAGUUUUUCCACUUAUUAUUUUUCGCUAAAAGUUUCUAAAUUGUAUUGUAGUUUGAACUUGCCCAUCAUUCAAUUUUUUAACUCCACAAUUAUUUGACCUUACCAAGCUUGAAAAUAUCCUUCCAUACAUAUUUAAUUUUCUCCAAGUAUGAUGAAGAUUUAAUCAAGAGCCUCCGGGAUCUUAAAGUGCAAGAAAGGUCCGGAAAAUUUUUAAAACCCCACUGUUUAAAGUUUUUUUGGACUUUCUUGCACUUUAAAAUCUUGGAUUGAUAUAUAUAUAUAUAAUCAUUAUUAGGUGCUAGUGUUCUCAUUUUUUUUUUUAAUGCAAACACCCUUUUAAGCCGUAGGGUUUAAUAACAUUAAAAACUAACUUUCAACUAGCUCUCUUAAAUUGUACGGCUUAAAAGCAUGUUAGCAUGAAAAAAUGAACGUGUCUGUACCAAAAAAGGACUAUAUAUAUUAUUUACUUUAUAUAGACAUACGUGCGCGCGCUCGCAUAUAUAUAUAUAUAUCAUUUUAAUAUAUUCCAUUACUUUAAUAAUCAAUUUAAAAUAGUUUGUGAUAUUUCCAGCUAUUUAUUUAUCUACUUUUAGUUAGUUAUUUACACCGAAUGAAGUGAUAGGGUCCAACUUUUAGUAUCCUUCUCAGCUGUUUGGGGUUAGUAAAUACUAAUUAGCUUAUUCGUCCCGAACAGCCGCGUAAAUGCUGUUAGAUUUCGGAGAGAUGCUGAGGAUGGUACAAGAUUUAUCAAAUUGUGGCGACAUUUUUAUACCUUUAGAAUUUCAAGAUUUUGAAGAAAUAAAUGGAAUCUGUUUUCCAUAAGUGAUCCACUAUCUAUCAGGAGGAAUUCUAAAAUACAUUACAGAUUAAUGAUUUUUCAUAAUAAAUAAACAUAUGUUAUAAUAUUAUUUAUUUAUCAUAUGACUGAUAUAAUACUUCUGAUAUAUUUUGAAAUUUUUAAUUCACCAAAGUUCAUUUUUAGCUUUUAAGGUUUUUAUGUGUGAGCCUCUCAGCAUGUUCCCCAACCUCCUCACGUGAAAAUAUUUCUAUGUACGGUUACAAGCUUUUCCAGAUUGUGAGUAUUCCGAAGCAAUCCAACUUGAAAAACAGCUGGUUCGUAGAAAACGACAGUUUACGAAGCUGGCCCUGCUGCCAUACAUAUGAUGAUGAAGACCAUUUUGCUUUAUGUCAAUUCCUCCAAGUUGAAAUCUUUCUCGGUCUGGGACACUUCCAACACAUAAAGUACUACUAGGCUAGAUGAUUUUAAAAAAUGUCAAGGUCCUUUAUCAAAUUUCAUUUGCAUUCAAGACCAACCCCCUUUGAUGAAAAUCAAUAAUUAAAGACUUUCCAAUGAGAAAUUAUUACGUCUUCAAAUCUCAAAAAACGCCAGAAUAUUAAUUCGCUACAUAUAAUCAAGAUAUCUCAUUGAGACGCAUUAAUAAAAAAUGUCAAAAUGCAUAGAAAGAGCAGACACACGGAUGAUGAAUUUACUCAUCUUUAUUAGUAUUUGAAUUUGAGAGACAGAAUGAAGUACAUGUCAAGAAUAUCAUAAAGAUGGAAACCGGAAGUCCUCCGCACAUAAACUUUGAAGAAACUGGAAAACGACUUUAUUCCAGAUAAUGCACACCAGAGUGACCAAAAUUCUCUUCAGUAACUAUGGAGAAAAUAUUAUUUUGCAUGCAUUUCACGUAACUGGAUCAAACUACUCCCCUGUUGGUUUGUCAGACCACAUUUUUAUGGUGCAAUAUAAACCAUCUUUUCAAAACACUUCGACAAUGUGAGAAACAAAUGAUUUUUAUAUAGUUGUUCAUAGCUAACUUUUGAUGGUUUAAUGAUCUGUAGAUUUUGUUUUAUGCUGUUCAAGGAAUGAUAUCCAAUUGUUCCUAAGAGUUCAUAGGCAGGGGCAUAUAUGCAUGAUUUGAUAUAAUUCUUGCAAUUUCUAAGUACUUGCUCUUUUCAUCCCUUCUAAGUUUUGAAAGAAAGGUCGAAAUAAACAGAGAAACAGGACAAACAGAAGAAGACUGAAUUAACAGAUCAACAAAGAUGGCAACUAACAAAUGGAAAAGUUCUCUUGUAAUCAAACUAUAGCAAACAGACAAUACCAUUGCCAUAUAUCUUAAUCAGUAGAUUGAUUCUCAACAUAUAUGUUAGGAUACAUUUGGUUGUUUAAUAGUUCGAAAUAAAGAGGAUGAGAUGGUUUCCACAUAAAAGUGCUGGGCCUUUCAAUGACAUUUUCAAGGAAUUAUAAAAUUCAAAAUAAAAAAAAAAAUAGCACAUUAUAAAGCCACACCGUCAAAAAAAUAAAUAAAUAAAUAAGUGAAGACCUUUAAUGAUAUAAAAAUAAAUAAAUAGAUAAGUCACUAAGACCUUUAAUGAUAUAAAAUAAGCAUAUAAAUCUCAUAACAAAACAUUAAAACUCAUUCUAAAAGUAAAAAUAAACUAGUGGUGUAUUCCAAACAAUUUAGAUGAAGCAAUAAAACAAGCCAAGAAAUCAAAUAAAAUGAAAUGAAAUUGAAUUAACCGGGACUUUGUUUUUCAAAUUCACAACUCGCUUGUAAUUAAAGUAAAAUGCCAAUGCCAUUAGGACACAUACAUCGUUGAAUAAGAUGAGGACCCCUCCAACAGCUGAAAGUAAAAUUUUCAUUCAUUAGUUUCAAUUAAAAUUAAAGCACACAGAGAUUUGCAGGGAAGCAAGAGAUUUAAUAAAUUUAACAGCAGCAAUUUAAUUUGACAGGACUUCCAUACAGUAAUGAAGUUAAAAACUAAUGAUUAACGAAUUUAGUUUGGUCCCAAAGCUGUUGAUCAUCUCUCUCUCCAUAGUAGAAGUUUACUCUCAGAGGCGCGUUUAAUUCUCCUUUAGUGAAAAUCUUCAUCUUGGGACAACCAAUUAUAGAUUCCUUGAAGGUGUAAUUGGCAGAGCAGAAACUUCUGAGACUGUCAGCAGAAACUUGUGAGACUACCCAAAUCAUACAGAUACAAAAUCUUCAAUUUGGUGAAAACAAUCUCUUCUUCAAAAUUUGCUGCUCCAUCUUCGUCAUUUAUCACCACCUCUCUCAUUGCUCUGCAUCCAUACACCAACAUUGAUAAGAGUCGCUGUAGAGUUUGGAGUGACAGAUUCGAUAAUGAUCAACUCCAAAUACUCGCCAAGAUCGCAAAUCAAACAACCAAGAUGCAAAAAGAAUCAAUCCAGAACAAAUCACAGAGAAACUUAAGAACCGAAAAGAAUUAAAGAAUUAGCAGCAAAGACAAAAGAUAUAACAGAUUUUGACAAUAAUGUACAUUUAGAAUUUCAAGGCAUUGAAUAAAGGAGUCCAAUUUGGAGUCUUGUUUCCACAAUUGCUUCAGAUGAUUAAAUUUGUGCAGAUCUAAAUGUUUUAUCAUUGUAAACUUCCUCACAUGUUUCUUCAAGUAUCCUCCAUUCGAAAAUACCUCUUCGCAUGAACAACGACGCCGUAUGAGAGUUUCCAGAUUAUGAAAUCUCUCAAGUAAAUCAAGUGGAAAACAAGUUGAGUCAUCAUCCACUGUUUGUAGUAGUUUAAGACUGCCAAAAAGGUGUCGUGGGAAAUCGCUCUGCAAAGUCAUCCUCGAGUCUUUUCCACUUAAUGCCAGUUGGGUAAGCUCUGAUCAUCAUCAAUCACGUAAUAACUUAUUAAGUCAAUUCAUAUUCUCUCAAAUAACUUUUAAUAAUCCAAUCAUACACAGUGACUUUAAUAUAAAUGCAUAAUAUUUUACAAAAAAGAAGAAAAAAUCGAAUUAGAGGUAAAAGUUAUUCUACGAUUUUAUUUUUUAUAUAUAUCUUGCAUGCUAUUCCCAAAAGCAAUCCCAAACGACCCUUAAAGCAAUUUUACAAAAGCGGCCCGUACAUGUAUUGCCAACUUUGUUAGGAAUGGCAAUGGAAAGGGGAGGGGAAGAGACUGAUCUCCCCGUACCCAUUCCCGAUAUUCUGCAUAUAUCCAUGUCCUCUUCCCAUUCCCGACAAAAUUACUUUAGGGAAUCCCCCUCCCCUCCCCAAAUAAUAAUAGGGGAUCCUUAAAGGUCCUCGAUUGUCGAAUAACUGAUACGUUUUUAGUUUUAAAUUUUAAUUUAAUCAUAUUAAAAUAAAAAAUAAAAAUAAAGUUUGACGAUAUAUCUUACAUUAACAUUAAUCUAUUACAAAAGUCACAUUACAAAGUAUAAAUCACCAUAAUAAUUAUCUUCGGCAAUCUUCAAAAUCAUAUAAUAAAAAAAAAAGAAAUUACUUUUAUAUCAACAAUGAGAUAAAUGAAAUGAAUAUAGAUACUUAAUCAAUAUUUCUAAUAAAAGUAUUUACCUCUUGUGUCUCCUACUCUUCUUGUUCUUCCUCGAGGAAUGUGACAAAUUGAGAGAUAGCCUCAGAUUUCAAAUUUAAAACAACAAAAAUAAUAUAAGUAAUGUAAAUUCUAAGUGAAAAUAUUAAUAAUUAUAUAAUAUAAUUACAAUGUAAAAUAAACUCAUACUGCCAUUGUAAGCUUGUAGUCAACUUUGACAACAUAUUAAAGCCUCCAAUGUGCUUGAAUAAAGCGUGUUACAGUACUCUAACACUGGUGCUAAAAGCUAAUUCAAAAGCAACAUUUGUAAUUAGAAUUGCCAAAAUAUCUCUAGCAAUUCAUAUACCCUCCUUAUGUUACUAACCACGUGACGGUAGAGAGCCAAUUGGCAUACUAUUAUUUUGACGGUAGAGUUAUAAAUUUGUUUCUAAAUAGAAAACUAUUUGCUGAAGUCAAUAUUUUCAAAACCAAAGUCCCAAAUUCUCUCUCGUGCGUGCCUGGCCAUCCUAAACCUUACUGGUAGCCGGAGAAUGGCGUAAAACGGCGGCGAUCUUCUUCUUCAUCUUAUUAUCUCUCUCAUCGUUUCAGGUAAGCUUGUGAUUAUGAGUUUCUUCUCUUUCUUAGCUUGUAAUUAUAGGUUUUGAUUUCUUUAAUUCGUAUUGUAACCAUUAAUGUCAAUUUUUGUCCCGCCGGCAAUAUUUCUUGUUCCUAGAAGUUGAAGCCCUUCUGUUCUUGUUCCAUUGGUGACUUUGCUCACUCAAAUUAAUUUUGUUCUGCGGAAUUUACAAAGUUCAAAUGGAUUCAUUUGGAUUACUAUUGAAUUUAGCUUUCAUUUCAACAUUCAUUCUAAUGUUUUACAAUCAUGUAUUUAGAUUUACUUUAAUUUUAUGUUUAAAGCUUCUACAAUGAAUAGCGGAGCUUGGGUUUUAGUUUCAUUUUCUAAUUAACUUCUUUUAGUUUAUCUUAUAUGCUCGCCAAGUGCUUGUUAUAUUGUCUGAUAAGUUAUAUAACAUUGCUGAUUCUAUAUUAGUAAUGUCAUGUUCCAUUUACGGAAAUUAUAGCACAAAAGUUUUUACAAUGGCUUGCAUCUACAAACUGAAUUGACUUGUAGAGUAAGAGCUUGGAUUAGUGUUAUGUUCUUGAAUAAAUGAAAGUUCAUAUUGUGUAAGAGCAUGUAGAUGUAAAGCAUCACUACCAUUUCUACAAAAUGCUUUCAUUCUGUUCAGAUGCUCCUCUUGAACUUUGAAAGGUGCCUCAUUCAAGUCCUAGCUAUAACUAAUAGCUCUGAUUGCUUAAGUUCCUGUGCUAGCUGAAACAGAUUUAUUUAAUUAAUUAAUUGUGUAUGUACUAAUUAUAUUGAAAGUAUAUGAAGAAAUUGUUUAACAUGAAUGACUUCUAAAUGACUUAAAAGCCUAAAGGAUAUGUCAAAUAAUGCUCAUUUCACUUGAACGAGCCUAAUACUUUUAUGUCUAUGAUUGUCAAUCUUGCUUAAGUGUUUCAGUUAAGUGGUUUACCUAACAGGGGAAAAAAUUUAAUGGAAAACUUUAGAGUUCGAACAGAAAUAUAGUUGACUGCAGAUAUAGUUAUUUUACGGUACAUAAAUCAUAUUGUCCUAUACUCAAUGUCCUACGACCUAUUUUAUUUUAUAUGGUCAUUCAUUUUUGCGAUGGUUUUUUGUGCUUAUGAGUAUGGAAAUAGUGGGAUUUGGUGUGGCAAACAAAAAUAUACAUAUAAUCAAGUUUCUUAAUCAUGUAUAUUGGUUUUGGGUAUGAAUGUUUUCCUAUUCUAGUUCUAGACAAAGUUUCUUCAUUUUGGUCUUCAGAUUUCCAGUAGGUUAAGUUAAGCAACUAUCAUAACUAGCUAGCUAGUUAUUGCCUGCCUUGUCGCCAUUACCGACGCCAUUACAUUGCAUGGCAUAAGGAAUAGUAACUAGGUGAUUAUUGGUGAUUCCUUGAGUUUAUUAUUGGCCAAACAAACAUAUUCGCCUUUACCCACAACUUAGUUUGAUUAGUUAUUAGAUAAUAAAGAGCCUUAAUCUAUGCAUUGCUUUAUUAUUUUUAUUUGGUUUUUCUUUCAACAAUAUUGUUGAUUUCUUAUAAAAAAUAUUCAUUGGUUUUUAAACACCUAAUCAUUGGCUAUAAUGAAGCUAAUUAAAACGGAGGCUUUGGAUCAAUUUCUGUUAACAACAUACAAAUGAGCAUAACCACCCCCCCCCCCCCCCCCCCAACCACCACCAAAAAAAAAAAAAACCAAAUAGGAAGACUUUGCAAGAUUCACAACCAGGUUACAUUUAAUUUAUUAAUUGUGUGUACGUACUAGUUAUUUGUUGAUAGAAUAGGAAGAAGUAUUUUAAUAUGAAUGGCUUAAAACUUAUUGCUCAGUAAACAUAAUGUGCAUCAGUGCUAGAAAAUGUAUUUAUUGUUUGUAAUUUUUUAUGGUUUUGCUUAAGAAAUGAAAUGUGAAAAAAUGCUACAUUUUAUUAGGAAUAAAUUGAAGAGAUUUAUGAUUUUUAUGUGUUAUUCAAGUUUCAGAUUCAAUUUUAAACUUUUGAUACAUGCAUUGAAAGCUUAAACUCCUUUAAGAAAUUAUUAAUAGACACAUGUUUUAUUAGUGUCAUCUUUUGGAUGAUAGUGAGGAUCUUAUGUCUAUUAAUAAUUCUUGAAUUAUCUAGGCUUGGACAGUUUGGUAAUGCAUAGAUUUCUAUGGCAGCUAGUGCCUGAAAUUUUUUUCCCACGUAAAAAUGGGUUUUUCCGCAGCUGCUCCUCAUGUUCUCUGGGUGCAUACUAGACAAAUGGGUGUCAUGUGUUGUUUUGGCAUAACACAUAAACACUCAUAUAUCUAUGUCGUGUACUUGAAGAACUAUAGGGAGAUGCUUCCGAAGUUUCUAUAAACGUAGAGGAAAACUUUAGAUACUUAAGAUUGAAGAAACUUAUGCAUUCUUGAGUGGGAUAUAUAGGACCACUUACCUUUUGUAAAUAUGAAGGGAAUGUUGGAUAUAUUGAUGGGAGUGGAGGAGCUGAGUGGGAUGAAUGUAAUCGGUUAUGAUUUUGCUGAGUUGACUUGGUUUUGAGUCUUGUAAUUUUGUUUAUAAAUGGAGUACUAUCUCCAAUGUUGGUUUAUAAAUAUGUUUCAGCUGGCUGACCUAAUUUUUUGUUUCUAGGUAACAGGCUUUAUAUAUCUGUAAUUGAUAGCCAAGUGAAGUUCUCAGCAGUGGGUGAGGAUAUUUCUUUACAGAAGGUAUUGCAAACUGUUUUUUAGAUUAAUUAUUAUUGUAUAUAUACUUUAAUUUUCACAUCUUUUUCUCUGAUUCUUGUGGCUUUGCUUGCUUCCAUAUAUAUAAAACCAUAAAAUUGUAUAAUAAUUUUUUUAUUAUAUUGCGAAACUGCGCACACAUGAAAAUAUCUUGUUUAGUAGUAGAAAUGAAGAAUUAAAGUGAUUUAUUUAACUAAUUUUUCUAGUGCAUUAAAAGGAGAUAGUCAUGGACCAGAGUUGGGUUGGUUUGCCAAAUAGAUAUCCAAUUCAUAUACUGAUGGGGUCAAAAAAUUUAUAGAUUUUGCAUUUGAGAAUGUUGUUGGUGAUAAAAGAAUUUAUUGCCCUUUAGAAGUGUCGUAAUAUCGAUAUUUCAUUAUAAGGAAAGUAGCAAGAGACCAUAUCAUUAUAAAUGGCUAUUGGUUAAAGUAUUAAAACUGGAUAUUGGAGGGUGAGCCAUCUUCAUCUUUGAAAUCUAACUAAGAAACAGGUUAGUCAUGACUCGGGUAGUGAUGCUAGUAUGCUUGGAAUGAUGCAUAAUGCAUCACGUAAUCAAAUGUUCAAGUCACACGCAGCAUUGUUAUGGACUAUCUCCGACUUUCUAGCAUAUGCCAACUUGUUUGGGUGGAGUAUUAAAGGUAAAUAAGCAUUUCUUGUUUGCCAACAAAACACUAGAUCUAAUUGGUUGAUACAUAGUAGAAAAUUGUCACGUGGGUCACCGUCGAUUUUUACCAACAAAUCAUAGGUUCCGAAAAUAUAGUGCCAUCUGAUAAAACUAGAGAGUGGGGACAAGCACCUUCUCGGUUGUCUGGAGCCGAGGUGAAAAACCAGUUCAGUAAUGUACUUAAGAUUGAAGACUUGAAAAGAGGAGAAAAGAGGAGAAUGAAUAAAAUGAAAGAAAUGAUAAGAUUACUUGGAAGAAGAAAAGCAUUUUUUAUGAACUAACGUAUUGGGAGUUCAAUUUGAUUCAUCAUAAUCUCGAUGUCAUGCACCGUUUUGAUUUUUGUUAUGAACUCAGAUCAAAAGUUUAAUGUGAUCAAAAUUUCUUAAAAAUAGUGAAAACGACUCCUCCUAAUAAUAUGGAAGAUGGCUAUAAAAGAUAAUUUCUUAAAAGUUUAAUGUGAUCAAAAUUGCUUGUGAACGCAAGGGUUUUAGUUACACUGUCAACGCUGUCAAUGUAGUGAUACAAUGAAGAUGAAGUAAAGCAUUAGUAGAAUAAUGAAGUUGACCAGUAACACAGUAAAGCAAAUUUUAUUCCAGAGCAUGAAAACUUUUAAACAGUAACACAGCUCUUAUUCCAGAGGCUGCACGCGAGUGACCUGAAUCUUCUUCAGAACUUUCAAAUUUUAUCAAGCAAAGCUUUCAAAAUCCUUUGCCUUCCUAAGUUAGGAAAGAUAGAUGUGGAGCAAACUAUUUUUUUUAGAUAUUUUCACUUUGGGCUGUCAGCCCGAGGAAGUAGGGGGGUCUGAGUUAUUCAACUGAAAAUGUCGGCCAAGUUCUUGUGUUAGUUUUAGUAUAUUGUGUACAAAUGAUACACUAACUUGAAUUUAUAUGCUUUUAUGACUAUUUGAUAAUCAAAUGGGUAAAUGACACGAAUAACUUUGAGUUUAAAAAUCUGGCCCUGAUGCCUGGUAGCCCUCCAACCUAUGAAGCACUAGAUGUUUUAAUGAUAAAACGACAAGACCAUUUAUCAAAUUUCUUGUGGAUAUAAAUACAUACACAUAGACGAGACCAACCUCCUCAAAUGAGAAUCAGAGUGAUUACAAGACCUUUCAAUGAGACAAUAAUACACCAUCAAAUCUCAAAAUACAAUAGAAAUUCAUGACAUAUAUAUAAUAAAAGACCACUCAUUGAGUCAUAUAUAUUGAGAAUAAAUUUUUUUUAAUACAUACAAAGAGCUUAGCUAGAAUGAAAUGUCUUUGGACUUGCGAUGAAAACAAAGGAAACAGACAUGUUGCAACUCACACUAUCACAGAUGUAGCGACACAAUGCAGUGAAUCACAAGAAGAUCACGAAGAUGGAAACGGGAACCCCUCAGAAUGUAAACUUUGAAUAGAGGAAAAAAGGAAAACGACCUUAUUCACAGAGGACGAGUGACUUAAAUCUUCAUCAGUAUCCAAACAUUCUGCAAUCAUAGAGUAGAGAAAUUUUAACAGGAACAGCAGAGAAAAUAUUAUGAAUAUGCACUGAUUACGUUUUUUUUUUUAAUUUUUUUAAUCCGAUUAAUGAUAUUCAGCUGUUCUUUAAUUAUGUGUUCAUAGGGAAGAACAUUUUCUAAGUACUUUCCUUGCCUUCUAACUUUCCAAGGAAAUAUAGGUGUGAAGAAAAGCAAACCCAAUGAACAAACAGAGCACAAAGUAAAAUAAAAGAACAGCAAUGAUGACGAUAAAUAAUUGGCAAAGAAAGAAAGGAAAAAGUAUGCACGUUUUCAAGGAUUUAUAAAAUACGAAGGCUUUUAAUGGAAUUUUAUCAUAAAAACGUAUGCAAGGAGUUAUAAAAUUUUAGAAGACGAGGGGAGCUCGCAAAAAAAAAAAAAAAAGACUCAAAUUAAACUAGACUAAAAAGACAUUCAAUUAUGCAAAAUCUGUCCAUAAAAGUCUGAAAGGAUCAUUAAAAUUGCAUUGCAAAUUUAACAGUAAACCGAGGGAUCCAUUCUAAAUAAUUCAGAUGAAAUUGCGAAACAAGCCAUGGGAUUAAAUAAAUGAAAUAAAAAUUAAUUACCAGUUGAGACUUUCUUCUAAAAAUUCGCAACUCCAAGUCAUAAGAAGCCUAUGAAAUUAGUCGUACUGCGUAGAGUAUGACGACGACACCGCCAACAGCUGAAAGUAAAAUUCUUAUUCAUCAAUUUAAACUUUUACUUUAUAAAAAAUAUCUUAUCUAUAUUGUAUUUAAGAAAGCAAAUUUUGUAAAAAUUUAUCAUGGGAGAUAGAGAGUAAUAUGUAUAGACGUACCUUCUCAGCAUGUAAUUGUUGUAUGGUUGUGUUUAGAUCAUUAUUAGCCCAGCGCCGUUGAUCCGCUGUCUCUCCAUAGCAGACGUUUACUCUUAGAGGCAUGAUUGAUUCUCCUGUAGUGAAAAUCUUCAUCUUGGGACAACCAAUCACACACAAAUCUUGCAAAGAUGGGAAUUUGAAGGUGUAAUUGGCAGAGCAGAAACUUGUGAGGCUAUCUAAAUCACGCAGUUCCAACGUCUUCAAUUUGCGGAAAACAAUCUCUUCUUUUUCAACUCCUUCUUUGUCAUUUAUUACCACCUCUGUCAUUGCUCUGCAUUCACGCAUACGCACUGUGACGAGUUGCACUAGAGUUUUUGCUGUGGAGGAUGUUACCAAGUGUAUCAAUUCCUUGCAACCGAAAGCUACAAUUUCGGUUAGGUUCCGAAAAGAUACCGAUGAUGAUGGCAAUAGAAUUAACAGACUUUGACAAUCAUAUACUUUUAGAAUUUCAAGAUACUGAAAAAUGGGGCCAAGUUUGGAGUCUUGUUUGCACAGCUGCUCAAGAUGAUAGUGCUGGUGCAGCUGUAAUUCUUUUAUCAUUGCCAACUUCCCCACAUGUUUCUCUAAGCAUCCUUCCAUCGAAAAUACCUCUUCGUG